GGGCUAGGGGGGUCUCCUUAUAUAGUCCUCCCCUUCUAUGCAUUUUUGGGUCGAUAGGCGAGGUGGUACUAUGUUUUUCUUGAUCCAAUAGGUCGGUGGAACAUCCCGAGCAAAGAGAGUCCUGUUUGGCAUCCAACAGGGGGCGGGCGCCCAGGUCCUCAGGGCGGGCGCCCUGGGCCUGGCCCCGUUUCGCCUCCGCUUCGGUCUCGUGGCUUCUGGAGUCUUCUAGAUGGUAGAAAAUUGCGCGGUGCGUUGAUAUCUCUAUGUAAUCCCGACAUGUGGGCCUUUCUUCCUUAUUUCCUGAUAACCCCCUGCAGAAAUAGACAAACACCAAAACUCGUGGAAUUCUGUCACAUAAAAUCCUAAGUCUAGAUAUUGAUUUCAUUUGGAUCCUUUUCUUUGUUUAGUUGAUAAUUAAAUUUGAUACUUAAGGACCGUCAACAAACUCCCCCAAGCUUACCUCUUGCUUGUCCCUGAGCAAGGAUGGACCCAAGAGUUUCUGCAGUGGUUUCAUGCCUUAAAGGUACACACGCAUUCAAGCAAGAUCUCAACUCUGAGUUAGAAUAAACUGUUAAGACUUAAAACUUACUCAUUUUACCUUUCACCAUGGAGCUUGUAACCUUCACUUGUGUCUUGAGCAGUUAAAAGAUAGAACGGUCAAGUCAAGCGCCAUGUUUCUUAUUCUUGAUCAGCUAUAGCUCUGGGGUUUUUGCAGAUUUUCAAAUAAAACUCAGAGAUUCCUUAUAUGACUCUCUCAGAUCUCUCUUUUGUGGUAUUUCUGGAUCCUUACCAAGGCAGUAAUGGUAUAUGCCUUCUCUCAAAGUAUGUGGUAUUUUUGGUAUGAGGCAUAGUGAUAUUGCCUUCUCUCUCACCUUACUCUAAUAAGGUUUUGAUAUCUAGAGCUCAUAGGUGGGAGACAGCUAAUACAUACUUACAAGACAUUUAUUGCAUAGUCAAACCAUGGAUCCAGAGAAACAAAUCAAUAAGCCAAAUCAAGAUGUGCAUGUGUGGCGAAUGAAUGGUGAUAACAAUGGUGAAAACAAUGGUGGUGGUCUAAUUCUACUUUUGCUCUUUUGAGGGGAUACAUACCUUCCUUGCUUUUUGAAACUUUAUGAGGAGAAUGAGAUGCUCUUCUUUUUCUUUCCUCUCAGUUGGGUAUCUUGUACCCCCAAUUCUACUGUCGGACACUUGUCCAUUUUUACCUCUCGUCUCACUUUUUCUUUCUUUCGAGGUUCCGGGCACUUGCCCCUUUUUAUUUCCUCGUUUAUAUAUUAUUUUUAUUUUUUUUCUCUUUUCUCUUUUUUUUUAGAGCACUCAUCUCUUGAGAUAAUAUAGCAAGUGGUAGUAACCAAAAUAUUUGGAGCAUUUAUUUCACAGGGAAUAACAGGGAUAGGAAAAUGUUUUUGACUAUUCUCUCCCGGAUUAGGAGUAGAAUAUUUUUGGGUGAUUCUGGAGAUGGAAAUGGAUGGAUAUAUGUGGAUGGUACUUCCGGAGUAGAAGUAGCAUAUAUGAGUGAACGUGCAUGUGAAUCUUGAUUUAACCACAUGACAAGUUCCUAAGUGUAGCUUCGUGUCAUCCUGAAUGGUUGGUACUUCCGUGGAUGCGCAGCUGCUUUUCAACUGGCCUGGGGGGCUAACGUUGACCUCAGGCUGUGAUGUACCUUGCCCUUUCGUCAUUUGACUAAGUGCUGCUUGCACUUGCCUUUGAAUCUCCGCCUGCAUCCAUUCUUCACGAGUUUUCUCGUGCUCUUUUGACUGCAGAACAAAAGCUUCUAGGCAGCGGAUCCGCUCUGCCUCCUCAUCCUUCUUUCUCUGGCGGCUUCUGUAGGUAUCUUGAUCGGCUUGGAAUGAUUGCAGCCACGGAACUGCCCCAUAGCCUCUCGUACGCCCAACGUGCUCAGGAUUUUCAAGCGCAUAGGUGAGUUCAUCCUUCUCCCUGUUAGGCCUGAACUCACCAGACUGAACCGCCUCUCAUGCAUGGACUAGUCUCUCUGCUGCUCUAGAGAUUUCUUGGCCCCAAACUAGCGCCCCGGUGUCUGGGUCCACGCUUCCCCCAUGACGGUAGAACCAAUGCUUGAAGCGCUCGCUCCAAUGCUUUGUUAUUGUUGUUGACGGUCCUUAAUGCUCACAUUUAACUGUCAACUAAUCAUGGAAAAGGAUCUAAAUGGAACCAACACCUAGACUUAGGGUUUUAUCUGACAGAAUUCCACAAGUUUUGGUGUUUGUCUAUUUCUACAGGGGGUUAUCAGGAAAUAUGAAAGAAAGGCCCACACGUCGGAUUUACAUAGAGAUAUUAACGUGCCGCGCAAUUUUCUACCAUCUAGAAGACUCCAGAAGCCACGGCAACGAACGGGAGGCCGAUCGGGCCCGGGGGCAGGGCGCCCGCCCAAGUCCCUUGGGUGCCCGCCCAGCUACAGUAACCAAUCAGCUUCAACUUCGCGGAUCGUGCUCCACCGACCUAAGGGACCAAGGAAAACCGUGCGAUUAAUGUCGGUUUGAUCCGACGGCCCAGAUUCAUCUGAAAAGACUAUAUAUGCAAGGCCCCCUAGCCCCAGGAGAUCAUACCUCUUCUACAAAAUCAAAGUCAGGGUUUCAAUUCUUCAUCCAAGUAGAGAGGAUCCCUCUAGUUCUUCUAGUUCUACCUCUAGUUCAUCUAGAUCUAGUUCUAGUUCAUCUAGUUCUAGUUCUAGUUCCUCUAGUUCUAGUUCUAGUUGUAAUCUAGAAAAUAGGGAGAGAGAAGAGGAGAGCGGAGGAGGAGCCGGAUGUUGGGUAUUCUUAACAUCAUUACCAAAAGUAGACUAAGUUCUCUAAAUCUAGUAACAGUGCCAAAAAUGCCAAACCUAUCCCUCACACCACUUAAGCCAAGUUGUCAUCCCCAGCAUGAUAUGAGAGACGCGGUAUUGAAAUAUGCAAUUGCUCUUCUAAAUAAAUAAUGAAUGGGAUCUGCAAGCGCAUAGAUUAAUACCGAUGUAGCAUUUUAACCGGGAAGUAUUCCAGGUAUCGUUAUUUAUAUUUUUACCACUGGGAAGGGAUUAGAAAUCAUCACUAAUGAUUACAGAAUAGAAUAUGAGAUUGAGCAUCUAUCAUUGCAUGUAUAAUUGAGAACAUUAUAUCUAACUCUUCAUACAGGGAUAAGUGUCACAUAAAAGAUAUAUGAAAUAAUAAUAGUGACAAGGAUAACUAAUCUGAUCUAGCCACAUAAUAAAUAUGAUAAGCACCUCAAUUAGAUACUCUAGAAAGUCAUUAGCAUGGUAUUAGAACGAACUACAAGAAUAUUCCCUAAGUUAUUCUCAACUAUAUAGUCUAGCAUAUCAUAAUUAGUGCAAGCAUACAUAGCAAUCAUUGCGAGACAAGACUACGCCCAUGCAUAGUGAUAUUAGCAAGGAAUAUGAGAAAAAUAGCAAUCACACCCCUGUAAUAAUGUUGCUCUGCCAGCCUAAUACACGAGAGGGGUAAUAACCCCCUGCAGAAAUAGACAAACACCAAAACUCGUGGAAUUCUGUCAGAUAAAACCCUAAGUCUAGAUCUUGAUUUCAUUUGGAUCCUUUUCUUUAUUUAUUUGAUAAUUAAAUUUGAUACUUAAGGACCGUCAACAAACUCCCCAAGCUUACCUCUCGCUCGUCCCUGAGCAAGGAUGGACUCAGCUAUGGAUCAUAAGUUGUUGCAAUAUCUUUAAAAAUUGACGGUACACAUGAUUUUAAAUAAGAUCUCAUCUCUGAGUUAGAGUAAACUGUCAAGACUUAAAACUUACUUACUUUACCUUCACCAUGGGACUUGUAACCGUCACUUCUGUCUUGAGUAGUUAAAAGAUAGAACAGUCUAGCCAAGUGUCAUGUCUCUUAUUCUUGAUCAGCUAUAGCUCUAGAGUUUUUGCAGAUUUUCAAAUAAAACUCAGAGAUUCCUUGUAUGAUUCUCUCAGGUCUCUCUUUUGUGGUAUUUUUGGAUCCUUACCAAGGCAGUGAUGGUAUAUGCCUUCUCUCAAUAUAUGUGGUAUUUGUGGUAUGAGGCAUAGUGACAUUGCCUUCUCUCUCACCCUACUCUAAUAAGGCUUUAAUAUCUGGAGCUCAUAGGUGGGAGAUAAAGUAUACAUACUUACAAGACAUUUAUUGCAUAGUCAAACCAUGGAUCCAAAGAAACAUAUCAAUAAGCCAAAUCAAGAUGUGCAUGUGUGGCGAAUGAAUGGUGUAUGGUGAUAACGGUGAUAACAAUGGUGGAAACAAUGGUGGUGGAAGUCUAAUUCUACUUUGCUCUUUGAGGGGAUACAUACCUUCCUUGCUUUUGAAACUUUAUGAGGAGAAUGAGAUGCUCUUCUUUUUCUUCUCUCUCAGGUGGGUAUAUUGUACCCCUAAUUCUACUGUCGGACACUUGUCCAUUUUUACCUCUCGUCUCACUCUUUCUUUUCUUUCGAGGUUCUGAGCACUUGCUCCUUUUUAUUUCCUCGUAUCUUUUUUUCUUUCUCUUUUUUUUAGAGCAUUCAUCUCUUGAGAUAAUAUAGCAAGUGGUAGUAACAAGAUAACUUGAGCAUUUAUUUCACAAGGGGAAAACAGAAAUAUUUUUGGUUAUUCUCUCCCGGAUUAGGAGUAGAAUAUUUUUGGUUGGUUCUGGAGAUGGAAUGGGUGGAUAUAUGUGGAUGGUACUUCCGGAGUAGAAGUAGCAUAUAUGAGUGAACGUGCAAGUGAAAUCUUGAUUUAACCACAUGACAAGCUCCUAAGGGUCUACACAGCUUGACUACACUUAAUGCUCAUAAGCAGUAAAUAAUAAAUGUGUGGCUCAAAGUCUAGCAAGCAUGUAUAUAUGGCUGUGGUAGGAAUUUAAACUCUCAUCAUACAGGAACUCAUCAUGCAACAUUUUAAAGAUUUUCAAAGAUAAAAUUCUCCAGAAUUCUAGCAUCUCUAGGAACAGAUAAACAGCAGCUCAACCUUCCCAUAUCGUAUCCGUUAACAACUUAGACUUCAGAUCAAGUUUUCAUCCCACAAGUUUAGGUCUAGAGCAAGAUUUAAAUUAUAACAGUUAUGUCUAAACUUGAGAGAGAACUUAAAAUGUGCAAAUUAGGCAGAGCAACUAUUCAUCAUUUCCAUGCUUGAGUUUUAUUUAGAUACAGAUUAGCAUAGCCACUUUAUUUAUUUAUUAAACACACUAAGCAAAAGACAUAUAUAUAUAUAAGCAUAAAAUCUUUAUUUGCUUUUUUCAUAGUUAUGUAUAUUUAUAUUCUAAAAUAAUAUAAGUAUAAAGAUAGAUAGAUAGAAAUACUUAUCGAGAUAAAUGGGGGUGCUCUCCCCCAAGCUGAAUUUUGACGUAAUUUCUCUUGAUGUAGCUAGCAGGUGGCAGAGGUGUAUUUGAAAGUCAGCAGCAUUGUGACAGCGAUUAGAAUAUCCUCCGUCUGCCAGUCUUCUUGAUUCUUAGAUUCUGUGGAGCUCAAAUAGACAACAAAGCUUGUGGAACUGAUUAAGUGUUAGCAUAAAUAUCUAGCCUUUAUCAUGUUGAGACUCCUUAAUAAUUAUUACUCCCUGUUUUUAUAUUUUUAUUUUAUAAAGCAGAAAAAUAUUUUUAUUUUAUUUUUAUGCCACCACAGUGAAUGUACUUAUGGGUUUUAUGCCACUUGUAUCCUCACAUGGGGCUUACUGUUUUUCACAUUUUUACUUUCUGUUUAGAACUUAAUUAACUAAGUGAACUACUAGAAAUAAUUGAAAGGGAAAGGAUAACUACCAAGUUUACCUCUUGGCAAGGUGUUCGGUGUUUUUAAGUCCUCCGAACGGGACUCUCCUCCUUCUCAAUUAUCCUGAGGUUCGUUGGGUGGCGUAGUCGGUACUUCCGGCAGCGCCUCCUCAUGUAUAGUUAUCUUCAUUUUCCACACCUGACUUGGUGCUUCGGUCUCCUCUGAAUAAUUCUGUUUAAACUCAACGUCUUCUGACCUUACAACUUCUCCUUCGUAGUCUGCCCAUCCGUCCUUGAUGAUUUGCCUCCUCUGGUUGCGGUUGCGUCGUCUUCUUCUUGUCCUGACCUGCUUAGAAUCUUCAACUAUAUAGUUAGAAUCAUUAAAGUAAUGGCGUACCUUCUCAGAGGGUAAAUACAUUUGGACUUCUCCGGUUCCAAUGUAGAUGAUUGCUUUGAUAGUGUUGAGGAACGGUCUUCCAAGGAUGGUGGGUGGAUCAUAUUCGUCUUCUCCCAUGUCAAUGACCUAAAAAUCAUCUGGAGCUGAAUAUAUUGGUUGUAGGGGCAUGGUUCCAUGCAGGAGCUGAUAAGUGACUGCGGCCAUUAUGUUGUUGUUAGAUCCGGUGUCGUAGAGUGUCUUCUGAAAAGAGUAUCCAUUGAUUGCGCACUCGAUGCUUGGAACACCAGGGUCGUCCUUCUUGAUCAAGAAAGGUGACUUGAGUCGACGAUGUUGACCUCUUCCGACAAGGAUCCAAUGUUUUAAGUCUUCUGGACAAGACUUUCCACCAUCUUCAUCCUUUAGGUGCAUCAUUUGAUUAGGUGUGGACCUUGACGUCUGCACCUCUUGAUACGGUGUCACCCAUGUUCUUCUUUGCCCAGCAGUUCGAAGUAUGGUGUUGGCAAUAUCCUGCUCAGUGUGUUUGUGCUCAUAGAUCUAGGUCCUUCACUUGGUGGAGUCUGGGAGUUGUAAAACUCCUCCAUGUUUUGCUUGAAGUGUACCUGUUCAUAGAGACAAGGCAGGGAUCAAGUGCAUGGGCUCUGUUGGUGGAAAACACCAACAGAACCAAAAGUGUAUUUGUUCUUCUCUAACCUUAAGCAUAGUGAGCAAGACAAAGUUGAUGGAUAAUAAGAUCAUGAGUGUAGUAUUUGAAACAUUUGUCAGAUCAGAUGGCUCAACCUAAUGGAAAGAUAAUCUAUCUAUAUUUAUGUUUUGUUUAUAUCUUCCAAAUAUUGAAUGUGCAACAUAUUAGCUUAUAUGUUUAGCAGCGUGGGAUCACGAAGGUAGUACUAAGAACAAAGAUUAAAGGACUAAACAUGUUGAAUUAAUUGAGUUGGUUAUCUGGAGUUAUAAAUCAUACAUGUUUGUCUCUUUAUUUAUGUGAAUGCUAGAACCAAGGAGAAGCUUAUAAAAGCGAUAGUCAAGUACCUUAAGGUGUUACAUUACUUGAAGAGUGACGGUACAGUAUCACCUUGUGGAAGCUUUCCUUUCUUAGCGGUUGUGCAUCGUGUUUGUGACACCCUCCAUGAAUCAUCUCUUAUGAGCCACGUCUUUCUUGUACAAAUUGUUAAACUUCAUGUGUCACUUUCUUCAUCUCCAAUGCGAGUUUAUCUCAGGACUUCCUAGGUUGAUAUUGAAAGUUUUCCUGCAGGGGUUAGUCCAACAAAAUAUCCCAUAUCUACUAUAGCAUACUAUCGGCUUAAAAAUCAACCUAGACACCAUGUCUAAUUUGAUUUAGAAGGGUAUUUUAACCUAAGCACCAUGCUUAAUUUAAAAUCCCUUGGAAGUAAGAUCAUCAUUCCUAAACUAAGCACCAUGCUUAAUUAAGAGAUAAAUGAAACUAUUCCAAACCUAGACAUAUACUAAAGCAAAUAAAGGUAGCAUGAGAGCAUUUAUAGAGAUCUACUUAAGUGGAGAUGAAGUAGUGUAAUUAGUAUUUAACAAAUUGAGCAUGUCUCAAAGGUAAGGACAACCAAUGUAGCAACAUGGCAAAAGAUGUUUUUAUGUAAAGUACUCCCCCAAGCUUGAAUUUUACAAAAUUCAAGUUUGGAUGAAUUUAAUUCAAUGUUGUGUGAUGGUUGGUUGGACAUACCCUGUGCUUGUCAUUCAUCCGAUCUUCUUGCUCCAAUCCUGGAAAGGUUAGUGACAAGAAUACCCGAAGGAAUAUUUCUACAAUUAUCUUUAUAUGCUCAAUACACAAGGCAAUGUUGCAAAUAAUUAGAAGUUCAUGUUAUGAUCUGAUAAGUGUUUGUUUUAGGACACUAAGCUUGUCCUUGGGAAACCAUCAAGUUAUGUUGGUGAAGUGGUUUCCCCUCCAACACCUACCUAUAUCAAGAUCAACUCAACGGGAUCUGCAAUAUUUAUUAUAGACAUAUGCAUCGACAACCGCCCUUUUAAAGUUUUUAUAAAUGAAAAGGAAGAGGGGGUUGGAGAUCUCAAAUGUGGUAAGGAUGGAGAGACAAAUUGAUUGGAGAGAUGUUUUAUAUGAGCAAGGACUGGGUGAGGUAUUUAUGAAAUAACUUCCAUGCUCACUGUUGUUUCUCUCAUUCUUAAAUUCCAAGGAUGAUUCUUCAUGAAUGCUUAAAAUUCCUCUAGGAUUGUCUCUCAAGUUUGUUUUAUCUAUCCAUUCAAUGGUGAUAGCACAUGGAUUUUUAAUGCCCUCUAGCCAUUGAUGUUGCUCUUCUCGAUCCUCCUUCUUAUGCAUGGGAUGUCUAGAGAGAUUCAUAGGAUUAUCGGGAGGUUCAAGAGAAAAAGCAUAGUAGAAUUUAUUAAGCUCAAGGAUGGGUUGGAUAGCCGAAUUAUGGGAUUGAAAUGUUUGGAAAUCGGCUAUUAAAACUUCCUCUCCUUGUAUGGGAGAUGAUUCCUUCUCUAUCUCUAAGAUUUUUCUAUGAAGACUAGUGCAAGAAGGAUGUCUACGAAUGAAGACAUACCUUCCUUUUCUAAUAGAUAAAGAAAGAAAGACUCUACCAAAGGUUAUAUGAUUAAGACCAAUGUGAAAAUAUCUAGGAAAAACAUGGUCUUGUAGGGCUAGGUCUAAACCAGAAUUUAUAGAAAAAUUAAAAGAUUCCCUAGGUGUAGCUAAAAGUGCAUUAUCUUUUUGAUUAAAAGAUAGGACCUCAGCUAUAGAAAAGGGUUGGUUUUGACCUAUUGUAAUCAACUCUGGACACAGAUCAUAAUUAGGGGCAUGACGUGUUGACUCCCAUGGUCUAUGGCUGGUCUCUGAAGGUGCAAAUAAUUUAAUAAUAGGUAUGGAAUUUGAGUUAUCCAUAAAGAUAAAAAUAAAAAGAUAAAAGAAUAAAAGUAUAAAAGUAUAAUACAAGAUAAUAGCAAGACUCAAAUUUAUCUCAGCAAACCGUCUUUCUCCCCGGCAACGGCGCCAGAAAUGCUUGUUGAUAUUUGGUAACGCAAUAAGGAAACGAUCCGCAAGCGCACGGAUAUCGGUGAGCAUUUCACCCGGGAGGUUAUCCAGAGUUAUCGUAUUUAUAUUUUUACCACUGGGAGAAAGGGUGCAUCUGACUAACCAAAUCUAUUGCUACUAUCCCUUUAGGCACAAAGAAUGUCUUUCGAUGUGAGUGAUAAAUAGAGAAGACUGCAACCGUAGUCUCCUUCUAACCUUGGUAAGGAUGAUCUACUGUUCUAAUGGGGAGGCUAACGGAAUCUAGACACCACAAAUGAUGUUCAACCCGGACCUAUAAACCCUAUCCGUCCUGCUAACGAGAUGUGAUCUGCAAAGGUAACUCGGAAUUGUCACGUUCCUCACUACUACCACGGUCCAGCUAGUCAGGGAAUAUCUAUGAGUACCCCAGCCUAAACACCACGUUUACGCCAGUAAUGAUUACUCUAAACUCUACGUGAAGAGAUUAAAGUAAACUCAUAAACCAUAAGAACAAUAAAACAAGAACUUACUAGAAUUUAGAAGUCGAAAUACUGAAGAAUCCUAGGAGCAAGCUUCGGGUUAGGAGAACUUGAUCCCGCAGGUACAAGCUUGGAGUAGACACCGACAGGCCGGGCUUCCUCCAAUCAACACCUCCACUCUAUCUCUCUCAAUCUAGUAGAAACUAGAAGAUCUAUUUCUACCUUACAUUGGUUGCUAAGCCUAAAAAGAAAUAUUAAUUAGAGAAGAGGUUUUCCUUCGAGGGCACCCCUCAGUCUCUAUGAUAAUUUCUUCAUGUCUCCUCCAGGGGCCAGGGGGGUCUCCUUAUAUAGUCCUCCCCUUCUAUGCAUUUUUGGGUCGAUAGGCGAGGUGGUACUAUGUUUUUCUUGAUCCAAUAGGUCGGUGGAACAUCCCGAGCAAAGAGAGUCCUGUUUGGCAUCCAACAGGGGGCGGGCGCCCAGGUCCUCAGGGCGGGCGCCCUGGGCCUGGCCCCGUUUCGCCUCCGCUUCGGUCUCGUGGCUUCUGAAGUCUUCUAGAUGGUAGAAAAUUGCGCGGUGCGUUGAUAUCUCUAUGUAAUCCCGACAUGUGGGCCUUUCUUCCUUAUUUCAUGAUAACCCCCUGCAGAAAUAGACAAACACCAAAACUCGUGGAAUUCUGUCAGAUAAAAUCCUAAGUCUAGAUGUUGAUUUCAUUUUGAUCCUUUUCUUUGUUUAUUUGAUAAUUAAAUUUGAUACUUAAGGACCGUCAACACGCCCCACUGAACCUCAUUCGAAUGGCUGACUCUCAAGAACCAAUCCUUCCAUCCCACAGUAGGACUGGACCAGGAACGGAAGGUAUCUUUCCACAGAUCUAGAGAAAAAUUCUCGGUUCUAAAGGGGAUUCUGUCUGUUUCUGUGUUGAUCAGAUCGGUGGGAUCUGGGUUCCCUAGCGGACCGAGAUAUUGGAGGUGUGGCUGAUCGGUAGGGAUGACAAUUUUAUUGAUCAGAUCCUAAUGGUUUUGGGGUAAAAAGAAGAACAAAAGAAAAAAAAGGAAGAAUGUUCAGUAAAAUAAAUUGCGGAUGAACAAGGAUAUGGUAAAAGUACAAGAGGUAGGGUGAUGAACUGACCUCGGGAACGGCAAAGUUGAUGGCCAUCUCCUCGUGAAGAAGAUGAUCGAAGACUUUGAGGUUGGUGAAGAAAGGUCUUUGUUGGAGUUCUUGGAGCUCUCGAACAGCGCCGCCGCCAGAAAAGUAAAGUUGGAGCUGUAGAAUGAUUCGAUGGAGAAGGAGUACCCGAGAAGGAGCUAUUUAUAGGACAAAACAGGCAAGGGCAAAUCUGACUUAUCUCUUUGCCGUAUCUGUAAAAUCUGAGAGUACUCAGGUGGAUAUGGUAACUGUUCGCACGGUAAUCCAGGGAUUGCGCAGGUGAUUUGAUAGGAAGCGGUCAUGAUCUAGAGAUAUCUUCACUGUGCGGGAUCUCCUGGUCGGUCCAUCGGCAGCGCCUUGUAACGGUAAUAUUGCCGAUGGGCGAAUAAAGUGGAGAUGUCCGUUUGGGAGGUUGAGAUAUUUCACUGUGCGGGAUUUCCUGGUCGGUCCAUCGGCAGUUCCUUGUAACGGUAAUAUUGCCGAUGGGCGAUUAAAGUGGAGAUGUCCGUUUGGGAGGUUGAGGAAUUCGAGAAAUCUGCGGAAGAAUUGGGCCAAGGUUGUUCAGAUUUAGGCUGUCGGUUGCCAAAUUGGGAAAAUUAAUUGCGGAAAGGCAUCAUUACUGAAGAGAAUUUCGGAGCAUUAAUGAUUUCAUACUCCGAAAUUGGGGGGCAUGUGUUGACAUCGUUUUUGGACACGUACCCAGGAUCGGUAGAGUGUGGAUUGGUAAGAUAGGGCAACAGUAACUGGUCUGCAGGAGAGUUGCCGAUGAGGGUGGUUGCCGAUGAAGGGACAGCUGAAUGUGACUAAGUCCAUGGGUGGUGAUGUGUUUAUACCGAUGGUCAGCAUUAACCUGUGCCGAUAGCUACGAUGAGGGGUCUGCCGAUGAUUCGGAAGAAGAACCAGAAGGUUGCCGAUUGACCUGUGGUGGUGUCCUAGUUUGUCACGGGAGGAUAGUUUUAUGUUUUCCUUAGUUAUUUAAAUCAUUUUGUAUACGGAUUCUGUUUAAUUUGGAAUUCGAGUUCUAGUCGUGUCUGAUUGUAGCUCUUUGAGUAGGGUAUAAAUAUAGACCCUAGGGCCUUGUAAUCGACAUAAUCAAUCAAUCAAACACAAGUUUUUACUCAUAUUCCAGCAUCUACUUUUUCGACGACUUCGUCAUUUUUUUCCUUUUCAUUACGAGUUCUUAGGAGUUCGUCGACUUAAGCUCGGCGUAUUCGCAAGUUCCACAUGAAUACCUCUUGGCCGUGGCAUCCGGGCGCAUCGCUGUUGUCAGGACAAAAGUAUUCGAGUUAUCACGUUUGCCGAUAGUAAGGUCAAAUCGGCUGGCACGCCUUAACAUUUGAAUCGGGUAUUAGCCCUUUGUGUUUGCAGAUCUAGCUUUUAUAUCAACAAUAGGGACAGGGGCUCGUACUACACCCAAAAUGGUUCAGCCCCUCCGCCCUUUCGGGUAACCUCUAACAAGGUAGAAAAGGUCUUCAUACUGAGCUAAAGCCAGAGCCAUUAUAGCCCUCAUGGUUGCACUGUUAUCUCGGGUGAUCACGUACAGACAAGAUCUCAUACAGUUAUUUGUAUAGCUAUUAAUCAUCUUACAAGAUAAUGGAUUAUAUCAAGCACUAGCACAUCUACACCAAAUGCAUAUCAAGUAGGUAGCAAGGAAUCCAGGUAACAAUCAUCUAUGAUUUUGCUAAGGUCAACAAGGUGAAAGCAUGCAUAUGAUAUAUAUGUGUAUUUAUAAGUGAAUAGGUAACAAGGAUGAUCCCAAGUUAUACUUGACUUGAUCAAAGCUCUCCUGAACCUGCUGGUCUUCAAAGGCUUGGUCUUGAUCACCAACGUACGGCUCACCGUCUAUUCCCAAACAUCAAUCAACAACAUGCAAUCCAAUGUAGACAAUUAUACACAAAGCAAACAAGCUAUAAUUAGAACAUUACACCAAACAGUGGUAAAACAAAGAUAAAAGUUUAUGAAAAUAUUCUACGCAGCGCUACGAUCACACAAACGUAAAGUUCACGAAAAUCAGAAUUAAAACAUAGAAGAUAUUAAUUUUCUAAGAUUUCCUAUAGAGAAAUAAUUAAUUAAAUGCUACUGCAGAAUUAAAAAGUUUCAAAAUAGUAAACUAAUAUUUCUAACAUGUAGAUCUCGUGAAUAGGAAUCUAACGAAAUUUGAAUGGACAAAAACGGAGUUAAAAUGAGUAUUUUAUGAGCAAACUAAACCCAAUGGCAAAACUGUAAUUACUGGAAAACGCCUUUUCACUAGAACCGACGACUUGAAACACGUAAACUAGAAAAUACGUAAAGGACCGCGGGUUCAAUAAUAAAGAAACGCAGGGGCUCUUUAGCAAAAUAAAUAUCGAAAGGGUAUCUUUGUUUGUGGGUCGUUGAUCCUCGAUCUGACGGCUGGGAGCGCUUGGGGCUCUACCGUGGCCGGCGGCCGGCCGGACGCAGGCACCGGUGCGGUGGCGCCAUGGCCGCCGCCGUGUACUUCGCCGGCGUCCGCGGGUUUCUCCAUCCUGUGCACCAAAUCGAGAGGCAAGACCAUGGGCGCGUGGAGGAGGAGAAGGCGAGCUCACCACGGGGAUUGGCUCGGGCCGAGGACAACCAGGGCGCUCGUGUCGCGGUGAGUGAAGAUGCUCGGCUCGGCGAGAUCUCAAAGGUGUAGAUGAAGGCGGCUCGGGCUUCCUAGAGCACGGCAGAUAGCAAACAGGUGUCUCUGGGAGUUCCUAGGGCCUUUAUAGGGCUUGGCACACGGGAUAGGAAGUUGAGCACGGGGUUUUCGGGAUCCGGCUCAGAGCUAGGGGAAAGAAUCCGCCCCGGAUACGACGAGGAAGAAGGCACUGCGCGCGGGGUCGGGAUGUCAGCGGGGAAAAGAGGGGGCCUGGCUGUCAGCCAGCAGAAGGAGGAGGAGGUGCGGCGCGCGUGGCCUCUUCGGCUUGGGCCGGCUUGGUGAGCUGCGGUGGGGGAAAAGAAAACCAGGGGGUGGGGGAGAGGGACUGGCCUCGGCCGAUUGGGCCACCAGGCCGAGAGCAGGUGGCUCUCUUACUUUUUUUUCUAUUUUAUUUUCCAAAUAAUUUUUUUCCAAGAGAGUUUUGGGCAAGACAAUUAAAGAUAUAAACAGAAACAGCAAAUCACAAAAAUACUAUGCCCCAGCAUGAAUGCAAAACAUGUUUCUAAACUUAUGAUAAAUUUUAUUUUCCACAAAAAUUAUUAAAGUGCUAAAUUUAAAUGCUCACAAAAAUACAUAAAUAAAUCCAAUUAAAUCCUAUUAAUUCAAAAUCAAAGUUUGGGUGUUACAAACUCUACCCCCUUAAAAGAAUCUCGUGCUCGAGAUGGAACGGUGCUUACUCAAACAGAUAUGAAUAUGAUUUCCUCAGAUCAUCCUCUCUUUCCCAAGUUGCCUCUACCUCGGAAUACCGAUUUCACUGCACUUUGCACAUUCUAAUAACCCGACUUCUAAUGACUCUCUCAGCUGUCUCCAAAAUUCGGACCGAAUACUCUUCAUAAGUGAGAUCACCCUUAACAGAAAGCUCUUCCAAUGGUAUUUGCUCCUCGGGUACACGCAAACACUUCUUAAGUUGUGACACAUGGAACACAUCAUGCACACCAGAUAAACUUUCAGGCAAUUCUAACUGAUAUGCUACUUCUCCAUGCCUUUCGAAUACUUUAAACAGAACAACAUACCUUGGAGCUAGCUUUCCCUUCAUAUUAAACCUCUUCACACUCCUCAUUGGUGAUACUUUUAGGUAGACAUAAUCACCCACUUCAAAAACCAGCUUUUCCGACGAGAUUGGGCAACUCUCAAGUUAUCCUGAAUAGUCCACACUUGUUGUUCUGCAUGUCUAAGCACAUCUGUACCAAACACCUGAGUCUCUCCUGUCUGAUUCCAAAACAAAGGUGUCCUGCACUUACGACCAUACAGUGCCUCAAAUGGUGCCAUCUUAAGACUCUGUUGAUAGCUGUUGUUGUAGGAGAAUUCUGCAUAUGGCAAACUCUUGUCCCAACUAGUACCAUACUGCAAAGCACAAGCUCUCAACAUAUCCUCCAGUAUCUGAUUGAUCCUCUCAGUCUGUCCAUCUGUCUGUGGAUGAUAUGCUAUACUAAAAUUCAACUUUGUUCCCAAUGAAUCGUGCACUGCUUUCCAAAAGUGAGAUGUAAAUUGAGUACCCCUAUCUGACACAAUCUUCUUAGGUACUCCAUGCAAACAAACAAUUCUCUCCAUAUACAGCUCAGCCAGGCGUUCUCCGGUGUACUUAGUUUUAACAUGUAUGAAGUGAGAAACUUUAGUCAAACGAUCUACUAUCACCCAUAUGAGUCAUACCCGCUCUGUGUACAUGGUAAACCCACUAUAAAAUCCAUACCCACUUCUUCCCACUUCCAUUCCAGAAUCUUCAUUGGUUGCAAUAGUCCAGCUGGCCUCUGAUGUUCAGCUUUCACUCGCUAACAAGUAUCACAUAUAGCAACAUAUUCAGCCACAUCUCUCUUUAAGCCAUACCACCAGUACUUCUGUUUCAGAUCUAGAUACAUCUAAGUGCCACCAGGGUGAAUGGAAUAUGCUGACUCAUGAGCCUCUCUCAGAAUCAUAUCACGAAUAGCCUUCACUUCAGGAACACAUAUCCUUUUUCCAAACCACAGUACACCAUUAUCAUCUAUUUUGAAUCCUGGUGCUUUGCCUAGUACCACAUUCUGUGCUAUCUCCUUUAGUUUCUCAUCUUCCAACUGUCCUUUCAAUAUCUCUUCCUCUAGAGUAGGAGUGACCUCAAUUUCCAUCGCAUUUACUACAAUUCCCAUGUUCAAAUAUGCAAAUUCAGCACACAACUCCUCAGAUUCAGUUGUCGCCCGAAGCUCAUUAGCAUAUUUCUUUCUGCUAAGUGCAUCAGCCAUGACGUUCGCCUUUCCAGGAUGAUAAUGUACUUCCAAAUCAUAAUCCUUUAUCAGUUCCAACCAUCUUCGUUGCCUCAAGUUCAGAUCCGUCUGGGUGAAGAUAUACUUCAAACUCUUAUGAUCAGUAUAUAUGUCACUCUUAUGCCCAAUCAAGUAGUGUCUCGAAAUCUUCAAUGCAUGAACCACAGCUGCUAAUUCUAGAUCAUGAGUAGGAUAAUUCAGUUCAUGUUUCCUCAACUGUCUAGAUGCAUAAGCAACAACCCUACCUUCUUGCAUAAGAACACAACCCAAACCCAGACGAGAAGCAUCACAAUAGAUAGAGAAACUCUUACUCAAAUCCGGCAAUACCAACACAGGUGCAGUAGUCAAUCUCUUCUUAAACUCUUCAAAACUAGCCUGACACUUAUCAGACCAUACAAACUUAGCAUUAUUCUCCAACAGAGCAGUCAUAGGCUUUGCAAGUUUUGAGAACCCCUCAAUGAAUCUAUGAUAGUAACCAGCUAAACCAAGAAAACUGCGAAUUUCACUUACAUCUGUAGGUGGUUUCCAGUUCAGCACAUCUUUCACCUUACUAGGAUCCACUGCAAUACCACCAUUAGAGACAACAUGACCAAGAAAAGAAACUUCUUCCAACCAAAACUCACAUUUACUACGCUUAGCAUACAGCUUAUGUUCUCUAAGUUUCUGUAAGACCAAUCUCAGAUGUUCAGCAUGUUCUUCCUUGGUUUUAGAGAAUACCAGAAUAUCAUCAAUAAAGACCACCACAAACUUAUCAAGGUACUCCAUAAAUACUUUAUUCAUCAUGUACAUAAAGUAAGGUGGUACAUUGGUCAAACCAAUAGACAUAAUUGUAUACUUAUACAACCCAUACCUUGUUGUGAAAGUUGUCUUUGGUAUAUCUGAAUUCCGAAUCUUCAAUAGAUGAUAACCAGAACGCAAAUCAAUCUUAGAGAACACACAAGCACCUCUUAGCUGAUCAAACAAGUCAUCAAUCCUAGGCAAGGGAUAUUUAUUCUUGAUAGUGACCUCAUUAAGUGACCGAUAAUCAACACACAUCCUCUGACUACCAUCCUUCUUAUCAACAAAGAUAACUGGUGCACCCCAUGGUGAUGAACUAGGACGAACGAACCCUUUAUCUUGCAAUUCCUUAAUUUGUUUCUUAAGUUCUUCUAGUUCAUUAACCCUCAUUCUAUAUGGUCUUUUAGCUAUGGGUACAGUACCAGGUAGUAAUUCAAUAAUAAAUUCAAUGUCUCGGUGAGGUGGCAUACCUGGCAAUUCAUCUGGAAAGACAUCCAGAAACUCAUCCACUACAAGAUUCUGAGGAUCAACAUCAUCAUUCAGUUGGUUCACUUUAACUGUGAGUGGUGCUUGCACUGUUACAUCAACACUGAUUCGUUCUCCCUUUGGGGUUGUCAGAGCCACUACUCUCUCCUUGCACUUAAUAUCUGUGUCAUAUUGCUUCAUCCAAUCCAAACCCAAGAUCACAUCUAUGCCUAAAGUUCUCAUAACCAUGGGACUGAUAGAAAAAUCUACCCCCCUUAAAGAAUGACUUGCUGAGGGGCAACAAUAAGAAACUGGUAUAGUCCCACCCGAUGAAUUAACUAGCAUAGGGGUUUUCAUGGCAACUAGUGGAAUGCUAUGAACUCUAACAAAUGCUUGUGAAAUGAAUGUAUGCGAAGCUCCAGAAUCAAAUAAAACUGUAGCAGGGAUAGAGUUGAUACUGAACGUACCCAUCAUAAUCUCUGGUCCCUCCUAAACAGUCUCUGUAGCCACAUUAUUCACUGUUACCGCAUAAGCAGUAGACUUCUGGUUGUUGUUCGGCUGGUUGAGCUUCUCCGGGCAAUCAUAUGACAUAUGUCCCUCUUUCCCACAACAAAAACGCCUUGUAGGAGUGUUCGAAGCACUUCUUUUCAUGGAGGUAGCAUUUGAAUUCCCUGAGCGGGGUGUUUGCUGACCAUGCUGCUGUUGAUUAUGGUUAUGUUGUUGGAAUGGAGGACGUUGGUUCCCACUCUGUGAUUGAUUAUGGGAACGCUGGGGUUGCUGGUUGCAGUUCCACUGACUAACUGGUCCCUAGAACCUCUGCUAAUAGCCUUGCUGAGAACAGAAACGCUGACGGUUGUUGCUCCUAGAACCUUGUGCUAGCAUCCUUCUCUUCUUAUCCUGCCCCUUGCGCAUGUUGUCCAACACUAUAGCCCGAUUCACCAGAGCUUGAAAGGUAGGAUAAGUGUUUCCUGCCUGCUGCAACCUGAGUUCAUAGUUGUCGGCGUCUAGACUCGUCGUCUAGACACAAACGAGUAUAAGUAUGCGUGUCUCCCUAACCCGGAUGGUGAUGCAAGUGGAACACAGAGAGUUUAUACUGGUUCGGGCUAAGGAUGCCCUACGUCCAGUGUGAGAUCGGGGGUCUGUAUUGCCUUGCACCCAAAGGUGCUUGUAGCAGGGGUGUACAAGCAGGUUGCGAGAGAGGGCUAAGUCCCAAGUCUUGACUUUGUGGUGGACAGAACGCUACUUGCUACUCUAUGGGUGAACUCGCUUGGAGUUGUGGUAUAUGGGUUGAGUCUUGGUUGUUGAUUGUCGUGUCUUGGAUGUGAGCCCUGGCUCCCCUUUUAUAGUCUCAAGGGCACACAGGGUUUUACAUGUGUGACUGGUGAUCUUCCUCUGAUGAGUGGUGAAGCUACAGUCCCGACCUUGUUGAGACUUGCCCAUCCCGUCCUUGAGGUAUGGUUGACAGCAUGGUUGCUUCUGUGGAGGGUCGAUGAGCCCUGCUAAGGUCAUGGGGGUCGGAUCGGUGAUACUACAGCUUGUCCUGUAACUGUGGGAGAAGACAGCUAAUAGUGACACUGGUUAAUCCCUCCCAUUCCUCUUUUACUGUGAGGCGGUACACCACAGUGAAAGAGGUAAGGUUGCACAGUGAAAGAGGUAAGGCUACAGUGAAAGAGGUAAGGCUACAGUGGUCGUGGUGGUUGGAAUAGUCGCCACCAUGCCCUACUGUGGUAUGGGGGUCACUGCGUCUGUCACGUCGUGGGUACGGGCGCCGUGUGUUGGAAGCCUGGCUCCGAGACGGGGGCUCGGGCGAGGCGGUGUUGGCGCCCGAGCCCAAGAGGGGUCGGGCAAGGCGGAACUUGCGCUCGAGGCCAAGGGGGUCGGGCGAGCCGUGACUUGCGCCCGAGGCCAAGGGGUCGGGCGAGCCGUGGCUUGAGCCCGAGGCUAAGGGGUCAGGCGAGCCGGGGCCCGCGCCCUGGUUAUCGUGGCUGGUUUGCUUUGUCUUUUGCGAUUUUUAUUUAUUCUGAUCUGGGUAUCCCUUUUUAUGGUACCCAACAGUAGCCCCCGAGCCUUUGAAGGGGUGAAGGCACCCCUUCAAAGGUUAUCUUUUUAAGGGACAAUUUUGUUGACUCGGAGCUUUUUACUUUCUCCGGAGGGUGCGCGCGAGCGCACACGCCGGGUGUAGCCCCCGAGCCUUUUGGAGGAAUGGUGUUAUUCCUUCAAAGGCUUUUACCCCUGAGUGUUGUAGUUGGGAGUAUUUGAGGGAUAGGUUGUGUGUUCUUUACAUGUAGUGCCUGUUCCCAUCGUGCGAGGAAGCCCCCGAGCCUUUUCCCCACAAGGGUCGACCAGGUUCUUUCUCGUCUUGUAGUUACGUCCCUCAUUCAUCCUUUCUCUCGGAGGUGGGGUGGGUAGCGCCGUACUACCCUCGACGGGCGACUAUCGACGUUCCCCGGGAGCUGCAAGCGGGUAAACCCAAGUGGAUGUCCGAGUCCCAUUCGAUAGGGGUCGGCUGGUGGCCCUAUGGGCACAUCUCAAAAUACCCGAGGGCAGUCACGGUGGAUGUCGGAACCGUUCGCUAGGUUCCGAGGGCUCGGUGCCUCCCUCGAUGGGAUCCCACUCGCGUGACACCCGCAUGGGUCUCGGAUAUGACUAGCAAAGAUGCGCCGAUCCCCUAGGUGGGUCGGACCAUGGCCUCUAUUGUGCUCAUCCUAAGUCAUCCCUCGCUCGGUCAUCCUGAGGCAACUGUUCAAACCAACUUAGUGGGUCAGUCUCGCAACCCCUGGAACGUAGGUGGCCAUGGCCUGGAGAUUCUUACCUCAAAAGGUUUUAGUUUGACUAUAGCAUCGGGGUCGGGUGAGACGGAAUAUGCGCCCGACGGGAACGGUUCGCCUUGCAAUUCUGCUCGGGGUUAGCAGGGCGUCAGGCGAGACGGAGUCUGCGCCCGACGGAGACCACCCUGCGACUCUGAUCAGUAGGGGGUCGGGCGCCGCUUGUCCUGGAAGGAACCGCCCUGACAUAACUUUUCAGGGCGCCCCUUUUGAGGCGACUUGCGUGGGGAGUCGAAACGGCCGUGCCGUUGUGCCCUGACUGGAUGUGACGCUUCACCUGCGAAAUUAAUGCGCGCGUGCGGCAGGCGUGCAAAUUGGGGGAAGUGAGUGCUUCGAGUUUUUCACCUGGUUAGGGAGCGGGCGACGGUUGCUCUUUUCCCCCUUGAUCUUCGGUGAGAGAGGUGUGGCCGCGGCGUGCUCGUUCUAUAAAAGCAGCCGCGGGGGCUCUGAUUUCAUUCCUCAUGCUCUCGCGCAAAAAAGCUCUUGCCUCCUGUUCUCCUUGCCACCGUCUUCUCCACUCCACCCCGCAAGCACCCUACUCUGCUCGCAGCCAUGGCCGGCGACGAUGCGUGGCCCCCCCAGCAACGUGACAAGGUCCGCGCUGGACGCGCGCGUGAAGGGCGGGCUCCUCUGCCCCAUCACUGAUGUCGGGUCGCCGGAGUGGAUCGCUCCCCCGGUGAGCGACAGGGAGCCGAACCCGCCUCCGGGCUAUGUGGUCUGCUUCCUGUCGUUCCUGGACCGGGGGUUUGGAACUCCCGCCGCCGGCUCAUCCGGGCGAUUCUCCACUACUACGGGGUGGAGCUGCACAACCUCAACCCCAACUCGGUGAUGCAGGGGGCCGUCUUCGCCACGGUGUGCGAGGGGUUCCUGGGGGUCCCUGCCCACUAGAACCUCUGGCUUCACCUCUUCAAGGCUGACAUGUCCGCCCGCUACGAGGGAGGGGAGAAGAUUCCCCUGCGGGUCGGCGGUUGCACGCUGUAGCUCCGCUAGGCGCGGUCCCACCUGUAUAUCUGGAGUGUGAUGCCCUCAUCGAACCGGGGGUGGCAGAGCGGAUGGUUCUACCUCCGGAACGACAGCGGGCUGCUCCCGGGGUACACCGAGAAAAUGGUGACGGAGUGCCCAAAGAAGUGGGCGUGGGGCGCCCCUACGAAGGAGCAGAAGAGGCUCGGCCCCCUUCUUGCAGGGCUCAAGAAGCUGCGUGAUGCCAGGGUCAUUGCGGCCAUGGUGGCGACGGCGUUCCAUAAGAGGAGCUUGCUCCCGCUGGCACAGCGGUGGGCGUUCAUGUUUGAGAUGACCCGGGAUGUCCCCUGGGUCGGGACGCGGAUGUUGGAGGCGCCGGUGUCGGCGACGAAGAUAGCCUCCCAGGUCUCGAGGACCACGCACCCGGAUCUGAAGGAUUCCUUAGUGGUGCCAAUGCGCCCUGAGAAGGGCUACAUUUCUCUAGUAAGACAUCGCUUUUGUUUUUGAUUUUGCGCUUGUUCCUUUACCUCCCUGCCUUAGUCCAUAUUGCUGCUCGUUUGCAAGGGAUGGGGAUUGUCAAGGACUCCCUGCCCCCUGUCCCAGAGGACAAGGAGCUCCGAGCCAAAAAUCGGGCCCGAAACGAGGAGCAGAAGAAGGCGAAGGAGGACAAGAAGGCGAAGAGCGCGAGAAAAGCGCAGCGCCGCGAGAUCUCCGCCAAGAAUCACCGCGAGGCCGAGAAGGCGGGGCUCCCUCCGCCCGACUCUCCCGACUUCAGUCUCGGAGAUAGAGGGCGGGGGAGACAACGCGCAUUGGCUCGACGAGCUCGAGGAGGAGGAGGACGAUGUGACCCCCCUGUCGGCGGGUGGAUCGAGAUCCCGGAGGGGUCAAAGGCCCGAGGGGAGUCGGUGGCUCCCGAGGGGUCCCAAGCACCGGGGGGCGGACGGAUCGCCCCCCAUAUCAUCGUGGACGACGAAGAGGACAGCGCCCCAUGAGAGGGUUCUGUCCCCUCGGGUCCCUAGGAGGGGGAAAAGGUGCCGGGGAGCGGAUCCAAAGUGCCCCCACAGCCGGUGGUGCCGGAGGGUCCGUCCGAGCCCCGCCCAGUGUACGGGGCAGAGGCAGGAGGCUCGGUUGAGGCGCCGUGGGCUGAGACCACCGUCGAAGCCCCCGCGGCAACCGUUGGGGAGUUGGGGGUCCAUCCGACAGCCCCUGGCGCUUCAAGAGCCUCCCAGGGAGCUCCAGGCUCCCAGAAGAAGGCUGCCCCCCGAGCGAGGUAUAUUUUAGUUUUUUUAUCUCUCUUUUGACUUUUUGUUUUUCUCUUUCUUCUAACUGGGGUUAUUUCCUCAUCAGCCGGAAGCACAAGGUGGCUUCAGUGGGGCUUGCACCCCCUGAAGGCCGUGAAGAGGGGGGCGCAGUCGACCCCUGGGUCGGCGAGGCCCAAGUCGCCGCCCCCCUGAGCCGCGAAAAGGGAGAGCUCCCCCACGACGAAGGGGGCAGGAGACUGGGGAGAAGAUGCCAGAUCCCCUAGCGAAGGAGGUGGGGACGCCGAAGCCCCAGGAGCCAGAGGGGACGGUCCUGGCCCUCGGGGCUAUUCCCCCGUCGAGGGAUGCUAGCCAAGAGGGUCAAGGUCGGCCUAAACAGGCCGAGGGGGGCCGGGUCGAGGGGGCGCCCGACCUGAGGCCCGUGCAAGGGAGGGGGGUGGGAGAAUGGCCUGGGGCCAGAGUCCCGUGGUCUGGCCCAACCCUGACGAUCCAGAGGGGAGGGCUAGAUUCAUGUUGGACGACCCGUCAGAGGCCUAUCUCUGGCGGGGCCUUGAAGAGUGCGGGCGCGCCAGCGUCGAGGCGCUCAACCGAGCGUCCGAGCUCGUGAGCCGCGACCUGUUCAAGUUCGCCCAGGUAAAGUCUCUAUUGAGGUGUUUUGCAUCUUUGGGCUAAUUCUUUGCAUAACACCUGAAUUCGCAGGCGCUCCAAGCCGCUUCCUUGGAGAAGUCGACGUUCCUCCGUGGGGAGCGGGACGCCAGGGUGGCUUGCGAUGAUGAGAAGGCUGCACGUGAGGCGGCCGAGGGGAACUCGCGAAGGAAUGCGAGGUCUCUGCCGAGCUUCGGCAGAAGUGCUCAGCCCUCGCGGCUGAGGCACGGCAAGCCCAGGAGAGUGUUGCUCCCUUAGGAAAAAGGGUUAGCGACCUCACCGUGGAAUCCCAAGAGCAGAGGGCCACCGCCGAGAGGUAUAAGGGCGAUGUCGCUCGGCUAGAAGCUCUGAUCGCCGAGAAAGACCUAUCCCAGGUUGACCUCUCUGCUGCUCAGGGCGAGGUGGUCCAUUGGCACCGGAGCUCGGCGGAAAAUGAGAAGCGAGCCGAGGGUAAGAACUGAAUCUUCUACCUUGGCUCUUUUGUAUUGGGAUUGGUUUUCCUGACUCGGCUCUCAUCCUGUUUUUCAACAGAGCUUUUGUAUUGGGAUUGUUCUCAUCCUGUUUUUCAACAGAGCUGGAGAAGAAGAUGGCUGAGGCACCCUCUGCCACUGACGCCUUGCAAAAGUCCCUCGACGCCGAGGUCGCGAACCACUCGGCUCUGGAAGCCUUGGUCGCCUCGGCAUGCAAGGGGCUCGGGGUAUCGGUGGGCGCAUCGGGGUUGUCACGGUGGAGCCGGAUCGAGGCUCUCUACUCCCGGGCCGGGGAGAGGAUGAGGGAGGCACUCCAUGCCGGGGUGAAGAAGGCCUUGGCGGUGGUGAGUGUUGACGGUUCUUAAGUAUCAAUUUUAAUUAUCAAAUAAACAAGAGAAAGGACCAAUAUGCAACCAACACCUAGAAUUAGGGUUUGAUCUGACAGAAUUCCACGAGUUUUGUUGUUUAUCUGUUUCUGCAGGGGGUUAUCAGGAAAUAAGGAAGAAAGGCCCACAUGUCAGGAUUACAUAGAGAUAUCAACGCACCGCACGAUUUUACAUCAUCUAGAAGACUCCAGAAGCCACGAGACCGAAGCGGAGGCGAAACAGGGCCAGGCCCAGGGCGCCCGCCCUGGUAGCCUGGGCGCCCGCCCCCCUCUGGAGCCAGAUCAGGACUCUCUUCGCUCGGGAUAUUCCACCGACCUAUUGGAUCAAGAAAAACAUAGUACCACCUCGCCUAUCGACCCAAAAACGCAUAGAAGGGGAGGACUAUAUAAGCAAGGCACCUGGCCCCUGGAGAAGACAUGAAGAAAUUAUCAUAGAGACUGAGGGGUGCCCUCGAAGGAAAACCUCUUCUCUAAUUAAUAUUUCUUUUUAGGCUUAGCAACCAAUGUAAGGUAGAAAUAGAUCUUCUAGUUUCUACUAGAUUGAGAGAGAUAGAGUGGAGGUGUAGAGUGGAGGAAGCCCGGCCUGUCGGUGUCUACUCCAAGCUUGUACCUGCGGGAUCAAGUUCUCCUAACCCGAAGCUUGCUCCUAGGAUUCUUCAGUAAUUCGACUUCUAAAUUCUAGUAAGUUCUUGUUUUAUUGUUCUUAUGGUUUAUGAGUUUACUUUAAUCUCUUCGCGUAGAGUUUAGAGUAAUCAUUGCUGGCGUAAACGUGGUGUUUAGGCUGGGGUACUCAUAGAUAUUCCCUGACUAGCUGGACCGUGGUAGUAGUGAGGAACGUGACAAUUCCGAGCUACCUUUGUAGAUCACAUCUCGUUAGCAGGAAGGAUAGGGUUUGUAGGUGCGGGUUGAACAUCCUUUGUGGUGUCUAGAUUCCGUUAGCCUCCCCAUUAGAACAGUAGAUCAUCCUUACCAAGGUUAGAAGGAGACUACGGUUGCAGUCAUCUCUAUUUAUCACUCACAUCGAAAGACAUUCUUUAUGCCUAAAGGUUAGUAGUAAUAGACCGGUUAGUCAGAUGCACUCUUUCUCCUAGUGGUAAAAAAAAUAAAUACGAUACUCUGGAUAAUUUCCCGGGUGAAGUGCUCACCGAUAUCCGUGCGCUUGCGGAUCAAUUCCUUAUUGCGCUCCCAAAUAUCAACAAGCAUUUCUGGCGCCGUUGCCGGGGAGAAAGACGGUUGCUGAGAUAACCUGUGUCUUACUAUUAGCUUGUAUCUAUACUUUUAUAUUUUCUUAUCUUUUAUAUCCUUUAUUUAUUUUCUUUAUGCUUACCUUAUGGAAAACCAAAAUUCUAAAUCGAUCCAUGAGUCUGCAAUCCCUUUAGCAACUGACCUUUUACCAUGGGAAUCAUCACAGCCUAUCCAAACAUCCCAGUAUAAGUUAAGUUCUAGGUUGAUUGCCAUGAUUCAAAACAUAUCUUUUUCGGGAAAGGAAGACGAAAACCCUUACCUUCAUAUUAGAGAUUUUGAGCAAACAUGUGAUUGUCUUCGCAUUGAAGGCAUUUCUGAUAAAACUUUACGUUGGAAGCUUUUUCCUUUUUCUUUAAGGGGAGAAGCUAGACAAUGGUACAGUCAGAAGGUAAGUCAACAACAAGGUGAAUGGGGAGUUUUACGAGCCAACUUUUGUCUAGAUUUCUAUUCCCUUGACCAUAUAGCCGACCUUAGACUCGAAGUCCUAUCUUUUAAACAAAAAGAUAAUGAAACUUUGGGAAAAUCCUAGAAACGUUUUUCUAAUCUUUUAGAAUCUGGUCCAAACCUUAAUCUUGAAGACCCUGUUCUUUUAUUCCACUUUUUUCGAGGUCUUCAGAAAAAUCACAAACAAAUGCUUCACACAAUGUCUAGAGGUUCUUUCUUUCGCAUCCCUGCUGAUGAAGCUAGAGUGAUCCUAGAUAGAAUCCUAGAAGCUGAGAUGGAUAAUACCCUUCAUGAUGAAACCUACGAAGCCGAAGUAGACACUCUGCCAAAUUCUUCAUCUACUUUAGCUAUCCCAAGUUCUGAGCCACAAGAGGAAGAAAUUCCACUACCGGACUUCAUGCUGGAUAUAGAAUCCGAUCUUUUUGCCGAUUUUGGAAAUAUUUCAAACUACCAUUCUAUUGACAAACCCCAAAACGGUCAGUUUAGCAUUUAUUUGCCAAGUGAAUAUCAAUUGAGAGAGCUUAUCUCAGUAAUGAGUAGCGAAUGGUUGGAGGAAUCAGAGCUUUCCUCUGAUGUGAUCCGUUUGGACACACCCUCUAUAACUAUACGCUGUGCUUAUAAUUCUGAUCGAUUUAAUGCUCUUUAUAAUCCUGUUGUGGGAUCAACAUUAUGUCUGAAUCCUUUGCACUUAAACUAUUUAAAAAUCUUGUCUUAACCCCCACAACAAAGGUCAUAAUGGAAUCUUCAGGACGAUUAGUCCCCAGUCUUGGAAUUAUUAAUGUCCUACCUCUUACAGUAGAAGGCUCCAUGGUUCAUUUGAACUUCUAUAUCUUUGAUACAUGGGACUUCGACCUGUUGAUAGGACAACCUUUUAGAAGACUCCUUUAUGAAGGUCAUACUGGAAAGCUACACAUUUCUUUUGGAAAAACUUUUAAAUUCCCAAUAAUAAUUUCACACUCCUUAAACAAUAAGGCCGAGUCAUAUCUUUUGCCUAAUCCUAUGGAGGAAGUAAAGGCUGCAUCUCUAGAGCUUUUAGAUGAACCAGACUUAGAAGACGAAAUUCCUUUCUUCACGGAAGAAGAAGACGAACCUUCCGAGCCUGAACCCUUAGAUGAGUUUGCAGAAACACAUAGACCUCCCAUAGAGCUUAAAACUUUACCACCCGGUCUUACCUAUGCUUUCCUAAACAAUAAUCCAGAGUUCCCUGUAAUCAUUAGCGAUAAACUCACUCAGGAUCAAACUCUGCGAUUAAUGACCAUUAUGGAGAAACAUCACUCAGUUUUUGGCUACUCACUUCAAGAUCUUACAGGAAUUAGUCCUAUGAUUUGUACCCAUCGUAUUCCAACAGAUCCUUCUGUUACACCCUCUCGAGAACCCCAACGUAGACUUAACAACACUAUGAGAGAGGUAGUUAAAAAAGAAGUUAUAAAGUUGCUGCAUGCAGGGAUUAUAUAUCCUGUACCGCACAGUGAGUGGGUGAGCCCAGUGCAAGUUGUGCCAAAAAAGGGAGGCAUGACAGUUAUUAUGAAUGAAAAGAACGAGCUAAUUCCGCAACGCACCGUCACAGGAUGGCGGAUGUGCAUAGACUAUAGAAAACUAAACAAAGCCACGAGAAAGGAUCAUUUUCCUUUACCUUUUAUAGAUGAGAUGCUAGAGCGGUUAGCAAACCAUUCAUUCUUCUGUUUCUUAGAUGGAUACUCAGGGUAUCACCAAAUCCCGAUCCAUCCUCAUGAUCAAAGCAAAACCACUUUUACAUGCCCUUAUGGAACUUAUGCUUACCGUAGAAUGUCUUUUGGGUUAUGUAAUGCACCAGCUUCUUUUCAAAGAUGCAUGAUGUCUAUAUUUUCUGAUAUGAUUGAAGAGAUUAUGGAAGUUUUCAUGGAUGAUUUCUCUGUUUAUGGAAAAACUUUUGAUAGUUGUCUUGAAAACUUAGACAAGGUUUUGCAAAGAUGUGAAGAAAAGCACUUAGUCCUUAAUUGGGAAAAAUGUCAUUUUAUGGUUAGAGAAGGAAUAGUGCUAGGACACUUAGUGUCUGAAAGAGGGAUUGAGGUAGACAAAGCUAAAAUUGAAGUAAUUGAACAACUACCUCCACCUGUGAAUAUAAAAGGAAUUCGAAGCUUUCUUGGCCAUGCUGGUUUUUAUCGUAGAUUCAUAAAAGAUUUUUCAUUUAUUGCUAGACCACUUACUCUUUUGCUAGCCAAGGAUGCUCCUUUCGAAUUUGAUGAUGCAUGUUUAACAUCUUUCAAUUUAUUAAAAAAAGCACUCAUCUCUGCACCAAUCAUUCAACCCCUUGAUUGGUCAUUGCCUUUUGAAAUUAUGUGUGAUGCUAGUGAUUAUGCUGUGGGGGCAGUAUUGGGACAAACUAAAGAUAAGAAGCAUCAUGCAAUUGCUUAUGCCAGUAAAACUUUGACAUGAGCUCAACUUAAUUAUGCAACCAUUGAAAAAGAGCUUCUGGCUGUUGUCUUUGCCAUAGAUAAAUUUAGAUCUUAUUUAGUUGGAGCUAAAAUAAUUGUUUACACUGAUCAUGCUGCAUUAAAAUAUUUGCUCACUAAAAAGAUGCUAAACCUCGCCUAAUUAGAUGGAUUUUAUUACUCCAAGAAUUUGACUUAGAAAUAAAAGAUAAAAAGGGAGUAGAAAAUUCUGUUGCUGAUCACUUGUCUAGAAUGUAUUUUAAGAGUCCACAGGAAACCCCCAUCAAUGAUUCACUCCGGGACGACAUGCUCUACGGGAUUAACAGGUCUGACCCCUGGUAUGCAGAUAUUGUUAAUUUUAUGGUUUCAGGGUAUGUACCACCAGGAGCAAACAAGAAGAAGCUUAUUCAAGAAAGUCGUUCACAUAUAUGGGAUGAGCCAUACCUCUUCCGAGUAUGCUCUGACGGCUUACGCAGGAUAUGUGUGACCACUGAGGAAGGAUGGAAGAUCAUCGACAGAUGUCAUUCAUCACCAUAUGGAGGUCACUUUGGAGCAUUUCGUACACAUUCAAAGAUCUGGCAGUGUGGAUUCUACUGGCCUACAAUGUAUGAAGACACGAAGAAAUAUAUCAGAAGAUGUGGGCCAUGUCAAAGGCACGGAAACAUAAAUACAAGGGAUGCAAUGCCACUCACCAACAACCUUCAGAUUGAGCUCUUUGAUGCCUGGGGAAUAGACUACAUGGGUCCAUUUCCUCCAUCAAAGAAGUGUGAGUACAUCUUGGUGGCAGUUGACUAUGUCUCCAAGUGGGUAGAAGCAUUACCUUGCAAGCAUGCCGACAACGUCAGUUCAAAGAGGAUGUUUGAAGAAAUUAUAUUUCAAAGAUUUGGAGUCCCCAGAGUAGUGAUAAGUGAUGGAGGAGCACACUUCAUCGACAAACGCUUCAAGCAAUAUCUAUCAAGACAUGGAAUUCGUCACAACGUCGCUACCCCCUAUCAUCCUCAGACAAGUGGCCAAGCAGAGACUUCCAACAAACAAAUCAAGAAUAUUCUUCAGAAGACAGUAAAUGAAAUGGGAACGGCCUGGAAAGACAAGUUACCCGAUGUACUCUGGGCAUACUGGACAGCAUACAAGACCCCAAUCGGAAUGUCUCCAUACCAAUUGGUGUACGGGAAGACUUGCCACCUACCUGUUGAACUAGAGUUCAAAGCACACUGGGCCAUAAAGAGAUGGAAUAUGGACCUAGAUGUUGCUGGAGAUUAUAGAAGAAUGCAACUAUCAGAAUUGGAAGAAUGGCGAGAGAAGGCGUAUCACAAUUCAAAGAUCUACAAAGAAAGAGUCAAAAGGUGGCAUGACAAGAGAAUCAAGAAGGAGUUUACACCCGGAGAUAAGGUAUUACUUUUUAAUUCCAGGGUAAAGCUUUUCGGACAUGGAAAACUCCGGAGCAAAUGGGAAGGACCAUUGAAGGUAAUCAAUUCAUCAUCCCACGGAGCUAUCACACUUCAAAAUAGCGAAGGUACGUUAUUCAAGGUAAAUGGUCAACGUCUUAAAUUAUUUUUAGAGCCCAAUGAGGAAAUUGAAGAAAUAGACGUAGUCCAUUUUUACCUUCCUAUGGAGAAUUAGAGCCCAACACUUUUGGUCUGAUGGUUUUGGGUCACAUAUAUAUUUUCCUAAAUAAUUUCGCAUCUAGAAACGCGAUCGGAGAAGUGGGCCCACAGAGGGGCCAGAGAGAGGGCGGGCGCCCAGCAGGUCAAGUGGGCGGGCGCCCAGCCCCUGUUCCCCCUCGGUCCCGACUUUCUCUGUUAUGGAAAAUGCACUUAGGGUGAUCCGAAUAAUCCCUCGGAUAGAAAGUUUCGCACGCACGUCGACGGGAGCAACCCGAACAACCCAUAGAGGCACCCUUUUGACCCCUAUAUAAACAGACCCCUGACCUCAGUUUUCAAACACCAAGCCACCAAGUUUUCUCUCCUUCAAUUAGAGCUUGAUUAGCUCUCCUUCAAUUAAAGUUUUAUUAGUUCCUUGCUGUUCCAAUGGCCGAGAAGUACCAGGAUGAUUGGGAAGUCGUCCCCUUCAACCUCAACAUGGAGCCUGUGGAAGACCCCGAUGCCCGUGCUCUCGUCCCGGCCAACACAGAGCGUCAGCUAGAAGCCAUGCCAUUACGCCAACGUAGCUCCGCCCAAUCUUACCAUGCUCAACCAGUGCUCACCGCACCGCCACAACCCCUACUCCUCAAAGGACCAUCAUCCAAGACGAAGACUACUAUCAAGGUGCCAACCGGCACAAGGAUCCUUCCACCUAGACCCAAUGAGAGGGUCGUUGGAGUCAAGACCAACCAGAGCGGCGAGAUCAGCAAUAUUCGCUCCACUACGGAGGAGGAAAGGCCUUACUUUGAAGGGAUUAGAGCAGCCAAAGUCCGUUUCAUCUCUCCAAAGGCAGCCCCGAAGCAUGCUCUCAACGCUUUUGAGACACCUCCCAAGCAUCGUAAGACUAUAAUGGAUAUUGAUGAGAAAGUUAUCAUAGACCUCCAGUCCUCGAUUAAUUCCCUCACUAGGCAGCUCUCUAACCAUAACACCAUUAUACUAGGCCUUAGGCAGGAUCUUGCCAGUGCCAACAAGAAGAUUAAAGAAUUAGAGCGCCGCUAAGUUAUCUAGAUUAGACCUUGAGGCAAUGCAUCUUAGUUAUCUAUCUUUAAAUUCAGUUUAGUUUUACUAUUAUUAUCAGUUUGCUAUCAGUCUUUUGUAAUAAAUGCCUCAAGAUCAAUAAAGAGUAUUAUUAUUAUUAUUAUUAUUAUUAUUAUUAUUAUUAUUAUUAUUAUUAUUAUUAUUAUUAUUAUUAUUAUUAUUAUUAUUAUGUCUUGUGUGUCUCUACUUUAUUCGUGUGCAAGAAAACAAGUAUGGGGGAGAUCCCUCGACAUGCUAAACACACUCCGACCACACCACUCCACGAUUCAGGUACACACUCUGCACAUUUUACACAUACAUUUAUUUUGGAUUAUGCAGAUUAUUGUUUCCGACAUGAUAAAAUAAAAAGAUUAAAAUAUUUCUAAUCAUGAUUAAUCUCAAUCUGUGAUGUUUCCUGAAAACUUGCAAUUAUUAUAAAAUCAUUUUAAAACCCUGUGUUACUUAAGACAGUAUGGAAUGUGAGAUGGUAGAGUAUGAGUUUCUUAUUCUUGAUAUCAUUGUUACUUGGAGAAUUUAUUUCAAAAUAUCCAAAAUUUUAGCUACCAUCCUCAGUGUUUUAUAUGCCUGAUAAAACUGAAAAUAUUAAUUAUGAUUAUAAAAGCUAUCUGCUCUGUAUUGAGUUUGUUCAAAAUGAGUUAGAUCCUUAUUGAGAGAUUUAUCAUGCUCCUAAGAUCAAGACAUUAUUUCAGUAAGAUUCACUCUUCCGAAGUAUUAUUGCAUUAGAGGCAUGGGCUAUGCAAAAAUAGAAAUAUUUUGAGGAAAUAAAAAGGAGCAAGUGCUUGAUAACCUCGCAGAAAAAAUGGACAAGUGUCCGGCAGUAGAAUUAGGGGUACCUCGGUAUCCAUAUUUAUAAAAAAAAGAGAUAAAAAAAUGAUAGCCCAUGGUCCCACUAAUAAGCAAUAUGCCAGCAAGAGUUGACAAAGUUUUUAAUUUUCAAAGUCUUUGAUCUAAGAGUAUGACAUUUCCCUCCUCGGAUCCCGUUUUGAUCAGGCAAUAAAUGCAAAGUAAGAAUGCUUGAGAAUUUUUGCAAAAUAAAACAACCUCAGUGAGAUAUAUAUAAAAGAUAAUGAGUGAUUCGAGAGAACCUAUGAGGAUUAAAAGGUAUGCUAACUUUCUUUCAAAAAUAUACAAAAAACUCCAAGUGGCAGGAUUGAGAAGAAAGGAUCUUUACUCUUAACCAUAAACAUCCCUGACUAUGGUACACAGUGGAUUUUUUUUAACACCCUGCAAAUAUAAAGAAUGUUUUAAAUGUUUACCCCAAAUAUUUUUCUUAACCAUCCUUUUCUCGAGGACGAGUAAAAGCCUAAGUAUGGGGGUAUUUGUUGACGGUUCUUAAGUAUCAAUUUUAAUUAUCAAAUAAACAAGAGAAAGGACCAAUAUGCAACCAACACCUAGAAUUAGGGUUUGAUGUGACAGAAUUCCACGGGUUUUGUUGUUUAUCUGUUUCUGCAGGGGGUUAUCAGGAAAUAAGGAAGAAAGGCCCACAUGUCGGGAUUACAUAGAGAUAUCAACGCACCGCACGAUUUUACAUCAUCUAGAAGACUCCAGAAGCCACGAGACCGAAGCGGAGGCGAAACAGGGCCAGGCCCAGGGCGCCCGCCCUGGUAGCCUGGGCGCCCGCCCCCCUCUGGAGCCAGAUCAGGACUCUCUUCGCUCGGGAUAUUCCACCGACCUAUUGGAUCAAGAAAAACAUAGUACCACCUCGCCUAUCGACCCAAAAACGCAUAGAAGGGGAGGACUAUAUAAGCAAGGCACCUAGCCCCUGGAGAAGACAUGAAGAAAUUAUCAUAGAGACUGAGGGAUGCCCUCGAAGGAAAACCUCUUCUCUAAUUAAUAUUUCUUUUUAGGCUUAGCAACCAAUGUAAGGUAGAAAUAGAUCUUCUAGUUUCUACUAGAUUGAGAGAGAUAGAGUGGAGGUGUAGAGUGGAGGAAGCCCGGCCUGUCGGUGUCUACUCCAAGCUUGUACCUGCGGGAUCAAGUUCUCCUAACCCGAAGCUUGCUCCUAGGAUUCUUCAGUAAUUCGACUUCUAAAUUCUAGUAAGUUCUUGUUUUAUUGUUCUUAUGGUUUAUGAGUUUACUUUAAUCUCUUCGCGUAGAGUUUAGAGUAAUCAUUGCUGGCGUAAACGUGGUGUUUAGGCUGGGGUACUCAUAGAUAUUCCCUGACUAGCUGGACCGUGGUAGUAGUGAGGAACGUGACAAUUCCGAGCUACCUUUGUAGAUCACAUCUCGUUAGCAGGAAGGAUAGGGUUUAUAGGUGCGGGUUGAACAUCCUUUGUGGUGUCUAGAUUCCGUUAGCCUCCCCAUUAGAACAGUAGAUCAUCCUUACCAAGGUUAGAAGGAGACUACGGUUGCAGUCAUCUCUAUUUAUCACUCACAUCGAAAGACAUUCUUUGUGCCUAAAGGUUAGUAGUAAUAGACCGGUUAGUCAGAUGCACUCUUUCUCCUCGUGGUAAAAAAAUAAAUACGAUACUCUGGAUAAUUUCCCGGGUGAAGUGCUCACCGAUAUCCGUGCGCUUGCGGAUCAAUUCCUUAUUGCGUUCCCAAAUAUCAACAGUGAGCUCUCACUACGUCAGCAUCGACUUGCCGGCGGUUAGUGAGGGCUAUGUCCUUCCUGAUGAUGAGGCGGAGGCCCAGGAGGAGCUACAGAAGCUUGGAGAUGCCGUGGACGUCCCGGGAGAUGCCCUGGCCUCCUUCUUCGACGCUGAGGUGGAGCUUCCCCCCUUGGCGCGUAGGGACCUGGGCAAGCAGGGCAAUAAGGCCCCUUAGUUAGUUUUUUCUUUUUGUGAACAUCGAAGGCCGGUGGGCCUUGUUUUCUGUAUAAAAUAUUGAUGUUUGAAUAUGAAUGUUUAUAUGUUUGUUUCCUUUAAGAUUUCCUUUGUCUUUUGUUAUCUCUUUUUCCCUGUGCCAACCCGACCUCGGUAGCGCGGGGUCGGGUGAGCCUCUUACGGUCUGCGUUAGUCAGAACAUCCCGAGCCUGAGUCCUUUUUUCUUCCUUGGUAAUUUAGAAGUCCGGAUCCAUCCCCCGAUCCUAGGGAGUGAGUGGGGGUUGUCCUUGCCCGUGGGCGCGGAUCUUUCCUCGGGCUCACGCCUUCUUAAGAUUUAGGGGAUGGAUCUACGGUUUCUUAAAUUCUUUUAGGAAACGAAAGAAAGACCUUGGGUCGGGGUGUUUUGACUUGCGCAAAAAAAGGAAAAAAGAUUCGGAGUUGCCACAGGGGGUUCCCCCCAUGUAGCCCCCGAGGGAGGCUCGGACUCUACAAGGCAGAUCCGAGGCUUACUCUCUGAAAAGAAACAACCAUAUAAUUUGAACUUUCAUUUAUUCUUUCAAGAUGAUGAACAACUGAAUAUCUUUACAAAAUUCUAAGGGUAGAAGCGACGUAGCUGUUCUAUGUUCCACGCGUUCUUGAAGACCUCCCCUGCUUCGUUGGCGAGGUUGUAAGUGCCAGGUCGGAGGACUUCGGUGAUGACGAAGGGUCCUUCCCAGGGAGGCGUGAGCUUGUGAUGACCUUGUUGCUCUGCCUGAGCCUUAGCACCAAGUUGCCGACUUGAAAGGCUCGGCCUCGGACUCGUCGCGCGUGGUAUCGGUGGAGGGCCUGCUGGUACUUGGUGGAGUGUAGGAGGGCUACAUCUCUGGCUUCAUCCAGCUGGUCUAGCGCGUCUUCUUGGAACGUCUUGCAGCAGUUUUCGUCAUAGGCUUAUACCCUUGGGGACCCGUACUCUAGAUCUAUGGGAAGGACAGCUUCCGACCCAUAAACCAUGAAGAACGGGGUGAAGCCUGUGGCUCGGCUUCAGGAAGUCCUUAGACUGCAGAUCACGGCUAGCAACUCCUUGAGCCACCUUUUUCCGAACUUGUCCAACCGGUUGAAGAUUCUGGGUUUCAGACCCUGGAGGAUCAUGCCAUUGGCACGUUCCACCUGACCAUUGGUCUUUGGGUGAGCGACGGCUGCCCAGUCCACACGUAUGUGAUGCCUGUCGCAGAACUCCACAAAUUUCCACUCGGUGAAGUUCGUGCCGUUGUCAGUGAUUAUGGAGUUGGGCACUCCAAAUCGGUGGAUGCUAUCCAUGAAGAACAGCACUGCUUGUUCGGCCUUGAUCCUUGUGAUGGGUCAGACCUCAAUCCACUUGGAGAACUUGUCGAUUGCGACAAGCAAGUGGGUGAAGCCCCCGGGCGCCUUUUGUAGAGACCCGACGAGGUCGAGGCCCCAGACCGCAAAGGGCCAGGUGAUGGGGAUCGUCUGCAGAGCCUGAGUAUGGGAGAUGAAUCUGCCAAGCGUAAAACUGUCAUCCCUCACACGUCCGCACGAUUUCCGUGGCAUCGACCACGGCGGUGGGCCAGUAGAAGCCUUGUCGGAAGGCGUUUCCUACUAGCGUCCGAGGCGCGGUGUGGUGACCACAAGCCCGCGAGUGUAUGUCCUCCAGGAGCUUGAUUCCCUCUUGACGGGGGAUGCAACGCAUAAGAAUGCCCGAGGGGCUGCGUUUGUACAUCUCUCCGUCGAGAAGGAGAAAAGUCUUAGCGCGGCGAGCCACACGUCGUGCCUUAGCCUGGUCUGGGGGCAAAGUGCCGUUGAUGAGGCGUUGUAGCAAGGGAUAGCGCCAAUCUGGCGAGUCAUCUAGUGCAGGGGGCUCGGACUCGAUAUCCAUGGCCUCUUGUUCAUGAGCCACGGAGACCUCAGGAUCGGGGCCUGAGUCGCCUUGGGGUUGAUCCGACCCCCCGUUGUCUUUGUAGUCGACCAAAAGCUUGUAAAGGUCGAUGAUGAAGACAUCUGGGGGACCAUGGCCCGCUCAAAUGCCAUUUUGGCGAGUCCUCGGAUCCAUGGCCUCAUUGUAUUUUCUUAACACGUGGUUAAGCUCGAGGCCAUCGAACUUUUCCUCCAGGCGCCGGACUGCUUUGCAGUACACGUCCAUCUUGGGCUCGUGGCAGCUGGACUCUUUCAUGACUUGGUCGAUGAUGUGUCUGGAGUCGCCUCGGACGUCAAGCCGCUUGAUCCCAAGCUCGAUUGCGAUAUGGAGACCAUUGACAAGGGCCUCGUACUCUGCCGCAUUGUUUGAGGCGGGGAAGUGGAGUCGGAUUGCAUAUCGCAUCCUUACCCCGAGGGGCCAGAUAAAAACGAGGCCGGCGCCAGCCCCAGUUUUCAUCAAAGACCAGUCGAAGUACAAGGUCCAGCAUUCAUGCUAGAUCUGGGGUGGAGGGAGUUGGGUUCCCGUCCACUCAGCUACAAAAUCCGCUAGAACUUGGGAUUUUAUAGCUUUCCGAGGCUCAUAGGUGAUCCCAUCACCCAUAAGCUCUAUAGCCCAUUUGGCAAUUCUGCCAUUAGCCUCCCAGUUUUGAAUCACCUCCCCCAGGGGGAAAGAUGAUACUACCGAGACUGGAUGAGACUCAAAGUAAUGGUGGAGUUUUCGUCGGGCUAAGACUACAGCGUAGAGUAGUUUUUGGAUUUGGGGGUAUCGAGUCUUUGUAUCGGAUAGUACCUCACUGACGAAGUACACCGGUCUUUGGACCGGUAGGGUGGCCCUUCUUCCUUUCUUUCGACCACGAUCGCUGCGCUGGCCACCUGAUCGGUGGUUGCGACAUAGAGGAGCAAUGGUUCCCCCUCGGCGGGGGGUACCAAAAUAGGAGGGUUUGUGAGCAAAGCCUUGAGCUUGUCAAGGGCUUUCUGGGCCUCGGGGGUCCACGAAAAGUGCUCAGAUUUUCUAAGUAACCUAUACAGAGGUAGUCCUUUCUCUCUGAGGCACGAGAUGAAGCGACUGAGGGAAGCCAGGCAUCCCAUAACUCUCUGUACUCCCUUUAGGUUACGGAUUGGGCCCAUGUUUGUGAUGGCUGAGACCUUUUCAGGGUUGGCCUCGAUCCCUCGCUCAGACACAAUGAAACCGUGCAUGCCUCGAGGGACCCCAAAGACGCAUUUCUCGGGGUUCAGUCUGAUCCCUUUAGCCCUAAGGCAUCGGAAUGUUUCAUCCAGGUCGGCCACGAGACCGCUUGCCUACCUGGAUUUGACAACGAUGUCUGUUGACGGUCCUUAAGUAUCAAAUUUACUUAUCAAAUAAACAAAGAAAAGGAUCCAAAUGAAAUCAACAUCUAGACUUAGGGUUUUAUCUGACAGAAUUCCACGAGUUUUGGUGUUUGUCUAUUUCUGUAGGGGGUUAUCAGAAAAUACGGAAGAAAGGCCCACACGUCGGGAUUACAUAUCGAUAUUAACGUGCUGCGCAAUUAUCUUACAUCUAGAAGACUCCAGAAGCCACGGGAAGGAAGCGGAGGCCGAACGGGGCUAGAGGCAGGGCGCCCGCCCUCCUGCCCUGGGCGCCCGCCCUGACUUGGAGCCCAAUCAGGACUCUUUCUCUCGGGAGAUCUCCACCGACCUAAAGGAUCAAGAAUAACCAUUCAAUCAAUGUCGGUUUGAUCCGACGGCCCAGGUUCACUUGAGGGGACUAUAUAACCAGACCCCCUGGCCCCUGGAGGAGGCACCCCUUGAUCAUUAUUCAUUAUUCAUAGAUAGAGCAAAAGCUAGGGUUUAGAGAUGAGAGCUCUCCUCUCUUCUCUAAACUAGAGUAGAUCUAGAUAGUAGCAAGAUGGAGAGCGAAGGAGGAUUAGAGGAGAGGCCGGCCUGUCGGUUCUUCCUCCGGUUGUACUUCGUCAUGAUCAAGCUCUAAUCAAGCUUGCUCAUGGAAUGACUCUGGUAAUCUACUUCUAAUUCAUUAUGCAAUUACUAAUCAUGUAUGUUCUGGUUCACAACUCUUUUGAGUACUUCUAAUCUAUAGGACGCUAUAGGUUAGAGUUGUAGUAUAGGUGUAAGCGUGGUGCUUAGACCUAGAUUACUUGUGGAUAUCCCCUGUCUAGCUGGAUCGUGUGGUAGGCCGCGUAGGUGACAGUUACGUUGGUCCUCUGUAGUCCACCUCUCGUUAGCAGGACGGGUAGGGUUUAUCGGCCUAUGGAUAAGCAUCCUUUGUGGUGUACUCUUAUCACGUGGUUCGUCCCAGACAUAGACAUACCCCUUUGAAGUAGAGAAACCAUAGUUAUCCUCUCUAUUCUGCUACCAUCGUCCAUAUACUAGAAUUGCUCUACUCUCUAUUUCCAUAUUAUCACUCACUGUUAUCUUACCUUUAAUAUUGUUCUUAUUCGAUUCUAUCAUCUUUCCUAUUUACACCUAUCUAUCUACCUUGGUUAAGUUAGAGCGUAGUUGGUUCUCCCGUUUCCCUGUGGAUACGAUAAAACCUUUAACCGGGUAAAAGCUUCAACGGUAUCCGUGCGCUUGCGGAUUAUCUGUGUGCGUAUAAAUACCAUAGUACACUCUAGUGCCAUGCUGGGGAUGACAACCUAGUAUUCAAGUGGUGUUAGCAAGUGUCAACAAGCAUUUUUGGCGCCGUUGCCGGGGAAACGGUUGCUGAGUUGACUACGAACUAGCUUAAUCAUUUUCUAAAAAAUAAAAAAAAAUAUUUUUUCCUUUUAUCUUUUGCCUUAUCUCUGCUAAUCUUUUUUAUCUAAUCCUUGAUCUCUGGUCUACCAUGAAUUCAAACAUGUCUAUCUAUGAAUUUCAUAGACCUACGGGCACACAUCUCGAACCACCAAAAUCUUCAAAGCCUAUCAUAGCAUCUAGUUUUGAGAUAGACCCCGAAUACAUAGAAUUUGUUCAAAAACAACCUUUCUCAGGAGAAGGUGAGGAAAACCCAUACACACACCUAAGAGAGUUUUAUCGAGUCUGUGACCUCCUUCGCAUAGAAGGAAUGUCCGAUGAGACCCUUAAAUGGAAGCUCUUUCCGUUCUCUUUAACGGGAAAAGCUAGACAUUGGUACAAACUCAAAAUAGGGAGUGUUCAUGGAGAUUGGAAGGAGUUAUAUAGUAGUUUUCUUUCUAAAUAUUUUCCAAUCUCCAAAGUGGCGGAACUUCGGCGUGAGAUUAUUUCUUUUAGACAACUGGAAGAAGAAUCUCUUAGGACAUCAUGGGACCGCUUUAUUAACCUUACUCUCACUGGCCCAAAGCUUUCUAUUCCAGAAGAAGUUCUUCUAAUUCACUUUUUUGAGGGCCUUAGUGGGGAAAAUAAGCAAACCUUGAAUACAGCCUCUAGAGGAUCCUUCUAUCACCUACCUGCUAGUGAAGCUUGGAAUUUGAUUGAUUUAUUAAGUGGAAAGUCUCCUAGCUUUUACAUCCCUGAGAAAGAGACAGAACCAGUUCCUAGACAAGAAGAAGAAGUUUCGAUAGCCAGAUCACAACCACUUCAAUUCCAAACUUUAGCUAUCAAUCCUAAACCAUCAAUACCCCAAAAUUCUCCAAGGGAGGAAGGAAUUCCAACCUUAAAUCUUUCAGAUGCUGAUGGUUUAGACUUCUGGUUCCAUAAGAGACCUUCAAGCAGGGAUAAUUCAAAUCCUCACAAUAAUGGUUCUCUUAGAGAAUGUCCUGGUUCCUGUUAUGAAGAGGUCGAGGAUGACAUAUCAAGUGAAGGAGAGCUAAGCCAUAUAGAAAAUUCUAACACCUCCCCUUUCUUGAUCACAAGUUCUAAAUGGUUAGAAUGUGUAGAAUGGAUGGAUAAGGAAGAAGCCUUAAUGGAUUCUGACUUUGGCUCAAUUUCAAAUGAUGAGUUCUUGACUCCCUUUGAAGAUGGGAUUCAUCCAACUAUAGAAGAGGACAUAAGUGAGACCAAUCCAAGAGAAACUCUGAACAUUCAGAUUGGAGACGAAGAUAACAUUAAUGAGCAUGGAAUUUAUUUCAUAGCCACUUUGUUUACUCCAUGCUUAUAUGCAACAUCUUCCCAAUCUAUUGGUCUCUCUGACAUCACCACACUUGAGAUCUCCAACCCCCUCUUCCUUUCUAUUUAUAAAAACUUUAAAAGGGCGGUUGUCGAUGCAUAUGUCUAUAAUAAAUAUUGCAGAUCUCGUUGAGUUGAUCUUAAUUUAGGUCAGCGUUGGAAGGGAAACCACUUCGCCGACAUAAAUUGAUGGUUUCCCAAGGACAAGCUUGGUGUCCUAAAAUAAGCACUGAUCAGAUCGUAACAUGAGUUUUUAAUUAUUUGCAACAUUACCUUGUGUAUUGAGCAUAUAAGGAUAAUUGUAAAAAUAUUCCUUCGGGUAUUCUUGUCACUAACCUUUCCAGGAUUGGAACAAGAAGAUCAGAUGAAUGACAAGCAAGUACAAGGUAUGUCUAACCAAUCAUCAUGCAACACUGAAUUAAAUUCAUCCAAACUUGAAUUCUGCAAAAUUCAAGCUUGGGGGAGUACUUUACAUAAAAACAUCCUUUGCCAUGUUGCUAUGUUGGUUGUCCCUACCUUUAAGACAUGCUCAAUUUGUUAAAUACUAAUCACACUACUUCAUCUCCAUUUGAAUAGAUCUCUAUAAAUGCCAUCACGCUACCUUUGUCUAUUUACUAGUAAGUGUUAGUUUGGAAGUACUGCACAUACUUCUAUUGGCUUUUAAAUUAAGCAUGGAGCUUAGGUUAAACAACCUUCCUUAAUCUGAUUAGACAUGGAGUCUAGUUCGGUUAUUGAACUAAAAACUGCUUGUGUAGACAUUAGUAUAUUUUUGUCAGACUAACCCCUGCAGAAAAAACUUUCACUAUCGAUUUGGGAAGUCCUGAGAUAAACUCACAUCAGAGAUGAAGAGAGUGACACAUGAAGUUUAACAAUUUGCACAAGAAGGACAUAGCUCAUUCAUCAUAGAGAGAUGAUCCAUGUAGGGUGCACAAAUACGAUGCACAACCACUAAGAAAGGAAAGCUUCCACAAGGUGAUACUACACCAUCACUCUUCAAGUAAGGUAACACCUUAAGGUACUUGACUAUCACUUUUAUAAGCUUCUCCUUGGUUCUGGCGUUCAUAUAAAUAAAAGAGACAAACAUGUAUGAGUUACAACUCUAGAUUAACCAACCCAACUGAUUCAACAUGUUUAGUCAUUUAAUCCUUGUUCUUAGUACUACCUCCAUGAUCCCACACUCCUAAUCAUAUGAGCUAAAAUGUUACACAUUCAAUCAUUGAGAGAUAUAAAGAAAAAGACAUAUACAUAGAUAGAUUAUCUUUCCAUAAGGUUGAGCGAUCUGAUCUGACAAAUGUUAUAAGUGCUACACUCAUGAACUUUUCAUCCAUCAACUUCGUCUUGCGCACUAUGCUUAGGGUUAGAGAAGAACAAAUAUACUUUUGGUUCUGUUGGUGUUUUCCACCAACAGGGCCCAUGCACUUGAUCUCUGCCUUGUCUCUAUGAGCAGGUACACUACGAGCACAAACACACUGAGCAAGAUACUGCUAACACCGCACUUCGAACUGCUGGGCAAACGAAGAACAUGGGUGACACCGUAUUAAAAGGUGCAGACGUCAAGGUCCGCACCUGAAUCAAAUGACGCACCUGAAGAAUGAACACGGUGAGAAGUCUUGUCAAGAAGACUUAAAACAUUGAACCCUUGCCGAAAGGUAAGAUUGGUAGUUAUCCAUAUUUAUCCUUUCUGCAUUCCCUUUUCCCUUUAAUUAUUUACUUUCCUUAAAUAGAUUUUUAGUUAAUCAUGCUAUCUUGAAAAGAAAAUAAAAAUGUUAAAAAAUACUAAGCCCCAUGUGAGUAUACGAGUGGCAUAAAACCCAUAAGUACCUUCACUGUGGUGCCAUAAAAAUAAAAUAAAUAUUUCUUUUCUACUUUAUAAAAUAAAAAUAUAAAAACAGGGAGUAAUAUUUAUUAAGGAAGCUCAACGUGAUGAAGGCUAGAUAUUUAUGCUAACACUUAAUUAGUUCCACAAGCUUUGUUGUCUAUUUGAGCUCCACAGAAUUUAAGAAUCAAGAAGACUAGCAGACGGAGGACAUUCUAAUCGCUGUCAGAAUGCUGCUGACUUUCAAAUACACCUCUGCCACCUGCUAGCUACAUCAAGAGAAAUUACGUCAAAAUUCAGCUUGGGGGAGAGCACCCCUAUUUAUCUCGCUAAGUAUUUCUACCUAUCUUUAUACUUAUAUUAUAUUAGAAUAUUAAAAUACAUAAACUAUGAAAAAACCAAAUAAAUAUUUUAUGCUUAUAUAUAUAUAUAUCUUUUCUUAGUUUGCUAAAUAAAUAAAUUAAUUAAUUAAUUAAUAAAUAAAGUGGCUAUGCUAAUCUGAAUCUUAAUAAUAAAACUCUAGCAUGGAUAUGAUGAAUAGUUGCUCUGCCUAAUUUGCAAAUUUGAAGUUCUCUCUCAAGUUUAGACAUAACUGUUAUAAUUUAAAGCUUGCUCUAGAUCUAAACUUGUGGGAUGAAAACUUGAUCUGAAAUCUAAGUUGUUAACGGAUAAGAUAUGAGAAGGUUGAGCUGUUGUUUAUCUAUUCCUAGAGAUGCUAGAAUUCUGGAGAAUUUUAUCUUUAAAAAAUCUUUAAAAUAUUGCAUGAUGAGUUCCUGUAUGAUAAAAGUUUAAAUUCCUACCACAGCCAUAUAUACAUGCUUGCUAGACUUUGAGCCACACAUUUAUUUACUGCUUAUGAGCAUUGAGUGUGGUCAAGCUGUGUAGACCCUUAGGAGCUUGUCAUGUGGUUAAAUCAAGAUUCACUUGCACGUUCACUCAUAUAUGCUACUUCUACUCCAGAAGUACCAUCCACAUAUAUCCAUCCAUUUCCAUCUCCAGUUUCACCCAAAAUCAUUCUACUCCUAAUCCGGGAGAGAAUAGCCAAAAACAUUUUCCUAUCCCUGUUAUUCCCUGUGAAAUAAAUGCUCCAGUUAUUUUGCUACUACCACUUGCUAUAUUAUCUCAAGAGAUGAGUGCUCUAAAAAAAAGAAAGAAAAAAAAAAGAAAGAAAAAAAAAUAAACGAGGAAAUAAAAAGGGGCAAGUGCCCGGAACCUCGAAAGAAAAGAAAAAGAGUGAGACGAGAGGUAAAAAUGGACAAGUGUCCGACAGUAGAAUUAGGGGUACAAGAUACCCACCUGAGAGGAAAGAAAAAGAAGAGCAUCUCAUUCUCCUCAUAAAGUUUCAAAAAGCAAGGAAGGUAUGUAUCCCCUCAAAAGAGCAAAGGUAGAAUUAGACUUUCACCAUUGUUAUCACCAUCAUCACCAUACACCAUUCAUUUGCCACACAUGCACAUCUUGAUUUGGCUUAUUGAUUUGUUUCUUUGGAUCCAUGGUUUGACUAUACAAUAAAUGUCUUGUAAGUAUGUAUACUUUAUCUCCCACCUAUAAGCUCGAGAUAUUAAAGCCUUAUUAGAGUAGGGUGAGAGAGAAGGCAAUGUCACUAUGCCUUAUACCACAAAUACCAUAUAUCUUGAGAGAAGGCAUAUACCAUCACUGCCUUGGUAAGGAUCCAGAAAUACCACAAAAGAGAGAUUUAGAGAGUCAUACGAGGAAUCUCUGAGUUUUAUUUGAAAAUAUGUAAAAACUCAAGAGCUAUAGCUGAUCAAGAAUAAGAGACAUGGCACUUGGCUAGACUGUUCUAUCUUUUAACUACUCAAGACAGAAGUGACGGUUACAAGUCCCAUGGUGAAAGGUAAAGUAAGUAAGUUUUAGUUCUUGACAGUUUACUCUAACUCAGAGAUGAGAUCUUAUUUAAAAGCAUGUGUACCGUCAAAUUUUUAAGAUAUUGCAACAACUUCUGAUCCAUUGCUGAGUCUAUCCUUGCUCAGGGACGAGCAAGAGGUAAGCUUGGGGGAGUUUGUUGACGGUCCUUAAGUAUCAAAUUUAAUUAUCAAAUAAACAAAGAAAAGGAUCCAAAUGAAAUCAUGUAACAUCCCUGAUGUUACGGUUACUAAAAACGGAUCAUGUCAUCAUAAGCAUUGUAAAGCAUAAUUAUUAAAGCACAUUAGUAUGCAUCAACUUAAAAUAAGUUUACUUUGAUUGCUUGAGCUUAGGGAAGUAGAGUGUGCUUUUGUAGUGUGGUGAUGCUUGUGUGGUUGCUAAAACCCUAGGGUGGAAGUUUUCCGUUAAGCUAAAGGGGGAAAAACCCUGAUUUCUGGAUCCUAGAUUUGCCCCUUUUUGUAUAAUUCAAAAACUAAGCAAAAUUUGAGGUUGAGUUCAAAAGCAAAGUUGUAGCUCUUGGCAAGAUGUACAACUUUGGUGUUUUGAGUUUUUGAAGUUCCAAUACAAAAUUCAAAGUAAUUUUGAAAUUACAGAUUUCCGAAAAGUGUCCCCUUUUCUAACUUAAACCCCCAAUUCAAAAUCCAUUUGGAAUUCUGAAAAGUGGUCAACAUGAAAGUUGUAGAGCACAAAAAGUUGAGCAACUUUCAUGUUGGAAGUUUUUCAAGUUGUUAUACAAAAUCAAAAGUAAUUUUGGAAAUUCUGUUUUGCCCCAAUUCAAAAAUUUGGAAUUUCUUGGAUUUGAGUUUGAUUUUCAAACUGUUUGGCCAAAUUCACCCUGUUACACUCAAAAUCAGUUCUGGACUCUUAAAUAGGUUUUGUAGCUUAUAAAAUUUGGCACAACUUUUGUUUUGGUGGAAAUUUGACUUUAGUUCAAAUUUUGGUCGGAUUUCACAAAAAGACAACUGAGUGGAUGAGGCCGGCUACAGUGAUCGGCAGGGGGGGGUGCUCUGCCGCCGGGGCAGAGCCGCCUCCGCGCGCGCCGCCACGCAGCUGGCCACGCAGCUGCUUGCUGCUGUGCUUCGCGUGGACGUCCUCAUCCGCGAACCGCCUUCCGUUGUGGGGAUAAAGCCCCGAGUGGCCAGAGUCCCCUUUUCUUUUUCUUGAACCCCGACGCCGACGAGCUCCCUGCGCCUCUCCAAUUCGCCUCACUCGCUGCCGUUUCAAGCCACCUGAGCACCCCAGCAGCUCCGCCGUGAGCCCCGCCACCGAUUGCGCCCCCAAACACACGCUCUAUCCUACCGUAGCUUCCACCCGAGCCGUUUCUCCCCCAACUCCGGCCGAGCGCCACCGCAAGCACGUCACCGUGGCCAGCUUCACCCCGCGCCUCCCCGCUGCUGUUUCUUGCUUCGUUGAAGUCACGGUGAGCUUCUGGUGCUGUUGCGCCGCUUACUUCACGCUCUACUCGCCUGAAGCGGCCGGCGAUGGCUCGACCGCGGCGGCCAUCCGCCAUGAGCGUGGACAGGGAGGGUAGGAGGGAGUAGAGGUGGUCUCGUAUGUCCUAGAGGUUGCGUGAGACGCUGGAGAUGCUAACCCACCCCGCCGCGCAGGCCGGGAGCUCACCGGCGCAGAGCCGGAGCUCACCGGAGCGGUGGUGGGAGGUUGAAGACGCCUCUGACGGGCGGGACCCGCCCGUCAGUGGCCGCGUGAGAGAAAGCGCGCGCGCGGUCCGCGCGGGAGAGCACUCUCGGGCCGACUUGGGCCAGAUCCCAGCGGGCCGCCAGCGUGGCACAGUGCCCUUUUCUUUUUCUUUUUGUUUAAAAGUGCUUAAUGUUUGAAUUUGUGUAAUAAUUCGUGUGCUAAUCCAAAAAUCGUGGAAAUUUUUGUGUAGAUUCUCUGAAAUAUAUAGAACCCAAUAAAAAUAUUAAAUUCUGUUUUCUGGUAGUUUACAUGUCUGUAAAAAUUUGCCCUUUUAAUUAGCAAAUAAAACUUGUAUGAUUUUUAAUAAUUUAUUUGUAUGUCCAAAAAUCACCAAAAAUUGUGGGGAGCCUCUGAAUAUUAUUCCCUGGCUCCACACAAAAUUUGAUGGCAUUUGGAUAAUGUUUGAUUAAAAUAUUAAUAAACCCUUAUUUAGUACUUAAGUAAUAAUUCCAAAAUAAUUAAAUAGUGAUUAAUUAGGUCCUCAUAAUUAGGGUUGAGUGAUUUUGGAUUAUGUGAUGACCUGAGGUCAUUAACCCUAAUGACCUUUGGCAUUUAAUUAUUGUUUAGCCUUAAUGCUUAAUUACUGUCAUUAGUAAUUAAUUAAGAGUUAAUUAAGGUAAAUAGGUUUAAUAAUUACUUAAUUUAAGAUAAUUAUGAAUUAAGUAAAGUUUUAGUUUACAGAUGCAACCUCUUGGGUAAAAAUAUUAAGUUAUUAAACAACUUUAUUUAUUAAUUGUUCUGCACUGCAUUGGGAGGACAAAUUGUACUUAAUUCGGUCCAUCUUGCAUAAUUGCCAUACGCAUAUCAUAAGCAUUCAUCAUCUUGCGUAUAGCGUCCGUGAUCGAAGGAGCGCCCGUUGAACCGAACCCCGAGGUCGGUGCUCCGUUCGAGGAAGUCGGAUCCGAGACUUGGGAAGUCUCCGAGGGUCCCUCUCUGCCCUGCAACCAAGGCAAGCCCCGGAUGCAUUAACCCCUCCUUGGAUGUUUUAAAUCUUUUAUCACUUGUAAAUUAAAAAUGCUGCAUUAUGUAGCUAAGAAUUGGGUUAACCUACUUGCUGCAUUUACUACCUUGAUAUUUGUUAUCCUGUCCUUGACACCUGUUUAUUUUAAAACUGCGUAGCAAUGCUUAGCCCUGCUACUAGAUAGGUUUUAAACAAGAAAGUUUGAAGGGUUGUUGUGGGAUACACUUACUAUCAAUGAAGUUUCAAUUUGAGACCGGUCGGUGGACUUGCUUUAAGAAUGGAGUCUUAAAGUAGUGUCUCCAACUGUGUCGAUUAAGGACCGGUCCGUUGAUGGCCUGCUGGGUUGAGAAUUUAUAGUACUAGCCACUUGCCUCCGGUAAGCCCAGUCUUGUGAUCCCUCGACGCGAACAGCUACUCGCGCACUGGGAGUGGAAAGAUGGCGAGAGUAGUGUGUACCCACCUUACGGAUCUGAGAUGACCGGAAAACAUCUAGAUCGGCUGUAGGAUGGUGGAGUACUGUGCUCUCGGGUGCCGCGAACCUAGUCAAAUUUGGGGAGAGCUUGAUUUGGGUUGAUAUAUGCAAGAAUUGGUUCUACAUAUGUCGGGUGGUUAGGAACUCCAGCUGGAUUGCUAAGCGAUUCGAAUCGUCGUUGCUUCCCGAUUGGGAGACUCAAUUCCUUCGACCCUCAUCGUAGUUAAAUAUGCAACUAAGUGAUAUAAUGAGAAGGGGAAAAUGUCUCAUGAGGUUCGGAUCCCAAUUCCCGGACCCAUAGCGACAUGAAGCUAUGGCCAUCAAUAAAUAAUACUUAAUGAUAGGACUAGGAACUCACGGAUUCGUCUGUGGGGAACAACUAGUUAGACUAUCCUCGAAUUCCUCUGCCUCUGCGAGGGAGGAAUUCUGGAUAAAACUUGAAAAUAAGGAUGCACUACUAGUAAGCUUUUACGCAAACACUUUGGCUCCUUGCUCAGCCACCCCUUGUCUACCCUAAGCCUGCAUCCCUAAAUUCUCCUCUUUUCCCCGGCGGAUAAGUCUUGUUGAGUACUCCCGUACUCAGGGUUUCAAUACCCCUGUUGCAGGUGAAGCACAGGAGCCGACUUGUUUCGGACCCUGUUGUGUGACCGUCGUCGAGGUUGACGACGAAGAAGAGUGAGCGUGACCCAUGGGCAGGGUCUGUAAUUUUGUUCUGUCUGUACUAAAGUUUCAGUUGCUCCGCUGGACCAGGCUUGUAAUAACACUCUACUAUUUGGAAGCACUCCUUUUGUAAAUUAAGUUAUGUAAUACUUCCGCUAUUUCACUCUGAAAUAUUAUUUUGGUCUUGUGUUGUUGAGUUACUGCUUUAUCUUCGCAACGAAUGAUCCUGGUGUUAAAGUGGCCACUUGCUAUCCUGUAAGGGCAAGGAGAAACAGUUCUCGUUGUUUGACCAUUACCAGUGGUCAGGACAAGCCAGCUUGGUACGCCACAGGUAGCAGUGGAAUGAGCGCCCCAAUGCUCAUCGGACUUCUAAAGUGGGAGGACUCCCGGCAUCACCGUCAGAGGUCCUUAGGACAAUGGCAGGUGUCGGUGGGCCCAAACACUUAGGAGGUUCUGCCACAGCUGGUAUCAGAGCAUUCGUUGCUAAGAUGACUGCUGAACCUUUUGAAAAACUUCAAAAAUUCGUUUGGAACUAAUAUUAUGAACCUGCCUAUUUUGAGUCCAAGUGCUUAGUCCUAACCUACCCCUGUCUAUAGGCUUUCUUAGAAUUUUUGAAGUGGUAUGGAGGAGCAACAUAAAGUAUUGCCCUAUGUUGUAAAAGUUUAAAGUAAUAACGUUACGAAUUGUUAGUAGGAAUCGUAAGUUCGUGCAUGCAUUAUGAUGUAUUAACUGAUUAAGUUCCUUCCUCCUUGUUGGGUUGGGUGAAUAGAAUCAAUCCUAUUCUUGCUAACCUUUAAGGUCUCUCUUACUAAUCUAAACUUACCCUCUACAGGAUGGCUCGUCAGAAGCAGACCCCGCGUAAGCGGACCGGUCCAAAAGGAGUUCCCCGACAUCAGCUAGCUCCACGCAGUGAUCAAGCCAGUAGUAGCCGUUCACCGCCUCAGCAGGAGGUGGACAGGUUGUCCGCCGAGUUGACUGAGGUGAUGAGAGAGAGAAUGUACAAUGUUAUGGAGAUUGGCAAACUUAAAGCUCAAUUGGCCAAAGAAAAACAAGCUACGGAAAACUGUGAAGCUAUGUUGUCCCGGAUGGUGGAGGAGCGGAAUGCAGCCAUUGCCCGAGAGGAAGAAGCUAGGAGCACCCAUAGGCAUGAGCUAACUAGGAUGAACGCAAAGUUGGGCAAGGCAAAGUAUCUUAAGGAUUUGUAUGUGAAGAUGGCGGCCACGGUCACCGCACAACGGGAUGUCGCGUGGCAACGAGAGGACCAGCUCCAGCUGGAGAAACUGGAGCUGGCACAUCACUUGGAUACAGUCAAUGACUUGGCUAUGCAGUAUCGUGAUAUUGCAUUUGAUCUGUAUCAUCAACUCCACCCACCUCCCGGCGAAGGAGAAAUGGAUACAGAUGGCGAGUUGGCAGAUGAUGGAGAACCCGACCCAGGCCUCAGUGAUGAAGAGGAGUCCGACCCCGAUGACCACAACCCAGGGGGUAAUCAAGAUGAUGGCAAUGACGACCAGGGCUACAGUUCUGGCCACACCGAUUAGUUCGGUGAAACCGAGGGCAACGUCGUUAUAGGGGUCUUAGCUUGCCGUAGUAGGGUUCGGGUUUGUCAUAUAAGUUUUCUUUUGGUUUGAGAAGUUGAACCUGUUUACUCUUGGUGUGUUGAACUAAUGUUUAAUAAGUGAAUGAAAGAAUGUAAGAUAUGUCUGUGUUAUGAAUUUUGCGUGAUAACAGGUAUCUACGAUUCUUGUAACAGAUGCCGAUGCGUACUCGCGGAUCCGAUGGAGCUGGGACAUCCCAGGGAGGGGAUGAUAUCCCCAACCCUCCACCUGCUCCACCUUCUUUGGCUGACGCCAUUGCUGUCUUGCUAAGUGCCACAACUGACAAUGCUCGCUUGCUGCGCGAGCUAGCACAGCGUCAAACACACUCUGCUCCAAAUAUCAGAGCACCGCGCAACGGGGAUGGAGAGGCUCGGUAUGUGGAUUUUACCGAGACCAGGCCCCGGUGUUCACUAAGGCCGAUGAGCCUUUAGAAGCGGAUGACUGGCUCCGAACUAUGGAGCAUAAGUUCAGUUUAAUUCAGUGUUCAGAAACUCAGAAACCCUUAUUUGCAGCUCAGCAACUUCGGGGAGCUGCAGGUGCCUGGUGGGAGAACUUCUUAGCUAUUCAAGCUCCCGGACACCAAGUUACCUGGACCGAGUUUAGGGACGCGUUCCGCGCCCACUACAUCCCCGAAGGGCUCAUGGCCAUGAAGGCCGAAGAGUUUCUCGCCUUGCAGCAAGGCGAUAAAAGUGUUAUGGAAUACGUGGCAAGGUUUAAUCAUCUCUCUCAAUAUGCCACGGAUCAUGUGAACACUGACAGAAAGAGGAAAGCCUGUUUCAUGCGUGGUCUAAAUACUAAACUUCAGACCAUGAUGACCACUUGCCAAAAUGCUACUUUCUAUGAGGCGGUAAAUAUUGCUAUCGCCUCAGAGGAAAAGAAUAGGAAACAUAAGGAAGCCAAGAAGAAGGCUGCUUCCUCUUCUUUCUCUGGUCGCGGUCAAAAGCGCCAGAGGAUCAUUUAUCAUCCACAGGGCCACGGACGUUUCCAAGCGCCGUCAUAUUAUCGUGGUCCUUUCUCCCCUCCACAGUACAGACCCGGGCAGCAGGCAUAUUCUCGACCUACUGCCCUCGCUUUUGCACCACGCCAGCCGAACGCCCCGGGUGUUCGCCCUACUGCUCCGCCCAGCCACAAUUACCCUUGCUUCAAUUGUGGUAAACCUGGGCAUUUCUCUAAAGAGUGCCCUUUUCCCCGUCAAACCAACCCUACCUUUUCAAGGCCACCUAUGGGCCAACCCCAGCCGGGUCAGUUCAGAACUGGGGUUCAAAAAGGGCAACCGGUACAGAAAGGUAGACCGGUAAAGAAAACAGGGCAAGUCUUCCAUACUGAAGUGGAGACAAUUCCAGAGGGUGAACCAGUGAUGAUGGGUACGUUUCCUGUUGCGAAGCAUCCUGCUUUAAUGCUCUUUGAUUCUGGUGCAUCUCAUACAUUUAUCAAUCGCACCUUUGUGUUAAAGCAUGGCAUACCCAUUGGGGAAACGCAAGAUCAUUUUUAUAUACAGUCGCCAGGAGGACGGCUGAUGUCUAAAGAAAUGGUUCACCAAAUACCCAUCGAAUUGGGUGGGCACAAUUUUCCUACUAGUAUGAUUGUUCUUAAGGACCAAGAAAUUGAUGUCAUCUUAGGCAUGAACUGGAUGGCGCAACGAGGGGUUGUGCUAGACACUUUGCACCGAACCAUUAAAAUCCCAUUGCCCAAUGAGAAUUCCUACUUGCUAAUCCAAUUAGUUACUCCCAAACGGACAAUUGGGCAAGUUCAUGCCGCUAGUGUGCCUGAAGUUAAAAAUAUCCCGGUAGUUCGAGAUUUCCCGGAUGUAUUUCCUGAAGACUUACCAGGUCUGCCUCCGGACCGGGAUGUACAAUUCAGUAUAGAAUUGAAACCAGGAACGGCCCCAAUAUCUCGAAGGACCUAUAGAAUGGCACCGAAAGAGCUGGCCGAAUUAAAAACCCAAUUACAAGAGUUGUUGCAGAAGGGUUUUAUUCAGCCUAGUUCUUCUCCAUGGGGUUGCCCAGCCUUGUUUGUGAAGAAGAAAGAUCAGACAUUAAGGCUGUGUGUCGACUAUCGUCCUCUAAAUGAGGUGACGAUUAAGAACAAGUACCCUUUGCCCCGCAUUGACUUAUUGUUUGACCAGCUAGCUGGGGCCAAAGUGUUCUCAAAAAUUGAUUUGAGAUCAGGGUACCACCAAAUUAAAAUUAAGCCGGAAGAUGUACCCAAGACAGCUUUUACAACCCGUUAUGGGCUGUAUGAAUACUUGGUGAUGUCUUUUGGGUUGACCAACGCACCGGCUCAUUUUAUGUACCUGAUGAACUCUGUCUUCAUGCCAGAACUAGACAAAUUUGUGGUCGUCUUCAUCGAUGACAUCUUGAUUUACUCCAAAACUAAGAAGGAACAUGCUGAACACUUGAGAAUCGUGCUGACCCGUCUUAGGGAGCAUCAGCUGUAUGCCAAGUUCAGCAAAUGUGAGUUCUGGCUGGACAAAGUUCAUUUCCUGGGUCAUGUAUUAUCAGCGGAAGGAGUCGCUGUAGACCCAGGCAAGGUAGAAGAUGUGUUGAAUUGGAAACCCCCGACUACGGUACAUGAGGUCCGUAGUUUUCUGGGCAUGGCGGGAUAUUACCGUCGUUUUAUCCCGGACUUUUCCAGAGUCGCCAAACCAAUCACAACCUUACUCAAAAGUCAAACAAAAUUUGUUUGGUCACCCCAAUGUGAGCAAGCUUUUCAGACUCUGAAAAGAUUGUUGACAACUGCACCUGUCUUAGCCCAGCCAGAUAUUGAAAAACCCUUUGAUGUAUAUUGUGACGCAUCAGGAAUCGGGUUAGGCUGUGUGCUGAUGCAGGAGGGUCGCGUAAUUGCAUAUGCUUCCAGGCAACUCAAACCUCAUGAAGAGAAUUACCCGACCCAUGAUCUCGAACUAGCCGCCGUGGUACAUGCAUUGAAGAUCUGGCGUCAUUAUUUGUUGGGAGACACAUGUCAUCUAUAUACAGAUCACAAAAGCUUGAAGUAUAUCUUUACUCAAGCCGAGCUUAAUAUGCGCCAGCGAAGGUGGCUAGAACUGAUUAAAGAUUACGACCUUGAGGUGCAUUAUCACCCUGGCAAGGCAAAUGUAGUAGCGGAUGCCCUCAGUCGUAAGGCUCACUGUAAUUGCUUAACAGUGAAGCCUAGGGAUAUAACUUUGUGCCAAGAGCUAGAGAACUUGGGAAUAGAAAUGAUUUCCCAAGGGAGCCUUUCCAAUUUAAAGAUUGAUUUCAAUCUCGAGGCUCAAAUCAUAAAGGCACAAAAAGAAAACAAAGGCAUGAGACAUCUUAAAGAGAAGAUCUCUAAUAGAGCACUCACAGACUUUGAGGUGGAUGAUGCGGGAGUAAUCUGGUUCAAGAACCGGUUAGUGGUUCCAAAGGUACCUGAGCUACGUCAGCAAAUCCUAGAUGAAGCUCAUACCACGAGGUAUUCUAUUCAUCCGGGAAGCAAUAAGAUGUAUCAGGACCUGAAGCAAAGGUUUUGGUGGACAAAAAUGAAGAUAGAAAUAGCUCGCUAUGUGGCCCAAUGUGACACCUGUCGAAAGGUCAAAGCCAUUCAUCUCAAAUCCGCUGGGGAGUUGCAACCUUUGCCUAUCCCCGCAUGGAAAUGGGAUGACAUAAGUAUGGAUUUCAUAGUAGGAUUGCCCAAAACGGCCAAGGGCUUUGAUUCCAUUUGGGUCAUAGUAGAUCGUCUCACCAAAACAGCACAUUUUUUGCCGGUAAAGCUAUUAUAUCCUGCCUCCACCUAUGCUAAGAUUUAUUUCGACCGUAUCCUAAGUCUGCAUGGAGUGCCAAAGACAAUAGUGUCAGAUAGAGGCACACAAUUUGUCUCCCAAUUCUGGAAAUGUUUACAUAAGUCCCUGGGCACUAAGCUCUUAUACAGCACAGCCUACCACCCUCAAACUGGUGGGCAAACUGAAAGGGUAAAUCAAACCCUAGAAGAUCUAUUAAGAUCUUGUGCCCUGAAUUUUCCAGAUAAGUGGGAUGACUGCUUGCCUCUAGCAGAAUUUUCCUACAAUAAUAGUUAUCAAGAGAGUAUCAAAAUGGCUCCCUUUGAGGCACUGUAUGGUCGCCGAUGUCGAACUCCGUUACACUGGUCAGAACCUGGAGAAAGAUGGUUCUUCGGAGUUGAUUUGGUGAAAGAGACUGAGAACAAAGUGAAACAAAUCCAAAAUAACUUGAAAGUUGCUCAGUCCCGACAGAAAAGUUACACUGAUAAAAGACGUCGACCAUUAAAGUUCGCCAAAGGUGAUCAUGUGUAUUUGAAAGUAUCCCCAAUGAAAGGAGUGAGUCGUUUUGGUGUUAAAGGCAAGUUAGCGCCUCGUUACAUUGGUCCAUUUCCAAUUAUUGACCGAUGUGGGCAAGUCGCUUACCGCCUUAAACUGCCCGAACGAUUAUCCGGGGUACAUAAUGUGUUCCAUGUGUCUCAACUGAAAAAGUGUCUUCGGGUACCAGAUCGAGUUCAAGAUAUUGAAGAUGUAAAGCUUGAACCAGAUCUAACUUAUUCGGAAUACCCUAUCCGAGUACUGGAUCAAAAAGAUAGAGUUACUCGAAGGACAACCACCAAAUGGUAUAAGGUACAAUGGAGCCAGCACUCUGAAGAAGAAGCCACCUGGGAAUCUGAAGAUUACUUGCUAGAGAAUUUUCCUGAAUUCUAUGCUUCUCUUCAGGACAAUAUAUGAUAACCAGAGGAGGUACUCUAGUAAAGAAACAGAAUCGCCAAAGCCAUGUACUGAAUGUACAUAUACGCAUAUAAUGAAGAAUUUUUCCCCAACUCCUUGCCUUAUGGAAAGGUUGAAGAUGAAAGAGUUUUGACAAAUUUCCUUUUCCAUUACUUAUCCUAAGGUUUUAAAUCUCGGGGACGAGAUUUCUUUAAGGGGGAAGGACUGUAACAUCCCUGAUGUUACGGUUACUAAAAACGGAUCAUGUCAUCAUAAGCAUUGUAAAGCAUAAUUAUUAAAGCACAUUAGUAUGCAUCAACUUAAAAUAAGUUUACUUUGAUUGCUUGAGCUUAGGGAAGUAGAGUGUGCUUUUGUAGUGUGGUGAUGCUUGUGUGGUUGCUAAAACCCUAGGGUGGAAGUUUUCCGUUAAGCUAAAGGGGGAAAAACCCUGAUUUCUGGAUCCUAGAUUUGCCCCUUUUUGUAUAAUUCAAAAACUAAGCAAAAUUUGAGGUUGAGUUCAAAAGCAAAGUUGUAGCUCUUGGCAAGAUGUACAACUUUGGUGUUUUGAGUUUUUGAAGUUCCAAUACAAAAUUCAAAGUAAUUUUGAAAUUACAGAUUUCCGAAAAGUGUCCCCUUUUCUAACUUAAACCCCCAAUUCAAAAUCCAUUUGGAAUUCUGAAAAGUGGUCAACAUGAAAGUUGUAGAGCACAAAAAGUUGAGCAACUUUCAUGUUGGAAGUUUUUCAAGUUGUUAUACAAAAUCAAAAGUAAUUUUGGAAAUUCUGUUUUGCCCCAAUUCAAAAAUUUGGAAUUUCUUGGAUUUGAGUUUGAUUUUCAAACUGUUUGGCCAAAUUCACCCUGUUACACUCAAAAUCAGUUCUGGACUCUUAAAUAGGUUUUGUAGCUUAUAAAAUUUGGCACAACUUUUGUUUUGGUGGAAAUUUGACUUUAGUUCAAAUUUUGGUCGGAUUUCACAAAAAGACAACUGAGUGGAUGAGGCCGGCUACAGUGAUCGGCAGGGGGGGGUGCUCUGCCGCCGGGGCAGAGCCGCCUCCGCGCGCGCCGCCACGCAGCUGGCCACGCAGCUGCUUGCUGCUGUGCUUCGCGUGGACGUCCUCAUCCGCGAACCGCCUUCCGUUGUGGGGAUAAAGCCCCGAGUGGCCAGAGUCCCCUUUUCUUUUUCUUGAACCCCGACGCCGACGAGCUCCCUGCGCCUCUCCAAUUCGCCUCACUCGCUGCUGUUUCAAGCCACCUGAGCACCCCAGCAGCUCCGCCGUGAGCCCCGCCACCGAUUGCGCCCCCAAACACACGCUCUAUCCUACCGUAGCUUCCACCCGAGCCGUUUCUCCCCCAACUCCGGCCGAGCGCCACCGCAAGCACGUCACCGUGGCCAGCUUCACCCCGCGCCUCCCCGCUGCUGUUUCUUGCUUCGUUGAAGUCACGGUGAGCUUCUGGUGCUGUUGCGCCGCUUACUUCACGCUCUACUCGCCUGAAGCGGCCGGCGAUGGCUCGACCGCGGCGGCCAUCCGCCAUGAGCGUGGACAGGGAGGGUAGGAGGGAGUAGAGGUGGUCUCGUAUGUCCUAGAGGUUGCGUGAGACGCUGGAGAUGCUAACCCACCCCGCCGCGCAGGCCGGGAGCUCACCGGCGCGGAGCCGGAGCUCACCGGAGCGGUGGUGGGAGGUUGAAGACGCCUCUGACGGGCGGGACCCGCCCGUCAGUGGCCGCGUGAGAGAAAGCGCGCGCGCGGUCCGCGCGGGAGAGCACUCUCGGGCCGACUUGGGCCAGAUCCCAGCGGGCCGCCAGCGUGGCACAGUGCCCUUUUCUUUUUCUUUUUGUUUAAAAGUGCUUAAUGUUUGAAUUUGUGUAAUAAUUCGUGUGCUAAUCCAAAAAUCGUGGAAAUUUUUGUGUAGAUUCUCUGAAAUAUAUAGAACCCAAUAAAAAUAUUAAAUUCUGUUUUCUGGUAGUUUACAUGUCUGUAAAAAUUUGCCCUUUUAAUUAGCAAAUAAAACUUGUAUGAUUUUUAAUAAUUUAUUUGUAUGUCCAAAAAUCACCAAAAAUUGUGGGGAGCCUCUGAAUAUUAUUCCCUGGCUCCACACAAAAUUUGAUGGCAUUUGGAUAAUGUUUGAUUAAAAUAUUAAUAAACCCUUAUUUAGUACUUAAGUAAUAAUUCCAAAAUAAUUAAAUAGUGAUUAAUUAGGUCCUCAUAAUUAGGGUUGAGUGAUUUUGGAUUAUGUGAUGACCUGAGGUCAUUAACCCUAAUGACCUUUGGCAUUUAAUUAUUGUUUAGCCUUAAUGCUUAAUUACUGUCAUUAGUAAUUAAUUAAGAGUUAAUUAAGGUAAAUAGGUUUAAUAAUUACUUAAUUUAAGAUAAUUAUGAAUUAAGUAAAGUUUUAGUUUACAGAUGCAACCUCUUGGGUAAAAAUAUUAAGUUAUUAAACAACUUUAUUUAUUAAUUGUUCUGCACUGCAUUGGGAGGACAAAUUGUACUUAAUUCGGUCCAUCUUGCAUAAUUGCCAUACGCAUAUCAUAAGCAUUCAUCAUCUUGCGUAUAGCGUCCGUGAUCGAAGGAGCGCCCGUUGAACCGAACCCCGAGGUCGGUGCUCCGUUCGAGGAAGUCGGAUCCGAGACUUGGGAAGUCUCCGAGGGUCCCUCUCUGCCCUGCAACCAAGGCAAGCCCCGGAUGCAUUAACCCCUCCUUGGAUGUUUUAAAUCUUUUAUCACUUGUAAAUUAAAAAUGCUGCAUUAUGUAGCUAAGAAUUGGGUUAACCUACUUGCUGCAUUUACUACCUUGAUAUCUGUUAUCCUGUCCUUGACACCUGUUUAUUUUAAAACUGCGUAGCAAUGCUUAGCCCUGCUACUAGAUAGGUUUUAAACAAGAAAGUUUGAAGGGUUGUUGUGGGAUACACUUACUAUCAAUGAAGUUUCAAUUUGAGACCGGUCGGUGGACUUGCUUUAAGAAUGGAGUCUUAAAGUAGUGUCUCCAACUGUGUCGAUUAAGGACCGGUCCGUUGAUGGCCUGCUGGGUUGAGAAUUUAUAGUACUAGCCACUUGCCUCCGGUAAGCCCAGUCUUGUGAUCCCUCGACGCGAACAGCUACUCGCGCACUGGGAGUGGAAAGAUGGCGAGAGUAGUGUGUACCCACCUUACGGAUCUGAGAUGACCGGAAAACAUCUAGAUCGGCUGUAGGAUGGUGGAGUACUGUGCUCUCGGGUGCCGCGAACCUAGUCAAAUUUGGGGAGAGCUUGAUUUGGGUUGAUAUAUGCAAGAAUUGGUUCUACAUAUGUCGGGUGGUUAGGAACUCCAGCUGGAUUGCUAAGCGAUUCGAAUCGUCGUUGCUCCCCGAUUGGGAGACUCAAUUCCUUCGACCCUCAUCGUAGUUAAAUAUGCAACUAAGUGAUAUAAUGAGAAGGGGAAAAUGUCUCAUGAGGUUCGGAUCCCAAUUCCCGGACCCAUAGCGACAUGAAGCUAUGGCCAUCAAUAAAUAAUACUUAAUGAUAGGACUAGGAACUCACGGAUUCGUCUGUGGGGAACAACUAGUUAGACUAUCCUCGAAUUCCUCUGCCUCUGCGAGGGAGGAAUUCUGGAUAAAACUUGAAAAUAAGGAUGCACUACUAGUAAGCUUUUACGCAAACACUUUGGCUCCUUGCUCAGCCACCCCUUGUCUACCCUAAGCCUGCAUCCCUAAAUUCUCCUCUUUUCCCCGGCGGAUAAGUCUUGUUGAGUACUCCCGUACUCAGGGUUUCAAUACCCCUGUUGCAGGUGAAGCACAGGAGCCGACUUGUUUCGGACCCUGUUGUGUGACCGUCGUCGAGGUUGACGACGAAGAAGAGUGAGCGUGACCCAUGGGCAGGGUCUGUAAUUUUGUUCUGUCUGUACUAAAGUUUCAGUUGCUCCGCUGGACCAGGCUUGUAAUAACACUCUACUAUUUGGAAGCACUCCUUUUGUAAAUUAAGUUAUGUAAUACUUCCGCUAUUUCACUCUGAAAUAUUAUUUUGGUCUUGUGUUGUUGAGUUACUGCUUUAUCUUCGCAACGAAUGAUCCUGGUGUUAAAGUGGCCACUUGCUAUCCUGUAAGGGCAAGGAGAAACAGUUCUCGUUGUUUGACCAUUACCAGUGGUCAGGACAAGCCAGCUUGGUACGCCACAGGUAGCAGUGGAAUGAGCGCCCCAAUGCUCAUCGGACUUCUAAAGUGGGAGGACUCCCGGCAUCACCGUCAGAGGUCCUUAGGACAAUGGCAGGUGUCGGUGGGCCCAAACACUUAGGAGGUUCUGCCACAAAUCAACAUCUAGACUUAGGGUUUUAUCUGACAUAAUUCCACGAGUUUUGGUGUUUGUCUAUUUCUGCAGGGGGUUAUCAGAAAAUACGGAAGAAAGGCCCACACGUCGGGAUUACAUAUCGAUAUUAACGUGCCGCGCAAUUAUCUUACAUCUAGAAGACUCCAGAAGCCACGGGAAGGAAGCGGAUGCCGAACGGGGCCAGAGGCAGGGCGCCCGCCCUCCUGCCCUGGGCGCCCGCCCUGACUUGGAGCCCAAUCAGGACUCUUUCUCUCGGGAGAUCUCCACCGACCUAAAGGAUCAAGAAUAACCAUUCAAUCAAUGUCGGUUUGAUCCGACGGCCCAGGUUCACUUGAGGGGACUAUAUAACCAGACCCCCUGGCCCCUGGAGGAGGCACCCCUUGAUCAUUAUUCAUUAUUCAUAGAUAGAGCAAAAGCUAGGGUUUAGAGAUGAGAGCUCUCCUCUCUUCUCUAAACUAGAGUAGAUCUAGAUAGUAGCAAGAUGGAGAGGGAAGGAGGAUUAGAGGAGAGGCCGGCCUGUCGGUUCUUCCUCCGGUUGUACUUUGUCAUGAUCAAGCUCUAAUCAAGCUUGCUCAUGGGAUGACUCUGGUAAUCUACUUCUAAUUCAUUAUGCAAUUACUAAUCAUGUAUGUUCUGGUUCACAACUCUUUUGAGUACUUCUAAUCUAUAGGACGCUAUAGGUUAGAGUUGUAGUAUAGGUGUAAGCGUGGUGCUUAGACCUAGAUUACUUGUGGAUAUCCCCUGUCUAGCUGGAUCGUGUGGUAGGCCGCGUAGGUGACAGUUACGUUGGUCCUCUGUAGUCCACCUCUCGUUAGCAGGACGGGUAGGGUUUAUCGGCCUAUGGAUAAGCAUCCUUUGUGGUGUACUCUUAUCACGUGGUUCGUCCCAGACAUAGACAUACCCCUUUGAAGUAGAGAAACCAUAGUUAUCCUCUCUAUUCUGCUACCAUCGCCCAUAUACUAGAAUUGCUCUACUCUCUAUUUCCAUAUUAUCACUCACUGUUAUCUUACCUUUAAUAUUGUUCUUAUUCGAUUCUAUCAUCUUUCCUAUUUACACCUAUCUAUCUACCUUGGUUAAGUUAGAGCGUAGUUGGUUCUCCCGUUUCCCUGUGGAUACGAUAAAACCUUUAACCGGGUAAAAGCUUCAACGGUAUCCGUGCGCUUGCGGAUUAUCUGUGUGCGUAUAAAUACCAUAGUACACUCUAGUGCCAUGCUAGGGAUGACAACCUAGUAUUCAAGUGGUGUUAGCAAGUGUCAACAAUGUCGUCUACGUAAGCCUCUACAGUUUUGCCUAUGAGGUCCCCAAAGACCUAGAGCAUACAUCGCUGGUAUGUAGCCCCUGUGUUCUUAAGGCCGAAAGGCAUCGUUAUGUAGCAAAACAUUCCGAAAGGGGUGAUGAAAGAGGUCGCGAGCUGGUCGGACUCUUUCAUCUUGAUUUGGUGGUACCCGGAAUAAGCAUCAAGGAAAGAUAAAGUUUCACAACCCGCAGUAGAGUCAACUAUUUGAUCAAUACGAGGUAAUGGAAAGGGAUUUUUAGGACAUGCUUUAUUUAAACUAGUAUAGUCUACACACAUCCUCCACUUCCCAUUUUUCUUUUUGACUAGUACAGGGUUAGCUAACCACUCGGGAUGGAAUACUGUUGGGUAUUCUUAACAUCAUUACCAAAAGUAGACUUAGUUUUCUAAUUCUAGUAACGGUGCCAAAAAUGCCAAACCUAUCCCUCGUACCACUUAAGCUAAGUUGUCAUCCCCAGCAUGACAUGAGAGACGCGGUAUUGAAAUAUGCAAUUGCUCUUCUAAAUAAAUAAUGAAUGGGAUCUGCAAGCGCACAGAUUAAUACUGAUGUAGCAUUUUAACCGGGAAGUAUUCCAGGUAUCGUUAUUUAUAUUUUUACCACUGGGAAGGGAUUAACAAUCAUCAAUAUUGAUUACAGAAUAGAAUAUGAGAUUGAGUAUCUAUCAUUGCAUGUAUAAUUGAGAACAAUUAUCUAACUCUUUCAUACAGGGAUAAGUGUCACAUAAAAGAUAUAGAAGUCAUGAAUAGUGACAAAGAUAAUUAAUCUGAUCAUAAAUAGCCACAUAAUAAAUAUGAUAAGCACCUCAAUUAGAUACUCUAGAAAGUCAUUAGCAUGGAAUUAGAACGAACUACAAGAAUAUUUCCUAUGUUAUUCUCAACUAUAUAGUCUAGCAUUAUCAUAGUUAGUGCAAGCAUACUUAGCAAUCAUUGUGAGACAAGACUACGCCCAUGCAUAGUGAUAUUAGCAAGGUAAAUGAGAAACAUAGCAAUCACUCCCCUGUAAUAAUGUUGCUCUGCCAGCCCAAUACACGAGCGGGAGACUAUAUAAGAAUCAAUGAAGCUAUCACUAUCACGAACUACCCCACGAUCUGGCAUAUUGGGUACAAUCGCAGAUAAAUACGGUAUAAGCACCACGCCUACACAAUAUCUAUCAUUUACCCAUGGAUCCGAUGGAUAAACGCUAUACGAUCCUAAGCAUGUAUAUAGAUCCAAUCUAACUAAGCCAAGUAUAUAACUAUGAUAAACUAAGAACAAUAUAAUCUUGAAUAUAAGCAAGUAGAGCAAAGUCAUAAGCAAUAUAUUGAAGUAGAACAAAGUUAUAUUCAUAAUAUUAAAGAACAAAGAUAAUUAGAAAGCAAUUAGAAGCACAAUUAGAGAAUUACCAAGAAUCCUCUUGACAAAUCUGGAAACCAAUCGAAGAUUGACUCCUUCUAGUUCUAAUCCUAUGUAGCUAUGCUAAUCUAGAUAUCUAAUUGAUGUGUGGCUCUAAUCUUGAUCAGAGGCUUCUUCUCCCUUGAGGAAUAAUGAAUUAGGGUUGAGAGGCUCCCUCCUCCAGGGGCCAGGGGGUCUGGUUUUAUAGUCCCUUCAUGUGAAUAUGGGCCGUUGGAUCAAACCGACUUAGAUUGGACGGUUAUCCUUAAUCCUUUUGGUCGGUGGAGAUCUCCCACGAAGUAGAGUCCUGAUUGGACUCUCAGAGGGGGCGGGCGCCUAGGGGAACAGGGUGGGCGCCCUGCCUCUGGCCCCGUUUCGCCUCCGCUUCGGUCUCGUGGCUUCUGGAGUCUUCUAGAUGUAAGAUAAUUGCGCGGCACGUUAAUAUCUCUAUGUAAUUCCGACGUGUGGGCCUUUCUUCCGUAUUUCCUGAUAACCCCCUGCAGAAAUAGACAAACACCAAAACUCAUGGAAUUCUGUCAGAUAAAACCCUAAGUCUAGAUGUUGAUUUCAUUUGGAUGCUUUUCUUUGUUUAUUUUAUAAUUAAAUUUGAUACUUAAGGACCGUCAACAAACUCCCCCAAGCUUACCUCUUGCUUGUCCCUGAGCAAGGAUAGACUCAGCAAUGGAUUAGAAGUUGUUGCAAUAUCUUUAAAAAAUUGAUGGUACACAUGCUUUUUAAAUAAGAUCUCAUCUCUGAGUUAGAGUAAACUGUCAAGACUUAAAACUUACUUACUUUACCUUCACCAUGGGACUUGUAACCGUCACUUCUAUCUUGAGUGGUUAAAAGAUAGAACAGUCUAGUCAAGUGCCAUGUCUCUUAUUCUUGAUCAGCUAUAGCUCUGGUGUUUUUGCAGAUUUUUCAAAUAAAACUCAGAGAUUCCUUGUAUGAUUCUCUCAGAUCUCUCUUUUGUGGUAUUUCUGGAUCCUUACCAAGGCAGUGAUGCUAUAUGCCUUCUCUCAAAAUAUGUGGUAUUUGUGGUAUAAAGCAUAGUGACAUUGCCUUCUCUCACACCCUACUCUAAUAAGGCUUUAAUAUCUGGAGCUCAUAGGUGGGAGAUAAAAUAUACAUACUCACAAGACAUUUAUUGCAUAGUCAAACCAUGGAUCCAAAGAAACAAAUCAAUAAGUCAAAUCAAGAUGUGCAUGUGUGGCGAAUGAAUGGUGUAUGGUGAUGAUGGUGAUAACAAUGGUGAAAGUCUAAUUCUACUUUUGCUCUUUGAGGGGAUACAUACCUUCCUUGCUUUUUGAAACUUUGUGAGGAGAAUGAGAUGCUCUUCUUUUUCUUUUCUCUUAGGUGGGUAUCUUGUACCCCUAAUUCUACUGUCGGACACUUGUCCAUUUUUACCUCUUGUCUCACUUUUUCUUUUUUCUUUCGAGGUUCCGGGCACUUGCCCCUUUUUAUUUCCUCGUAUUUAUUUAUUUAUUUUUUUUAGAGCACUCUUCUCUUGAGAUAAUAUAGCAAGUGAUAGUAACAAGAUAACUUGAGCAUUUAUUUCACAAGGGAAAAACAGAAAUAUUUUUGGCUAUUCUCUCUCGGAUUAGGAGUAGAAUAUUUUUAGGUGAUUCUGGAGAUGGAAAUGGAUGAAUAUAUGUGGAUGGUACUUCCAGAGUAGAAGUAGCAUAUAUGAGUGAACGUGCAAGUGAAUCUUGAUUUUAACUACAUGACAAGCUCCUAAGGGUCUACACAACUUGACCACACUCAAUGCUCAUAAGUAGUAAAUAGUAAAUGUGUGGCUCAAAGUCUAGCAAGCAUGUAUAUAUGGCUGUGGUAGGAAUUUAAACUCUCAUCAUACAGAAACUCAUCAUGCAAUAUUUUAAAGAUUUUUAAAGAUAAAAUUCUCUAGAAUUCUAGCAUCUCUAGGAACAGAUAAACAGCGGCUCAACCUUCCCAUAUCGUAUCCGUUAACAACUUAGACUUCAGAUCAAGUUUUCAUCCUACAAGUUUAGGUCUAGAGCACGCUUUAAAUUAUAACAGUUAUGUCUAAACUUGAGAGAGAACUUAAAAUGUGCAAAUUAGGCAGAGCAACUAUUCAUCAUAUCCAAGCUUGAGUUUAUUCAGAUACAGAUUAGCAUAGCCACUUUAUUUAUUUAUUAAACACACUAAGCAAAAGAUAUAUAUAUAAGCAUAAAAUCUUUAUUUGGUUUUUUAUAGUUUAUGUAUAUUUAUAUUCUAAAAUAAUAUAAGUAUAAAGAUAGAUAUAUAGAAAUAAUUAUCGGGAUAAAUAGGGUUGCUCUCCCCCAAGCUGAAUUUUGACGUAAUUUCUCUUGAUGUAACUAGCAGGUGGCAGAGGUGUAUUUGAAAGUCAGCAGCAUUCUGACAGUGAUUAGAAUGUCCUCCGUCUGCUAGUCUUCUUGAUUCUUAAAUUCUGUGGAGCUCAAAUAGACAACAAAGCUUGUGGAACUGAUUAAGUGUUAGCAUAAAUAUCUAGCCUUCAUCAUGUUGAGUCUCCUUAAUAAUUAUUACUCCCUAUUUUUAUAUUUUCAUUUUUAUAAAGCAGAAAUGAAAUAUUUGUUUUAUUUUUAUGCCACCACAGCGAAUGUACUUAUGGGUUUUAUGCCACUCGUAUACUCACAUGGGGCUUACUAUUUUUCACAUUUUUAUUUUCUUUUUAGGAUAGUAUGAACCAGAUUAACUAAAUAAACUAUUUCAAAUAAUUAAAAGGAAAGGAUAACUACCAAGUUUACCUCUUGGCAAGGCGUUCGGUGUUUUUAAGUCCUCCGAACGGAACUCUCCGUUUUCUCAAUUGUCCUGGGAUUCGUUGGGUGGCGCAGUCGGUACUUCCGGCGGCGCCUCCUCUUCAUGUAUAGUUAUCUACCUGACUCGGUGCUUCGGUCUCCUCAGGAUAGUUCUGUUUAAACUCUACGUCUUCUGACCUUAUAACUUCUCCUUCGUAGUCUGCCCAACCGUCCUUGAUGAUCUGCCUCCUCUGGUUGCGGUUGCGUCGUUUCUUGACCUGCUUAGAUUCUUCAACGAUAUAGUUAGGGUCAAUAAAAUAACGGUGUACCUUCUCUGAGGGGAAGUGCAUAUGGACUUCUCUGGUUCCAAUGUAGAUGAUUGCUUUAACGGUGCUGAGGAACGGUCUUCCAAGGAUGAUGGGUGGAUCAUAUUCAUCUUCUCCCAUGUCAAUAACCUAAAGUCUGUGUAGACAAAGUGAUCGUCUAUCUUGACAGGGACAUCAGUUACUGUUCCUUUAACCUCUCAAAACGUCUGAUCUGCCAUCUGGAGCUGAAUGUAUGUUGGUUUUAAGGGCAUGGUUCCGAACAAGAGCCGAUAGGUGACUGCGGCCAUUAUGUUGACGCCCGAUCCGGUGUCGCAAAACGUCUUGUAGAAGCUGUAUCCAUUUAUGGAGCAAUAGAUGCUUGGCAUUCCUGGGUCGUCCUUCUUGGUCAAAAACGGUGACUUAAGUUGAUGAUCUUGGCCUCCAUGAACUACAGUGACCAUCUUAGCUGACUCGGUCCACACUUGCUUGUUCCUGUUCCUCCUGUUGGUCAUCUUCCUUGAUUCACGUCUGGAUUGAUCUAGGAUUUGUGUAGUCUUGUUCUUGAAGAAAACGUCUCCUUCCUCCCUUUGAUGUAGAAACUGAUCUUGGCAGCGCUAGAGUAGAUGAUAGCUCCCGUGGUGUUUAAGAAUGGCCUCCCUAAGAUGAUGGGUGCCCUCUCAUCAUUACCGGUCUCUACCACUACGAAGUCUGCUGGGGCGUACAAGGUACCAACUCGGACACAGAGGUUCUUCAAUAUUCCCUUGGGGCAACUUAUUGUCUGAUCUGCAAACUGCAAACACAUGGUUGUCUCUAAUAAAGGAUAUAUAAAGAAUUUUUCAUAGAGUACCCUGGGCAUAAUGUUGACACUGGAGCCAAAGUCACAGAGUGCUUCUGGGACGUCCACCAUGCCGAUGGAGAUCGGGAUGACGGGGCGUCCUGGAUCGCCUUUCUUGACCGGCAGAAGGUCAGUAGUAAAUUCAGUGAUGGGGUUACUCCAAUUACCUGCAUCAAACAUGUCUACAAGAUUUGCAGAUUCUAAUCCUUCCGGUUGUGAUGGUAUACCGAGGUUAGUAAUAGGAACAGCAGCAGCUAUUUGAUUUAACUGAGAUUCAAUCAUUUUAUUAAAGCUAAUUUGAUUCUUGAUGGUAGUAGAGAAAUUAUCCAUUCUAUUAUUUAUAUUUUCUAGCAUUUUAUCAUUUGAUGCCAAUUUCUUAGAUAGGUUAUCCAUUAGCUUUUCUUGAUUAGACACUAACUCUCUCAGAGAUGGAAAAUUAUUAUUAUUGUUGUAAGAAUUGUUACCUUGAUAAUUACCUGAGUAGUUAGGCCUUUGUUGAUUCCAACCUUGAUUUUGUUGAGGACGAUUGUAGUAGUUGUUGUUGUUAUUGUUGAUGUAGUUCACAUCCUCAAGUAUCUCAGGGUAGUGAUUGCCUGAGUGUCCAGUAUCUCCACACUCCUCACAAGUCAUGUGAGAGUCCUAGAUGUGCAUAACUUUCUUCUUAUCUCCAGCUCUAUCAUCGAGCUUCUUCAUGAGUAGGUCUAGCUUUGCAGACAGCAUGUCUACCUCCUUGAGCUGAUGCAUACCUGCACCUCUCUUGCGUGUCUGGGUCCUCUCUUCAUUCCAGCCUUGAUUGGACGCCAUCUUCUCCACAAGAGUUGUGGCUUGUGGUAUGGUAAGUGAUAAGAAUGCUCCUCCAGCUGCAGCAUCCAUGGUCUCUCGGGCACUGUUGCCAAGCCCAUGAUAAAACGUCUGCAUCAAUAGCCAACUCUCCAUUCCAUGAUGGGGACAUUCUAGGAUGUAGUCUUGAAAGUGCUCCCAUGCUUCUGGAACAGAUUCAGCAUUUUGUUGCUAAAAACUUGUAAUCUUCCCACGGAGAGCAUUGGUCUUGCCCAUGGGAAAGAACUUAGCGAGGAAGUUUGUUGAGCAGAGUGCCCACGUAGUAUUCUUCUCCUUUGUAGCAUAGAACCACUGCUUCGCUCUCCCUAAUAGUGAGAAUGGGAAGAGGCGAAGUAGUAUAGCAUCUUUGGAAACUCCUGAUAUGGUAAAUGUGUUGCAUAUCUCCAGGAAGUGUUGUAGAUGAGCACUAGCAUCUUCGUGUGCCUUCCCACAAAACUGGUUGGAUUGCACCAUGUUGAUAAGUCCAGGCUUGAGCUCAAAGUUGCCAUCGAUCUCUGCAGCAGGUCCAGUGUGGAUGUUGUCCGUAGUGGGAGCUGAGAACUCGCGGAUUGAUUUGUUCGCCAUGGCUCCGAACUCUGAAGACAAGUUCCGGUGAUCUUCUUGAUUGGAUGAAGCUUCUUGCUGAAGUGUUGAUGAUCUCUUCUUUAGCUUGGCUCUAGUUCUUCUGAAUAACGCUAUGGGAUUGUCAACAAAAUUUCCUGGAAGAUGUCUUCUAUUCAUACAUUCCCCUGCAUAAGAUAAAAUAGAAAAAUAUCUGGGUAAAACUGUAUGAGAGAAUAGAUAAGCUCAAUCAUAUUAGUGAUGCGAAUGAUAACUCAAAAUCCUUUAUUCCAUUCCUGAUUAGUAAUCAACCUUCCCCGACAACGGUGCCAAAAAAUGCUUGUUGGGUAUUCUUAACAUCAUUACCAAAAGUAGACUUAGUUUUCUAAUUCUAGUAACGGUGCCAAAAAUGCCAAACCUAUCCCACAUACCACUUAAGCCAAGUUGUCAUCCCCAGCAUGACAUGAGAGAUGCGGUAUUGAAAUAUGCAAUUGCUCUUCUAAAUAAAUAAUGAAUGGGAUCUGCAAGCGCACAGAUUAAUACCGAUGUAGCAUUUUAACCGGGAAGUAUUCAAGGUAUCGUUAUUUAUAUUUUUACCACUGGGAAGGGAUUAACAAUCAUCAAUAUUGAUUACAGAAUAGAAUAUGAGAUUGAGUAUCUAUCAUUGCAUGUAUAAUUGAGAACAAUUAUCUAACUCUUUCAUACAGGGAUAAGUGUCACAUAAAAGAUAUAUGAAGUGAUGAAUAGUGACAAAGAUAAUUAAUCUGAUCAUAACUAGCCACAUAAUAAAUAUGAUAAGCACCUCAAUUAGAUACUCUAGAAAGUCAUUAGCAUGGAAUUAGAACGAACUACAAGAAUAUUUCCUAUGUUAUUCUCAACUAUAUAGUCUAGCAUUAUCAUAGUUAGUGCAAGCACACUUAGCAAUCAUUGUGAGACAAGACUACGCCCAUGCAUAGUGAUAUUAGCAAGGUAAAUGAGAAACAUAGCAAUCACUCCCCUAUAAUAAUGUUGCUCUGCCAGCCCAAUACACGAGAGGGGGACCAUAUAAGAAUCAAUGAAGCUGUCACUAUCACGAACUACACCACAAUCUGGCAUAUUGGGUACAAUCGCAGAUAAAUACGGUAUAAGCACCACGCCUACACAAUAUCUAUCAUUUACCCAUGGAUCCGAUGGAUAAACGCUAUACGAUCCUAAGCUUGUAUAUAGAUCCAAUCUAACUAAGCCAAGUACAUAACUAUGAUAAACUAAAAACAAUAUAAUCUUGAAUAUAAGCAAGUAGAGCAAAGUCAUAAGCAAUAUAUUGAAGUAGAACAAAGUCAUAUUCAUAUAUUGAAGAACAAAGAUAAUUAGAAAGCAAUUAGAAGCAGAAUUAGAGAAUUACCAAGAAUCCUUGACUGAUCCGGAAACUAAUCGAAGAUUGACUCCUUCUAGUUCUAAUCCUAUGUAGCUAUACUAAUCUAGAUAUCUAAUUGAUGUGGUGGCUCUAAUCUUGAUCAGAGGCUUCUUCUCCCUUGAGGAAUAAUGAAUUAGGGUUGAGAGGCUCCCUCCUCUAGGGGCCAGGGGGUCUAGUUUUAUAGUCCCUUCAAGUGAAUAUGGGCUGUUAGAUCAAACCGACUUAGAUUGGACGGUUAUCCUUGAUCCUUUAGGUCGGUGGAGAUCUCCCACGAAGCAGAGUCCUGAUUGGACUGUCAGAGGGGGCGGGCGCCCAGGGGAACAGGGCGGGCGCCCUACCUCUGGCCCCGUUUUGCCUCCGCUUCGGUCUCGUGGCUUCUGGAGUCUUCUAGAUGUAAGAUAAUUGCGCGGCACGUUAAUAUCUCUAUGUAAUCCCGACGUGUGGGCCUUUCUUCCGUAUUUCCUGAUAACCCCCUGCAGAAAUAGACAAACACCAAAACUCAUGGAAUUCUGUCAGAUAAAACCCUAAGUCUAGAUGUUGAUUUCAUUUGGAUCCUUUUGUUUGUUUAUUUGAUAAUUAAAUUUGAUACUUAAGGACCGUCAACAAAUACCUCCUUGAUGAAUCCGACCGCCAGCAACUUGUGGAUCUCCUCCCCGAUGGCCCGAUGCUUCUCCUCGUCGAAUCGGCGCAGGCGCUGCUUCACGGGCUUGGAGCCGGCUCGGAUGUCCAAGGAGUGCUCGGCGACUUCCCUCGGUAUGCCAGGCAUGUCCGAGGGACUCCACGCAAAUAUGUUGGCGUUUGCGCGGAGAAAGUCGACGAGCACUACUUCCUAUUUAGGGUCGAGGCUCGAGCUGAUCCUCAAUGCCUUGCCUUCAGAGGUCCCGGGGUCGAGGAAGACGAGCUUGGUCUCCUCCGCUGGCUCGAAGCUCCUGGCAUGACGCUUGGGGUCAGGGAUGUCCUGGUCGCCAUCACCGAGGCUGGUGAGGAUAGACAGAGACUCAGCCAGAGCCUUGGCCUGCUCGAUGCACUCGAUGUCGCACUGGUAGGCGUGCUGGCUGGUCAUGCUGACGGUGAUGAUGCUGUUUGGUCCCGACAUCUUGAGCUUGAGGUAGGUGUAGUUGGGGACGGCCAUGCACUUGGCGUAGCAUGGUCAUCCCAGGAUUGCGUGGUAGGUACCUAGGAACCCGACCACGUCGAAGGUGAGGACCUCCCGUCUGAAGUUGUCGGGGGUCUCGAAGCAGACGGGCAGAUCGAUCUGCCCGAGGGGAUGGGCGCGAUGUCCCGGCACCACUCCGUGGAAAUGUGAUGCAUCAUUCCUCAGCCGAGACUUGCUGAUCCCCAUGAGGGCCAAAGUCUCGGUGUAAAGAAUGUUGACGCCGCUGCCUCCGUCCAUCAGCACCUUAGUGAGACGAGUCUCGGUGAUGAUGGGGUCGACAAUCAGUGGAUAACUCCCGGGGUUGGGGAUCCGAUCCGGGUGAUCCUGCCGAGCGAACGUGAUCGCGCUCUCGGACCAUUUGAGGUACGAGGGCGUGACUGUGCCGACUGCGCAAACUUCUCAGAGUUCGUGCUUCCUUUGACUCGCGGUGAGGCGAGCCGCACGUCCCCCAAAGAUCAAGAGGCAGUUCUUGUCCUUGGGGAAGCCUUCUACCUGAGGGUCGUCGUCCUUGGGGGGCUCUUCAGCGCCCUCCUUGACUAUGAUGUCGGUGUAAUACCGACGCAGGAUAGUACACUCCUCGAGAGUGUGCUUGGUUGGGCCCCUAUGAUAGGGGCAUGGCUUCUUCAACAUUUUGUCGAAGAGACCGGGGCCAGCAGGAGCCCGCUUGGGGUUCCUGCGAUCUGCCCACGGCGACCAGGUUGUCGUCUGACUGACCCUGCUUUCCCUUGUGACACUUCUUCUUCUUUUCUGGGUCGCGAGAGCCUGAGGCCUCGGUGGUCUCGGCCCUUUGUUUCCCCUUGGCCGCGCCGUCGGAGAAAAUUGCACCAACCGCCUCUUCGCCUGAGGCAAAGUUGGUGGCGAUGUCGAGCAGCUGGCUGGUGCUCAUGGGGGUCUUGCGACCGAGCUCGUGUACCAGCUCUUUGCAGGUGGUACCGGCGAUGAAGGCUCCGAUGAUGUCGGAGUCUGUGAUGCUGGGGAGCUCGGUGCAUUGCUUGGAGAAUCGCCUGAUGAUGUCUCGGAGGCACUCAUUGGGCUUCUGCCGGCAGCUCCUGAGGUCCCAGGAGUUCCCAGGGCGCACGUAUGUGCCCUGGAAGUUCCCGACGAAGAUCUUGACUAGGUCGGCCCAGUCGUGGAUCACGCGCUCGGGAAGAUGCUGGAGCCACGCUCUGGCCGAAUCAGCCAGGUGGAGUGGCAAGUUGCGGAUGAUGAGCAAGUCAUCGUCCGCGCCGCCUAGCUGGCACGCUAGGCGGUAGUCCGCUAGCCACAGCUCAGGGUUAGUUUCUCCUGAGUACUUGGUGAUGUUAGCGAGCUGUCGGAAUGGCACCGAGAACUUGGCCCUGCGGAUGGCCUCGCUGAAGACGCGGGGGCCCGGAGGCUCCGGCGACGUGCUGCAGUCAUGGUCGGGGUCGUACGUCCCGCCUCGGCGCGGUCGGUAGCGCUGAGAGUUGGCCUCAUCCCUGUCACGCCGUCUGGCCUCAAGGGUGGCCCGGGCAUCCACAUUGGUCCCGAUACGCUCAUGGACAGAUGGGGCCUUGUUGCCCCCUUGCGGAUUAGGGGGCGGCGGACUCUACACUGUUGGUGCUUUGUUAGGAGGGGGUCAGUCCCCUUGGUGUCUCGUGCCGUGGGACUGGGACGCAGAACUUUCUGCGUUCUGCACCACAGCUUGCUCCAGGAGGCCACGUAGCCCCUGGCGCACCCUUCUCCCCUCAGGACUCGAUGGCUCGGGCAUCGCUCUGAGAAGGAGUGCGGCAACCAUCACGUUCUGGCUGGCCGUACUGAAGACUGGGGGAUUAUCUCCCCCUUCGUCCUCGAUGAUGCGGCGGUUGACGUCCCGGGCGCGGAGUCUAGCGUCGCCUCCGUCCCCACGGGCGGACUGGUCUUGGACCAGGGUCUCGCGGAGUUGGCGGAGCCGUACGCACUCUUCUUCGAGCCUGGCCUCCAGCUCAUUAAGCUGCUCGAGGUCAGGGUGCCGAUCACCCGCGGGGGCUGAAGCGGCCCCGCGGGCUCCAGGAUGGGUCCCGAGAGUCAUGUUGAGAGGUGGAGUGGUGUUCCCCUGCCCAGAGGGCCCCACACCCCCUUGAGCAUUGGGGGCGCUCCUCUGACCUCGAGGUUGAAACACUCUCGUGACGGAUCGUAGCCGCCGUCGUCGGAGUCGGAGUAGCCGAGGCAGUUGUUGCUGGCCUCCAGAAAGCGCAUGAAAGUUUCUGGGUCGCCACAACCGGAAAAAUCAGCGUCAGCCCACUCGUCGUCUCCUGAGGUAGGAUCCUUAGGGUACGAUGAGACGGGUGGUGUAGCGAUAAGGUCCAGGGUAGACCUCAGGUGGUGCCCUGGAAGAUCCGCGUACACACUUAAUGAAGUGCUCACGAAAGAGGCGUAAGUGGCGGCUAUGCUCUUGAGCCCAAAAGGGAGCUUGGGAGGCGCCGCUGUCUUUCCUCCAUCCUUGGGUGGAGGGCGACGAGAUGUCGAGGCCCCCUGGUUCCUCUUUUGAGGAGGGGGCGGGAGCCGUGCUUUGCCCUUUGACCGGGGCGGAACAGGAGGUCACGACGAUCCCCUGUUGGUCCGUGGAGUGGAGCUUGAUGCUCCACGGGCCCUUCCUCUAGCACCUGUCGGGCCAGAAGAAUGGGCGAUCUGGUGAGGAAUAUGCGGGGGGAGGGCCGGACAGACCCUUGCCUCGGUGGUAGGGUCAGAGAUCCUAGACCUCUGACGCCCCCACCAGGCACCCCCUGCAUGGUGCCCCGAGCGCCUCCCACGCACUGGCUGCGGUGGGAUCGGCUCAGGGCGAGGAUCGGUAUCACCACGUGGUGGGAGGAGGACCAUGUCAUAGCCGGAGCCAAGCGACAUGAACUCCAAACUCCCAAACAUCAUGAUGGUGCCGAGGCGAAGUGGGUGGAAUCCGUCUGCCAUCCGGGCUUUCCCCAAUAGGGAAAGAUGAAUGCCACGCAAAAGGCCAAUACGUGGCGCGCCAACUGUCGGCGUCUAGACUCGCCGUCUAGACACAAACGAGUAUAAGUAUGCGUGUCUCCCUAACCCAGAUGGUGAUGCAAGUGGAACACAGAGGGUUUAUACAAGUUCGGGCUAAGGAUGCCCUACGUCCAGUGUGAGAUCGGGGGUCUCUAUUGCCUUGCACCCAAAGGUGCUUGUGUUGACACUAGCUAACACCACUUAGAUACUAAGUUGUCAUCCCCAGCAUGGUGCCAGAGUGUACAAAGGUAUUUAAAAAUGUAAAGGCUCUCUAGAAAAUCCUAUUCUAUCCGCAAGCGCACAGAUAAAACACCUCAUUGCAGCAUUUCACCAGGAUAAGUAUUCCAGGUAUCGUUAUUUAUAAUUUUGCUCAGGAGACAAGGGGUGAAAUUAAGAUAAGGACUAAAUCUAUCAAAGCAUAGACUAGAGAUAGACUUGCAAGAACAUGAUUACUAAUGAGGAACUCGUCACACAGUCACUUACUUUAGCAGGGGGUAAACCAUAAAGAUAAUGAUAAUGAAUUAUAAGUUCAUGGGUAAAUAACACAGCGAUUACAAAAUAGACUACUCCUCAUAUAUGUAAGGUGACGUCGAAUUAGCUAGAGAAUGGAUUCUAAGUUAUCUACUAUCUACUAAGUCGCAAUCUACUCUAGUUAUCUACAAGAUCAUAUAUAGCAUAAAAGACUCUCCAUUCAUGUAUAAGGAACAUUGCUAAAGUAAAUCAGAGCAUCGCAAGACUUACUCCACAAUACAAAUUCUGCCUGUACUAUCAACGGAGUGUGGACUAUAUAAGAAUCAACGAAGCUGUCACUAUCGCGAACUACCACACGACCCGGCCAAUAGGAUACAUUUGCAGGUAAAUAACAUCUAAGCACCACGCCCACAUGUGAUCUACCACUUAACUAACGCGCGUCAAGAGCUAAGCGCUUUGCAAACUUAUACAUAAACUCAUUAUCAAUCAUAACUAUAUCAAAUAUAGAACUAGAGCAAACUAAGAGCAUAAUAAAUAGAGACAUAAUGCAAUUAGAACAAAGUAUUAGAAAAAGAUAUGAAUAAUACCAAUCUUUAUUACCGAAGGUCCGAAUCCAGAGCGUAGUGCUCUACUUCUCUAAUUACUAUCUAAUCAAUCCUCUAAACUUGAAGGAUUAGGGAGUAGCUAAUUCUAAUUCUCUGUGGGAGAAGUCUAAACCCUAACUUUGAUGGCUACCUCUGAUAAUGAUUUCUCCUCUUCUCUUCUCUCCCCCAGGGGUGGAGAGGCCUUGAUUAUAUAGUCCAACAAGUGAAUUUGGGCCGUCGGAUCAAACCGACAUUGAUCGCACGGUUUUCCUUGAUCCUUUAGGUCGUUGGAGCAUGAUCCAAGAGUUUGGUUCGGAUUGGCCCCGAGACCUGGGCGGGCGCCCUGCCCCCGGGCCCGAUCGCCUUCCCGUUCGUUCCCGUGGCUUCUGGACUCUUCUAGAUUGUAGAAAAUUGCGCGGCACGUAAUUAUCUCGUUGUAAACACGACAUGUGGGCCUUCUCUUCAUAUUUUCUGAUAACCCCCUGCAGAAAUAGAUAAACACCAAAGCUCGUGGAAUUCUGUCAGAUAAAACCCUAAUUCUAGAUGUUUGGUGCAUAUUGAUCCUUUUCCAUGUUUAUUUGAUGGUCAAUUUUAGUACUUAAGGACCGUCAACAAACUCCCCCAAGCUUACCCUUUGCUCAUCCCUGAGCAAACAACUAAAAUCAGAUGGAUCAGGAGUUGCUUCGAUGUUUUCUUUCCUGACAGGCACACAUGCUUUUACAUAAAAAUUCUUCCAGAUUAGAGUGAAGUGUUAUGGAGCAUAGUACCUGCACUUAAGUCUUAAGUAAUCGAAAGACAAAAUAAUUAAGUCAAGCACUAUUCCUCCUGUCUAUACUUCACCUUUGUCCUAGAGUUUUUCAUAAAUUUUCAAAAUAAAACUCAGAGUUCCCAGCAAUAAUUCUCUCAAGUCUCUCUAUAUGUGGUAUUUGUGGAUCCUUACCAAAAUGUCACAUACCUAUAGCCAAUGGAAUAUUUAAGUGGAGCUCAUAGGAGUGAAAAAAAAUAGCUCAUACAUAUGUUGUCUAAUCGAGCCAUGGAUCCAAAGGAACUCAGCAUAUAAUUAAAUCAAGAUGUGCAUGUGUGGUGGAGUAAAUGAUAGUGAUGGUAAAAGAAUGUAUAAGUGAAACUUACUUCUCAUUGCCCCUCAUAUUGCUAUCUCUCCUCUUCUUUGAUCUUUGCUUUGGGAGAACAUGGGCUAUCUCUUUUUUUCAGGUGGGUAGUAGAUACCCCUAAUUCUACUGUCGGACACUUGUCCAUUUUUUCCGCUCAAGUGGGCAUCUUUGUAUCCCUAAUUCUACUCCAGAAACUUGUCCAUUUUUUACCUCUCGUCUCACUCUUUUUCUUUCUUUUCCGAGGUUCCGGGCACUUGCCCCUUUUUAUUUCCUCGCAUAUUUUUGCAUAACCCAUGUCUCUUCUGCAUUGAAUCUUUUUAGAGAGAGGAUAACAACACUUGGGACAGUGAGUGGUAAUAAUAUUUUUAGCAAUUUUAAUGCAUGGUGAUGAAUGGUGUAGUGGAUGUGUGCAAGAGAUUAUCUUAAUUUAACCACAUGAAAAGCUCCUAAGGGUCUACACAGCUCGAUCCAACUCAAUGUGAAUAUAAUAAAAGAUGUUAUAGCAAGUAUGGCUGUGGUAGGAAUUUUGUAAUGCUAGGAACUCAUCAUGUGAUUUGCAAGUUUUCAAAAUAAAUCUCCAGAACUCAUUGUUGUAAGAACAAGAUAAAUAGUAGCUCAAACUUUAUAUCAUGUCUUUCUCUUACCUAGACUUUAGUUUUAUGCUUCCCAUAGAUAGUAAUUUCAGUUUUAGUAAUUCCUGGAAGAACUCUAAUAUAAAAGCUAUGUACUUGAAAGUAAGCAAACAGAGCAACUGUUCAUCAUUUACAUCAUGCAUCUUUUUGAUCUUUUAUUUUUCUAGAGAUUAACACUUAGCAGGAAAAAUAAAGCACACUUAUCUACACACUCUUUUUAUUUUGUUUUCAUAUUUAUAAAAUGCAGUAAUUUAAAGCAAGAAAAUAUUUAUUGGGUUUUCUAAGUUUUUUCUCUUUAAGAUAAAUAAAACACUAAAACAGAAAGGAAUAAAUAAGAAGAGAAAAUAAAAACUUACUUGAUAAAUUGGGGAGGAACUCCCCCAAGCUGGAUGUGGAUGUCGGUCUUACCUGAUGUUCCAGAAUCGCAUCAUGGUGGUGAUGUUGUCGUUCAUUGUUGUGGUGUCUUGUCUCAGUUCUUGUAAUGCAGUGGCGUGGUCCUGGUUCCAUUUUUGUUGCUCUUCCAGGAGUCGUCCAUGUUCUGCUUGCGUAUUCUGGAUGUCGAGGAGAGUGUUGUCGAUAUGGGUGAAGAAAGCACCGGCCUCUUGGUAGUAGUCGUUCGUGAAAGCGUAGGAGGUGUCGGAGUAUCGUCCGAAUUGGGGCGGAGGUCUGGAUCCUGAAGCUCCAUAUGGAUCAGUGGAGUACCUGCCCGUAAGGAAAGGCGGGUUUGUCCACUGGUGAUCUUGGCUCUCCGGCCAUGUCUCCUGUGUUGGCUCCUGUGGUUGCGCAUGUCGAACCCAUGGGUCUCGGAGGACUCAGGAGUUGUAGUCGCAAUAAUGCAGGUGCGCUGCUUCUUCUGGCCCGGGAUUAGCUCCAUACCACGUGCGUUCUCGAUGGGUGGUCAUCCUUUCAGAUGCCACUCGUUGUGGAGCUCUCUGGUUUACCGGUGUCACUGCAAUCUCAAUCAAAAAAUUUUGAACAACGUAGAGGCCAAGGUUCGGGUUAGGUAACCGAAUCUUGCCUUUAUUAUCAUAUAGCAUAUACAUUAUGUUCCCUUCUUUCUUUAACAUCCGAGCUUGUCUAAAUAUGUCAUAGCCAUGAUAAAUUCGUAACUCAUCUAUGAAUUCCAAUGAUGAAUUUUCUAGUAAAUGAAGACUAGAGGCUAGACGAGUGAUAAGUGAAGUACAUCCUACUGGUCCCUGAAGACUAGGUAUACUAAGCCAAUGAGAAACCAAAAGUGUAACGGGUGAAGUGUGUACUUUAUUAAUAGCAGCAUAUAGAAGUUGCAAGUCUCCUACUCUUACUUUCCUAAUAUCAUCACGAUAGAAAAGAUUGUGCCCAAGCCAUUUGUGGAACAUCCUAAGAGUGGGGUGUUCCAUGUCACUGGUUCGGGCUUGACUAUAAAAAUUAUCUAUAGAUAUCUCUCUCCAGAACUGGUGUCUCUCAAAAUUGGGUAGGUCGGAGUCAAUGUUCAGGAUGUAUCUUAAAGAGAAACUAAGAUGGUCGCUCAGUUCUCUCCAAGACAACAUAAUCUCCUGUUUGAACAUCCAAAAAACAAUUCCCCCCUCAUAAUAUUGUAAAGUGCAAAGAAAUUCAAGGGUGAGAAUACGGGAACCCAGCUCAGUUAUGUUCCAAAAAUUUGUCCAACCUAACAUCUGGAAAAUUAAGUCGAAUUCAGUAUCCAUACCUGUUUCUUGUAGCAAGAUUGGAUCAAGAGUAGGGGUGUGAAUGAAAUCUUUGUUCUUUAGCUGCUAGUAAACUUCCUUUUCCCUUCAGGUCUUUAGUCCAACGUCUCCUAUCUUGAGGAGGACCUUGACUUGUUGAUCAGAUGAAGAUGACGGAGCUUGUGUGGGCGUCGGGUCGACGCUCAUCUCUGAUGGGUGCGAGGAGUGUCGGUAUGAACUCCUUGUACCUAUGUUCUUGAGGGCCUUCCCUGCGUUCUUCACCUUGUUGAACAUCCUGUAAACAAAAGUUGGCAAAAACACAACUAGUGGAAAAUGUGAGAGAAAAUGUUAGUGGUCAGCUGUCCGGAAUGUCAGUAGUCUAGAGGUUAGUCGUUCAACACAAGAUUUUAUUUUGGCAGCACCUCCCCCUAAACAACUUUUACUUCUGCUUGGACAGCGGGAUCACUACUUUCUAGGUGAACCUCACUCUCUCACUCAAAGACUACCAACUUCUUUCCCACUCUUCUCUUCCUCUCUACUCUCUUCUCACUUCACUACAAGAGCUCCUUCUCUGGAAACUGAAACUUGCGUGGUUUUCUAGAAUGCUUGUGUGAUGGAGAUGGAGGCAGGAGGUGGCAAUUUAUAGGAGGAAGACGGGACAGGGCGGGCGCCCACUUGUGGUGCCCAUCCUGGCUGCCCUUUCUCCACUCCCUCCUUUGCUUAACUCUUACGCAAAAUAAUAGAUCAUGGGUGGUGGUUGGUCGGUGGAAAAGUGCUGGUGAGUGGAGAUAUGUUGGUGGAUCAAAUAAUCUGAUGGGAUGUGUGUGAGGUGUGGUGUAUGACAUGUGGGACCCAAGGAGUGUGGGUCAUGCUUCUAGAAGGUUGCUAUAAUUAAAUAUAAUGCAGGAAAAUCUAUGAGAAUUGAGAUUUAUUUGAAAUGAUAAUGGAAAAAUAUUUUUUUGUGUCUCCACAAUAAUUAAUAAAUAUGGGUUGUUACACACCAUAAAUAUUAUUUAUAUGGGGAUUUUCAUUAUUAUAAUAAUGCUAUGAAUAUAUAUGAAUAAUGCAGGAAUAAAAUAUGAGAGAAUUAAUGAUGCGGAUAAAUACCGAUUUACCUCCCGGCGAGGGUUUGGGAUUUUUUUAGGUCCCCCAAGCUGGACCUCCAAAUCUUUUAAUCUUCUGAAUUACCUUCCUCCGGAGAUGAUGUCUCCAGUGGUUCUUCUUCAUGAACUUCCUUCACUGUAGAGUCUCUCUCUGGUCUGGGUUUGAAUGUCAAGUGUUCUUCUUUUCCGUUUAUGUUGAACUUGAUUUCUCCCUUUCCGACAUCAAUGUGGGCAUUGGCAGUGCCCAGAAAUGGCCUUCCGAGGAUAAUGGAUACUUUUGAGUCAGGACUCAUGUCCAGUACCACGAAGUCUACUGGCACCAGGAAAUCUCCGAUCUUGACUCGAAUGUUUUCAGCGAUGCCCAAUGGGUGUCGAACUGAUUGAUCCGCUAGUUGCAGGCACAUUGAUGUUGGUUCUAGGGUCGUAUGCUCAAGCUUCUCAUAGACUGAUGCUGGCAUCACACUGACACUUGCUCCGAGAUCACAAAGUGCAUUGUUGAAGUGUUGGUUUCCGAUCAAGCAAUCAAUAGUGGGUCAUCCUGGAUCUUCCUUCUUCUUUGGUGGUUUAUUGAGGAUAGCCACACUACAUUCUUCUGUCAUCUUGAUAACCUCAGUGGUGGGCAAUGGUCUCUUCUUGUUAAGAAUAUCUCUGAUGUACUUUGCAUAUGUGGGUACCUGCAUGGCAUCAAGUAGAGGUAUGUUGACAUAUAAUUUCUGAAUGACCUCUACAAACUUACCAAACUGCUCAUCCGACUGUAGUCCUCUGUUUCUUUUGGGAAAUGGCAAAUAGUUGGUGUCAUAAAAAUCUUUCCUCAUUUCUCCAGUUCUUGGUGGUUGUAGCAGAUCUUCUGCUUCAACUGGGUUUUCUUCUUCUAUCACUGCUGGUUGCACUGGUGCUGAUGUUCUUUGUUUCUCUUUUGGGUAUGGGGGAUACCUGGUGGCUUUGCCUCCUCUAGUAGUUAUGUUCUUAACCUACUCAAUGUUAGUGGCAACAGGCAAUGCAGCAACUAGUUUUAUUAAUUUAAGCUCUACCCUUUUAUUAAGAGUGUUUUGCUCAUCAAAGGCAGUUAAUAGAAAAUCCAUUUUAUUGUGUAUAUCUUUUAGAGAUGAUUCAUUUGUAUCCCGCCUUUGUUUAACUUCAUCAUUAGUUUUGGUUUGUUGAGCAAUUAUCUCUUUUAAUGAAAGUUGCUUGAAAGUAUUACCUGAAUUCAUACCUUUGUUAUUGGGUUGACUCGAAGUGGUUUGAUAUUUGUGUGCUGUCUCAAUAGCCCUUUGAUCUUCUUUGAACUUGGCCCUCUGGUCAAUCCAAUAGAGCAAAUUUUCCAUCUUGGUUGAUAAUGCUUUUACUUCUUCUGGUAUUUCUUCAGCUUGAUGACAUUGUUGAGCUUUAUCUUGGAACCAGCUUUGGUUUUUUGCUAUCUUAUCCAAAAGUAUCUCUGCUUUUCCAAUUGUUAGCUCCAAGAAUGAUCCUUUAGCAGAUGCAUCUAGGCACUCACGAGCCUUCUGGGUUAAUCCAUGGUAGAAGGUCUGCAUAAGUAACCAUGUGGCCAUUCCAUGGUGAGGACAAUCUGAUAUGUAUCCUUGAAAACGCUUCCAUGCUUCUGAAAUGGUUUCUGUCUUCUGCUGUUGGAAACUGACAAUAUUUCCUCUUAAGGCAGUUGUUUUGCCUAUAGGGAAAAACUUUGAUAGAAAGGCAUCUGACAAGUUCGUCCAGUUGUUGAUGUUAUCUUGAUGAGUGUAGAACCACUUCCUCGCUUUCCCUUCUAGUGAGAAUAGAAAAAGACGAAGCAGUAUGACGUCUUUGUCGACUCCAUUGAUGUGGAUUGUGCUUCCAAUCUCUAAGAAAUUCUGCAAGUGUGCACUAGCAUCUUCAUGUGCCUUUCCACUGAAUUGUGUAGCUUGUACCAAAUUGAUGAGGCUUGACUUGAGCUCAAACUCGGGUACUCCUUCUUCUACUGCAAAUCUUGGACCAGUUGGAAUGUUCUCAAGACUUGGAGCAGAGAAUUCUUGUAGGGUCUUCUGUGCCAUAGCUUCAGCAAUUGGUAGCUAGCUUCUUCUUUGUUUCUUGAUUGCUUUGGUUCUGAUGAUGAAGAGUUGAAUGUACCCAAAGUCAAUCCUAAUAUACCAUGUAUAAAAAUAUAAACAUAGAAAAACAACAGGGUGAACCUGCCAAAGCAGAGGUGCCUUGUUAUGAUUUCUCACUUAGUAGCUGUUUUAUGCAGUUAUUUCUCUAUAGUCUAGUCUAAUAUUUUAUGUGAAUAACCUUGGCUGACUUCCUGACUUUCCUUACCGUCCCCGACAACGGCGCCAGAAAUGCUUGUUGACACUAGCUAACACCACUUAGAUACUAAGUUGUUAUCCCCAGCAUGGUGCCAAAGUGUACAAAGGUAUUUAUAAAUGUAAAGGCUCUCUAGAAAAUAAUCUAUUCUAUCUGCAAGCGCACAGAUAAAACACCUCAUUGUAGCAUUUCACCAGGAUAAGUAUUCCAGGUAUCGUUAUUUAUAAUUUUGCUCAGGAGACAAGGGGUGAAAUUAAGAUAAGGACUAAAUCUAUCAAAGCAUAGACUAGAGAUAAACUUGCAAGAACAUGAUUACUAAUUAGGAACUCGUCACACAGUUACUUACUUUAGCAGGGGGUAAACCAUAAAGAUAACGAUAAUGAAUUAUAAGUUCAUGGGUAAAUAACACAGCGAUUAGAAAAUAGACUACUCCUCAUAUAUGUAAGGUGACGUCGGAUUAGCUAGAGAAUGGAUUCUAAGUUAUCUACUAUCUACUAAGUCACAAUCUACUCUAGUUAUCUACAAGAUCAUAUAUAGCAUAAAAGACUCUUCAUUCAUUUAUAAGGAACAUUGCUAAAGUAAAUCAGAGCAUCGCAAGACUUACUCCGCAAUACAAAUUUUGUCUGUCCUAUCAACGGAGGGUGGACUAUAUAAGAAUCAACAAAGCUGUCACUAUCGCGAACUACCACACGACCUGGCCAAUAGGAUACAUUUGCAGGUAAAUAACAUCUAAGCACCACGCCCACAUGUGAUCUACCACUUAACUCCCGCGCGUCAAGAGCUAAGCGCUUUGCAAACUUAUACAUAAACUCAUUAUCAAUCAUAACUAUAUCAAAUAUAGAACUAGAGCAAACUAAGAGCAUAAUAAAUAGAGACAUAAUGCAAUUAGAACAAAGUAUUAGAGAAAGAUAUGAAUAAUACCAAUCUUUAUUACCGAAGAUCCGAAUCCAGAGCGUAGUGCUCUACUUCUCUAAUUUCUAUCUAAUCAAUCCUCUAAACUUGAAGGAUUAGGGAGUAGCUAAUUCUAAUUCUCUGUGGGAGAGAAGUCUAAACCAUAACUUUGAUGGCUACCUCUGAUAAUGAUUUCUCCUCUUCUCUUCUCUCCCCCAGGGGUGGAGAGGCCUUGAUUAUAUAGUCCUUUCAAGUGAAUUUUGGUCGUCGGAUCAAACCGACAUUGAUCGCACAGUUUUCCUUGAUCCUUUAGGUCAGUGGAGCACGAUCCAAGAGUUUGGUUUGGAUUGGCCCUGAGACCUGGGCGGGCGCCCAAGGGGGGAGGGCGGGCGCCCUGCCCUCGGGCCCGAUCGCCUUCCUGUUCGUUCCCGUGGCUUCUGGACUCUUCUAGAUUGUAGAAAAUUGUGCGGUACGUAAUUAUCUUGUUGUAAACAUGACAUGUGGGAGUUCUCUCCAUAUUUUCUAAUAACCCCCUGCAGAAAUAGAUAAACACCAAAGCUCGUGGAAUUCUGUCAGAUAAAACCCGAAUUCUAGAUGUUUGGUGCAUAUUGAUCCUUUUCCAUGUUUAUUUGAUGGUUAAUUUUAGUACUUAAGGACCGUCAACAGGUUAUAGUAGGGGUGUACAAGCAGGUUGCGAGAGAGGGCUAAGUCCCAAGUCUCGACGUUGUGUGGUGGACAGAACGCUACUUGCUACUCUGUGGGUGAACUCGCUUGGAGUUGUGGUAUAUGGGUUGAGUCUUGGUUGUUGAUGGUCGUGUCUUGGAUGUGAGCCCUGGCUCCCCUUUUAUAGUCUCAAGGGGACACAGGGUUUUACAUGUGUGACUGGUGAUCUUCCUCUGAUGAGUGGUGAAGCUACAGUCCCGACCCUGUUGAGACUUGCCCAUUCCGUCCUUGAGAUAUGGUUGACAGCAUGGUUGCUUCUGUGGAGGGUUGCCGAGCCCUGCUGAGGUCAUGGGGGUCGGAUCGGUGAUACUGCAGCUUGUCCUGUAACAGUGGGAGAAGACAGCUAAUAGUGACACUGGUUAAUCCCUCCCAUUCCUCUUUUACUAUGAGGCGGUACACCACAGUGAAAGAGGUAAGGUUGCACAAUGAAAGAGGUAAGGCUACAGUGAAAGAGGUAAGGCUACAGUGGCUGGGGUGGUUGGAAUAGUCGCCACCAUGCCCUGCUGUGGUAUGGGGGUCACUGCGUCUGUCGUGUCGUGGGUACGGGCGCUGUGUGUUGGAAGCCUGGCUCCGAGACGGGGGCUCGGGCGAGGCGGCGUUGGCGCCCGAGCCCAAGAGGGGUGGGGCGAGGCGGAACUUGCGCCCGUGGCCAAGGGGGUCGGGCGAGCCGUGACUUGCGCCCGAGGCCAAGGGGUCGGGCAAGCCGUGGCUUGCGCCUGAGGCCAAGGGGUCAGGCGAGUCGGGGCCCGCGCCCUGGUUAUCGUGGCUGGUUUGCUUUGUCUUUUGCGAUUUUUAUUUAUUCUGACUUGGGUAUCCCUUUUUAUGGUACCCAACAAUAGUAUAGGCCUUUCAUGAACAAGCGCUGCUUAUCAACAUCUUCUCUGACAUCGUUUGGAGCAUAGCGAGCCAACUGUUCAAAUGUGUCAUGAUAUUCUGCCAUAGUCAUAGAGCCCAUCCUGAGUGAUCUGAAUUCUACUUGCUUGAGCUCCAUCAUUCCUUCAUUUAUAUGUCGAACUCUGAAGUCUCUACAUAAUUCUAGGCAAGUGACAGGAGGAGCAUUGUUGGGACGAGCAGCUUGAUAUGACUCCCACCAUGUCUGAGCUGCCCCCUGAAGCUGUCCAGAAGCAUACAACACCUUCUCCAAGUCAUUGCACUGGGCUAUGUUCAGUUGCCUCUUCACAGCACGUAACCAAUCAUCUGCCUCCAUGGGAUCAGCUAAGUGUGUAAAUACUAGGGGUCUUCCCUUCAUAAACUCUCCACGCUUAUCUCUCACAUGAACAGGUGGUGGUGGUGGUGGAGGUUGCUGCUGUAGGUGCUGCAUGAAGACUUGCAUCAUCUCAUUCUGGGUUUGCAUGAGUUCCUCCACAGUAAUUGGGGGCAUUGCCACCAUUGCCACAGCCUCUGCCUCUGCCUCUUCCCCUUGCUGCCAUCUGCAUUCCAAGGUAUAGAAACAUGUCUUAGUAAUGUCCAACAUGACAAUUACAAGAGUUAACGAAAUCUGAAAUUUUCUGGGUAACAUCCAACAUCAGCAGAUCAGAAAAUCACUCAUAUCUCGAGUUCCAGACUUCAAAAGGAUACAUUCUGCACACCGUUGGAAAGAUAAAGAAAUCGUCUACAACUUUCAUUUAGAUCAUAUUAACAGAUUUCAACGUUAGGUUAAUCAAAAACUGAGUACAACCGAAACUGUUCCAGAAUUCCAGACUGCGCAGAAACCUCAACUUUAAACAGUCAUAACUCACAGCUCAUAAUAGAUAAUAUGCUCAUUCUUGCGGUAUUGGAAAGAUAUGAAAGUCUACUUGUUCCAAGAAAAAUUUGAUGAACAUUUCACGAACAGAAUUUGAUUUAUACCAGAAUCAUUGCAGACUGCUCCAGAAAAUCAGCAAAAGACAGAAACAGGAUAUGACCCCAAACCACUAUUUAUUCAUAUUCUUACUUAAGGUUCUUAACUAGGGAUCUUGUGGACAUGCCCACAAAGUUCCAGCGCGCAUCACAAAAAUCCAAAUCACACAUUAUCAUAAUAAAAAUCCAGCAAGCACACCAAGUUCACACCACACUAACAAAAGAAUCGAAAUAACUCGCAAACUACUAACGUUCCUAUUACAUAUGGGUUCUUUUCUAUUCCUCGGGAGCAGCAUCCUUUAGGAUUGGUUCGAGACGCAGCCUCUUGUGGAGCUUUGGAUGGCCUAACUCUGCUCGAAGGUCAUCUGCUUCCCUUUGCUCUUGCUCCAGCAGCUUCCUCUCACGGUGCAGUUCAUUCUCCAACUCUAUCACCUUGACGGUCAGUUCAUAAGUCAACUCCACUUGCGCCUAAAGCUUUGGUUGUGAAGCAUCUGCAACUUCUAUGGCCCAAGUCAUCUUCUCUGGUACAAAGCGAGGAUAAUGGUAUGUCGCAUUGUACUGGACAUCCUCAAAGCGUCUACCACGAUAAACGAUCAAGGCCUGGUAAGCUGCAUCAGCCAUGCUCUCCUUUAUCGUGUCCCGGCUGAUUCGAGAGAUGUGUUUUGAUUCCACCUUUCGAAUCCCCUUAGUGGCAUCCAGUGUCUUGACUACCAGCUCUGCAUCCCAAAGUGAUCUCCUCAGAGGGUGUUUGUACUUAGUGCAGUUAUACUCCAGUGUGGGUUGCAAAUCCGGGUAAUGGUGUUCCAUUGUCAACACCAAAUUCUCAUGGAAGAAACCCUUGGGAUCUGCUUCUGGAAACCACAGCUCUGUACUCCACCCCAUCCUUGCAUUUGCUAACUGAGCAGACUGUGGUGGAGGUGGAUCUUGCAUCUCCUCAUCUUCAGGCACAUCCUCCUGAGCUUCCACCCUUGAUUCCUCAUCUGCCAGCUCAGGAACACCUUCCACAUGUUGUCCUCUUGGGUUGAACAGGGCACGGUACUCCUCAGUAGUCCUGCGUGCAGCACUACGGGUACAGGGCGGCAUCUACAAAAAGUUUUUACACAUAGAUCAGAUGGAUGCAAUAAUUUCACAAUAGAGCAAGAUAGAGAAGCAUAAAACUUUUAGCAAAUAGCAAGACCAUAGUGGGAAGCAUGAAGUAAGUAAAGUAAAGAGCCUGAACUUUCGACCAUUGCUAACUAGGUUUGCGUCCUACAGUCAACAAAGCUUUGAUAUCAAUUUGUCACACCCAUAUUUUAAGAACAAAAUAGGAUGCAUAAAAGACUCAUAUGUGCCCCAGAAACAGUCGCACACAUAAGUAGACAAAUCUCAAAUGUACCAUUGCAAUGUUUAUUACAUAGUGGAACAUGAUAUAUAUAACAUAGUCUCAUACAAAAAUGAUAAUAAGAUUAAACAACGCUCUCGACAGAAGCUCCACACAGGGACACUGUUGACUAGUUGACUCCAAACCUAAUACUCAUAGCGAUAGUCCUCAUUCCAAUCAUCAUCAUUAGCAUAACCUUGGGUGUUGGGAAAUUGCAAGAGUGAGCACAUAUCGUGCUCAACAAGUAUAACCAGGGGUUCAUGAGGCUCAAAUAGCUGAUACUGGUUUGACUGCAAUUAGCUUUUAAUGGUGGAUAGGAUGUUCAUAAUUAUGCAACAAAUGUCAAGGUAGCAUAAAUAAUCCAUUAAUCACAUGAUCAAGUGUAAGCAUAAUUAAUUCAUAACAUAAACGAUAAUCAAAUGAUCAUAAUAACAUAAUAAGCUCAUCAUCUUAAUGUAGAUGUCCCCAAGGCCGCUCCUAACCGUGAGCUCGGCUAGUAUACUAGUUUUAACACUCUGUAGAGGUUGUACAUCUUUACCCAUGAGUCAUGAUUUACCCUUUCGCCUGAGGUAGCUAAUCUCUUAACCCCCUUCCCAGGGAGGUCGGCAGGGAUCACUAUGAAGCCUUUCAAAAGUUCGUCUAACAUGUUAGGGCCGCAAGGUUUCCUUUGCGCGCAGAUAUAGAUAGCCCCGUUCCGAAUGGCACAAUGACGCGCAACCUAUACACAUAGGGACAGUGGAUCGCACUAUACCCAAAACGGUUCAGCCCCUCCGCCCUUUUGGGUAACCUCUAACAAGCUAGAAAAGGUCUUCAUACUGAGCUAAAGCCAGAGCCAUUAUAGCCCUCAUGGUUGCACUGUUAUCCCGAGUGAUCACGUACAGACAAGAUCUCAUACAGUUAUUUGUCAUUCUUUUUAUGUUCAUUGCAUAGCUAUUAAUCAUCUUACAAGAUCAUGGCUUAUAUCAAGCACUAGCACAUCUACACCAAAUGCAUAUCAAGUAGGUAGCAAGGAAUCCAGGUAACAGUCAUCUAUAAUUUUGCUAAGGUCGACAAGGUGAAAGCAUGCAUAUGAUAUAUAUGUGUAUUUAUAAGUGAAUAGGUAACAAGGAUGAUUCCAAGUUAUACUUGCCUUGAUCAAAGCUCUCCUGAGCUUGCUGGUCUUCAAAGGUUUGGUCUUGAUCACCAACGUACGGCUCACCGUCUAUUCCCAAACAUCAAUCAACAACACGCAAUCCAAUGUAGACAAUCAUACACAAAGCAAACAAGCUAUAAUUAGAACAUUACACCAAACAGUGGUAAAAAAGAUACAAGUUUAUGAAAAUAUUCUACGCAGCGCUACGAUCACACAAACGUAAAGUUCACGAAAAUCGGAAUUAAAACGUAGAAGAUAUGAAUUUUCUAAGAUUUCCUACAGAGAAAUAAUUAAUUAAAUGCUAAUGCAGAAUUAAAAAGUUUCAAAACAGUAAACUAAUACUUCUAACAUAUAGAGCUAGUGAAUAGGAAUCUAACGAAAUUUGAAUGGACAAAAACGGAGUUAAAAUGAGUAUUUUAUGAGCAAAAUAAACCCAAUGGCAAAACUGUAAUUACUGGAAAACGCCUUUUCACUAGAACCGACGAGAAUACGCUUUUAGACUUGAAACUCGUAAACUUGAAAAUACGUAAAGGACCACGGGUUCAAUAAUAAAGAAACACAGGGGCUUUUUAGCAAAAUAAACAUCGAAAGGGUAUCUUUGUUUCUGGGCCGUUGAUCCUCGAUCUGACGACUGGGAGCGCUUGGGGCUCUGCCGUGGCCGACGGCCGGCCGGACGCAGGCACCGGUGCGGUGGCGCCAUGGCCGCCGCCGUGUACUUCGCCGGCGUCCGCGGGUUUCUCCAUCGUGUGCACCAAAUCAAGAGGCGAGACCAUGGGCGCGUGGAGGAGGAGAAGGCGAGCUCACCACGGGGAUUGGCUCGGGCCGAGGACAACCAGGGCGCUCGUGUCGCGGUGAGUGAAGAUGCUCGGCUCGGCGAGAUCUCAAAGGCGUAGAUCUAGGCGGCUAGGGCUUCCUAGAGCACGGCAGAUAGCAAACAGGUGCCGCGGGGAGUUCCUACGGCCUUUAUAGGGCUUGGCACACGGGAUAGGAAGGUGAGCACGGGGUUUUCGGGAUCCGGCUCGGAGCUAGGGGAAAGAAUCCGUCCCGGAUACGAUGAGGAAGAAGGCGCUGCACGCGGGGUCGGGAUGUCAGGGGGAAAAGAGCGGGCCCGGCUGUCAGCCAGCAGAAGGAGGAGGAGGUGCGGCGCGCGCGGCCUGUUCGGCUUGGGCCGGCUUGGUGAGCUGUGGUGGGGGAAAAGAAAACCAGGGUGUGGGGGAGAGGGACUGGGCCUCGGCCGAUUGGGCCACCAGGCCGAGAGCAGGUGGCUCUCUUACUUUUUUUUCUAUUUUAUUUUCCAAAUCCUUUUUUUCCAAGAGAGUUUUGGGCAAGACAAUUAAAGAUAUAAAUAGAAACAGCAAAUCACAAAAAUACUAUGCCCCAGCAUGAAUGCAAAACAUGUUUCUAAACUUAUGAUAAAUUUUAUUUUCCACAAAAAUUAUUUAAGUGCUAAAUUUAAAUGCUCACAAAAAUACAUAAAUAAAUCCAAUUAAAUCCUAUUAAUUCGAAAUCAAAUUUUGGGUGUUACAGAGACGAAGAUAACACUAAUGAGCAUGGAAUUUAUUUCAUAGCCACUUCGUUUACUCCAUGCUCAUAUGCAACAUCUUCCCAAUCUAUUGGUCUCUCCAACAUCACCACAUUUGAGAUCUCCCACCCCCUCUUCCUUUCUAUUUAUAAAAACAUUAAAAGGACGAUUGUCGAUGCAUAUGUCUAGAAUAAAUAUUGCAGAUCUCGUUGACUUGAUCUUGAUAUAGGUCAGCGUUGGAGGGGAAACCACUUCGCCGACAUAAAUUGAUGGUUUCCCAAGCUUAGUAUCCUAAAAUAAGCACUGAUCAGAUCGUAACAUGAGCUUUUAAUUAUUUGCAACAUUACCUUGUGUAUUGAGCAUAUAAGGAUAAUUGUAAAAAUAUUCCUUCGGGUAUUCUUGUCACUAACCUUUUCAGGAUUGGAGCAAGAAGAUCGGAUGAAUGACAAACACAAGGUAUGUCCAACCAAUCAUCAUACAACAUUGAAUUAAAUUCAUCCAAACUUGAAUUUUGCAAAAUUCAAGCUUGGGGGAGUACUUUACAUAAAACAUCCUUUGCCAUGUUGCUAUGUUGGUUGUCCCUAGCUUUGAGACAUGCUCAAUUUGUUAAAUACUAAUCACACUAUUUCAUCUCCACUUGAGUAGAACUCUAUAAAUGCUCUCAUGCUACCUUUAUUUGCUUUAGUAUAUGUCUAGGUUUGGAGUAGUUUCAUUUAUCUCUUAAUUAAGCAUGGUGCUUAGUUUAGGAAUGAUGAUCUUACUUCCAAGGGUUAUUAAAUUAAGCAUGGUGCUUAGGUUAAAAUACCCUCCUAAAUCAAAUUAGACAUGGUGUCUAGGUUGAUUUUUGAGCCUAUAGUAUGCUAUAGUAGAUAUGGGAUAUUUUGUUGGACUAACCCCGACAGGAAAACUUUCAAUAUCGACCUGGGAAGUCCUAAGAUAAACUCACAUUGGAGACAAAGAGAGAGACACAUGAAGUUUAACAAUUUACACAAGGAAGACGUAGCUCAUAAGAGAUGAUGCAUGGAGGGUUCCACAAACACGAGGCACAACCGCUAAGAAAGGAAAGCUUCCACAAGGUGAUAUUGUACCAUCACUCUUCAAGUAAGGUAACAUCUUAAGGUACUUGACUAUCGCUUUUAUAAGCUUCUCCUUGGUUCUGGCGUUCACAUAAAAUAAAGAGACAAACAUGUAUGAUUUGUAACUCCAAAUUAACCAACCUAAUUAAUUCAACAAGUUUAGUCCUUUAAUCUUUGUUCUUAGUACUACCUUCGUGAUCCCACACUCCUAAUCAUAUAAGCUAAAAUGUUGCACAUUCAAUCUUUGGAAGAUAUAAACAAAACAUAAAUAUAGAUAGAUUAUCUUUCCAUUAGGUCGAGCGAUCUGAUUUGACAAAUGUUUUAAAUGCUACACUCAUGAUCUUAUUAUCCAUCAACUUUGUCUUGCUCUCUAUGCUUAAGAUUAGAGAAGAACAAAUACACUUUUUGUUCUGUUGGUGUUUUUCACCAACAUGGCCCAUGCACUUGAUCUCUGCCUUGUCUCUAUGAACAGGUACACUUCAAGCAAAACAUGGAGGAGUUUUACAACUCCCAGACUCCACCAAGUGAAGGACCUGGAUCUACGAGCACAAACACACUGAGCAGGAUAUUGCCAACACCGCACUUUGAACUGUUGGGCAAACGAAGAACAUGGGUGACACCGUAUCAAGAGGUACAGACGUCAAGGUCCACACCUAAUCAAAUGAUGCACCUAAAGGAUGAAGAUGGUGAGAAGUCUUGUCCAGAAGACUUAAAACAUUGGAUCCUUGUCGGAAGAGGUCAAGAUCGUCGACUCAAGUUGCCUUUCUUGAUCAAGAAGGAUGACCCUGGUGUUCCAAGCAUCGAGUGCACAAUCAACGGAUACUCUUUUCAGAAGACACUCUAUGACACCGGAUCUGACGUCAUCAUAAUGGCCGCAGUCAAUUAUCUGCUCCUACAUGGAACCAUGCCCCUACAACCAAUAUACAUUCAGCCCCAGAUGAUUUUCAGGUCAUUGACAUGGGAGAAGACGAGUACGAUCCACCCAUCAUCCUUGGAAGACCGUUCCUCAGCACUAUCAAAGCCAUCAUCUAUAUUGGAACCGGAGAAGUCCACAUGCACUUCCCCUCUGAAGAAGGCAAUGUAACUGGAACCAAAGGAGGCAAAUCAUCAAGGACGGAUGGGCAGACUACGAAGGAGAAGUGGUGAGGUCUGAAGACAUACAGCUUGAACAGAACUGUCCUGAGGAGACCAUAGCACCGAGUCAGAUGUGGAGAGAGAAGAUAGUUAUACACGAAGAAGAGGCGCUGCCGAAACCACCGACUACGCCAUCCAGCAAAUCCUAGGACGACUGAGAAAAUAGAGAGUCCCGUUCGGAGGACUUAAAAAACCAAACGUCUUGCCAAGAGGUAAACGUGGUAGUUAUCCUUUUCCCUUCAAUUAUUUAAAAUAGUUGCUUAGUUAAUCAAGUUCAUAUCAUCUCGAAAAGAAAACAAAAAUAUUUAUUCGUUGCAUUGCAUCAUAAAAUCUAAAGCCCCAUGUGAGCAGACUUAUGGUUUAAAACCCAUAGGUAUAUUGACUGUGGUGGCAUAAAAUAAAUAUGUUUUCAUCUUACAAUAAAAAUAUAAAAAUAAGUUUAUGAUCCUACUAAAGAGAGUAACAUUUUUUGAGGAGGCUCAACAUGAUAAAGGCUAGAUAUUUAUGCUAACACUUAACUAGUUCCACAAAGCUUUGUUGUCUAUUUGAGCUCAACAGAAUUCAGGGAUCAAAGAAGACUAGCAGACGAAGGACAUCCUAAUCGCUGUCAGGCUACUGCCGACAUUCAAAUAUACCUCCGUCACCUGCUAGCUACAUCAGAAGAAAUUACGUUAAAAUCCAGCUUGGGGGAGAGCACCCCCAUUUAUUGAGCUAAGUGUUUCUACUCGCGUUUAUACUUUACUCAGAUAAUAAAAAGAUGCAUAAUCAUGAGAACCCAAAUAAAAAUUUUGUGCUUAUAUAUAUCUUUGCUUAGUUUGCUAAAUAAAUAAAUAAAGUGUCUAGGUCAAACUGAACUUAAAUGAUAAACUCUUACAUGGAUAUGAUAAAUAGUUGCUCUGCCAUGUACCUAGUUUUCAAGUUUGAGCUCUCUCUCAAGUUUAGGCAUAACUAUUAUAAUUUAAAUCUGCUCUAAACCUGAACUUGUGGGAAGAGUACUUGAUCUAAUGUCUAAGUCGUUAACGGAUACGAUAUGGGAAGGUUGAGCUGUUGUUUAUCUGUUCCUAGAGAUGCUAGAAUUCUGGAGAAUUUUAUCUUUGAAAAUCUUUAAAAUAACACAUGAUAAGUUCCUGUAUGAUGAGAGUUUAAAUUCCUACCACAGCCAUACAUACAUGCUUGCUAGACUUUGAGCCACACAUUUACUUUUUACUGCUUAUGAGCAUUGAGUGUGGUCAAGCUGUGUAGACCCUUAGGAACUUGUCGUGCGGUUAAAAUCAAGAUUCACUUGCACGUUCACUCAUACAUGCUACUUCUACUCCGGAAGUACACAUCCACAUACAUCCACUCAAUUCCAUCUCCAGAUUCACCUAAAAUUAUUCUACUCCUAAUCCGGGAGAGAAUAGCCAAAAACAUUCUCCUAUUUCUGUUUUUCCCUAUGAAAUAAAUGCUCGAGUUAUCUUGGUUACUACCACUUGCUAUAUUAUUUCAGGAGAUGAGUGCUCUAAAAAAAAGAAGAGAAAAAGAAAAAGGAAAAAUACGAGGAAAUAAAAAGGGGCAAGUGCCCGGAACCUCGAAGAAAAGAAAAAGUGAGACAAGAGGUAAAAAUGGACAAGUGUCCGACAGUAGAAUUAGGGGUACAAGAUACCCACCUGAGAGAAAAGAAAAAGAAAAUAUAGAGCAUCUCAUUCCCCUCAAAUAGCUUCAAAGUGCAAGAAAGGUAUGUAUCCCCUCAAAAGAGCAAAAGUAGAAUUAGACUUUCACCAUUGUUAUCACCAUCAUCACCAUACACCAUUCAUUCGCCACACAUGCACAUCUUGAUUUGACUUAUUGACUUGUUUCUCUAGAUCCAUGGUUUGACUAUGCAAUAAAUGUCUUGUAAGUAUGUAUUAUCUGUCUCCCACCUAUGAGCUCCAGAUAUCAAAACCUUAUUAGAGUAGGGUGAGAGAGAAGGCAAUAUCACUAUGCCUCAUACCAAAAAUACCACAUACUUUGAGAGCAGGCAUAUACCAUUACUGCCUUGGAAAGGAUCCAGAAAUACCACAAAAGAGAGAUUUGAGAGAGUCAUACAAGGAAUCUCUGAGUUUUAUUUAAAAAUCUGCAAAAACUCCAGAGCUAUAGUUAAUCAAAGAACAAGAGACAUGGCACUUGACUAGACUGUUCUAUCUUUUAACUGCUGAAGACACUAGUGACGGUUGCAAGCCCCAUGGUGAAAGAUAAAAUGAGUAAGUUUUAAGUCUUAACAGUUUACUCUAACUCAAAGAUGAGAUCUUCCUUGAACGCAUGUGUACUUUUAAGGCAUGAAACCAUUGUAGAAACUCUUGAGUCCAUCCUUGCUCAAGGACGAGCAAGAGGUAAGCUUGGGGGAGUUGUUGACGGUCCUUAAGUACCAAAUAUAAUCAUCAAAUAAAUAAAGAAAAGGAUCCAAAUGCAACCAACACCCAGACUUAGGGUUUUAUCUGACAGAAUUCACGAGUUUUGGUGUUUGUCUAUUUCUGCAGGGGGUUAUCACGAAAUAUGGAAGAAAGGCCCACACGUCGGGUUUACAUAGAGAUAUUAACAUGCCGUGCAAUUUUCUAUCAUCUAGAAGACUCCAGAAGCCACGGGAACGAACGGGAAGGCGAUCGGGCCCGGGGGCAGGGCGCCCGCCCUUCCCCCUUCGGUGCCCGCCCUGUUGCAGAGACCAAUCAGGUCCCGUCUCGCGGAUUAUGCUCCACCGACCUAAAGGAUCAAGGAUAACCGUUCAAUCAAUGUCGGUUUGAUCCGACGGCCUAGAUUCACUUGAGGGGACUAUAUAAGCAGACCCCCUGGCCCCUGGAGGAGAACAAGUUCAUCAUAGAGUUGAGAGGUGCCCUCGAAGGAUAACCUUUCCUCUAUAUAGACUUAGGGCUUAGCAUCCAAGGUGAGAGUAGACUAGUUCUACUAGAUUGAGAGAGAUAGAGUGGAGGUGUAGAUCGGAGGAAGCCCGGCCUGUCGGUGUCUACUCCGAGGUUGUACCUGCGGGAUCAAGUCUUCUAACCCGAGGCUUGAUCCUAGGAUUCUUCAGUAUUUCGACUUCUAAAUUCUAGUAAGUUCUUUGUUUUAUUGUUCUUUGGUUUAUGAGUUUACUUUGAUCUCUUCGCGUAGAGUUUAGAGUAAUCAUGUCUAGCGUAAACGUGGUGUUUGGGCUAGGAUACUCAUCGAUAUCCCCUGACUAGCCGGACCGUGGUAGUAGUGAGGAACGUGACAUUUCUGAGUUACCUUUGUAGCACAUAUCCCGUUAGCAGGAUCGAUAGGGUUUAUAGGGGCGGGUCAAACAUCCUUUGUGGUGUCUAGAUUCCGUGAGCCUCCCCGUAGAUCAUCCUUACCAAGGUUAGAACGAGAUUACGGUUGUAGUCUUCUCUAUACAUCACUCACAUCGAGUCUCAUAGUUUGUAGCCUAAAGGGUAGUAGCAAUAGAUUUGGUUAGUCAGAUGCACGCUUUCUCCCAGUGGUAAAAAUAUAAAUACGAUACUCUGGAUAACCUCCCGGGUGAAGUGCUCACCGAUAUCCGUGCGCUUGCGGAUCAUUUCCUGAUGGCGUUACCAAAUAUCAACAACCCUCUAUAUCGUUUAUGUACCAUGGUAGUGUAGCCUCUUGUGUAAAUCUGAGUAACAUUAGAGUAGUAUAUUGUUCUCAUCAAUGUUAGGAUGUAACUCAAAGAGGAAAUAGUGCAGCUCUUGUUGGAGUAGCUUUGCACGGUUGUGGGUAAUCGGCCUUUUAUAUAUUUGUGUAAAUAUAACUUGAGCUAACGGUGACAUGUCCACAUCAUCCUCCCUCUUAGUCGUCUUUGAGUCUUCCAAUCCAAAGAAAGGAGAUAGACCGGCGAUAUUGAAGCUUGUACUCACACCAUAAGUACUUGGAAGAUCAAUUUCAUAUGCAUUGUCAUUGAUCUUGCGAGACACUUUGAAUGGGCCAUCAGCACGGGGAUAUAACUUGCUCUUGCAUUGUACAGGGAAGAGAUUCUUGCGUAGAUGAACCCAAACCAAGUAUCUUUGUUCAAACAACAUCUUCUUGUGCCCUUUAUUGGCACUCUUCUCGUACAACUUGGUCAUCAUCUUCUCAAUGUUUGCUCCUACACAAUCAUAAAAGGUUUUUGACAAAAUCAGCUCGCUUGCUUGUAUCAACGUCCACAUGUUACUGCAUAGACAAAGGAAGAAGAUCGAUGGGAACAGUAUGUUUGAAACCAAAGACAAUCUCAAAAGGACAAAAUUUUAUGGUUGAAUGUACCGCCCUAUUAUAUGCAAAUUCCACAUGAGGCAAACUUUCUUUCCACAAUUUUAGAUUCUUAUUUAGAACAACUCGCAACAAAGUUGACAGUGUGCAGUUCACAACAUUAGUUUUCCCAUCAGUUUGAGGAUAGCACAUUGUCGAAAAUAGCAGCCUCAUUCCAAGUUUACCCCAUAAGGUCUUCCAAAAGUAGUUCAAAAACUUGGUGUCCAAAUGAGGCAUUUUGGUAUGUGGCACUCUAUGUAGAUGCACAGUUUCUUUGAAAAUAAUUUAGCAAUGUGUGAAGCAUCAUUACUCUUAUGACAGAAAAUAAAGUGUGUUAUUUUGCUAAAACAAUCAACCACAACAAAGAAUGAAUCCCUCCCUAUCUUGGUUUGAGGUAAAGCAAGAACAAAGUCCAUAGAGAUAUCUUCCCAUGCUAUGCUAGAAAUAGGAAGAGGACUGUAUAGUCCAUGACUUAGCCUUAUGGAAAGUUAUACAGCGAAGAACAUGCCUCUCUACGUCUUUCAUCCUUAUGUCAAAAGAAGCUAUCAGUGAGAAGUUGUUCUAUUUUCUUGGUUCCCAAAUGGCCCAUAAGUCCAUCUGCAUGAGCUUCCUACACAAGCAAAAUGCAAAGACUGCAAUGCAAAGUUUAUUAGCUUGAAACAAAAAUCUAUCAUGCAAAUGAAAUUGUUCCCAUCUCUUACCACCGCAACACUUGGAAAUGGCUCAUCAAAAUAUGAAUCAGUCACAUAAAUCCUUUAUACUUUGUAAUCCAAGAUUUUUAGUAUCAAGUUGUGUACACAAAGUAUGGCGGUGAGACAAAGCGUCAACAACAACAUUGUCCUUUCCUUUCUUAUACUUGACAAUGUAGGGAAAAGACUCAAUGAAUUCACACCAUUUUGCAUAUCUCCGAUUCAAUUUUAGUUGGCUUUUAAGAUGUUUCAAUGAUUCAUGGUUUGAGUGUAUCACAAAUUCUUUAGGCAAAAGGUAAUAUUGCCAAGUUUUCAAACUCCUUACAAGAGCAUAUAAUUCUUUAUCAUAAACUGAAUAAUUCAAUGUUGGACCACUUAGCUUUUCACUGAAGUAUGUGAUAGGCCUUCCUACCUACAUGAGCAUGCCACCAAUCCCUAUACCACUUGCAUUACAUUCAAUUUUAAAGGUCUUACCAAAAUCUAGAAGUGCAAGAAAUAGGGUUGUUGUCAACUUCUUUUUCAAUUCUUCAAAUGCCUUAUCUUGUGCUUCACUCUAGUGGAAUGUUACUUCCUUUUUUGUCAACUCAUUGAUUGGGGCAGCAAUGGAACUAAAAUAUUUCACAAACCAAUGAUAGAAAUCGGCAAGUCCAUGGAAGCUUGUACCUGGAUUACAUUUUGUGGGGGCUGCCAUUCUUGAAUAUCUUUGAUCUUUUUCUCAUCCACCUCCAUGCCAUGAGCUGAAACAACAAAACCAAGAAUGACAACCUUGUCUGUGCAAAAGGUGCACUUGGCAAGGUUAGCAUACAAACAUUCCUUCCUUAAAAUAACAUGCACAUAUUUUAUAUGUUCAAUAUGUUCAUCAAGAGACUUGCUGUAAAUUAAGAUAUCAUCAAAGUAAAAUACAACAAACUUGCCAAUAAAAGUCCUAAGCACAUGAUUCAUCAAUCUCAUGAAGGUGCUAGGUGCAUCUAUCAAACCAAAAGGCAUCACCAACCAUUCAUACAACCCAAACUUAGUGUUGAAGUUUAUUUUCCAUUCAUCUCCUUCUCUUAUGCGAAUUUGAUGAUAGCCAGUUCUCAAAUUAUUUUUUGUAAAAAUGAUAGUACCACUAAGCUCAUCAAGCAUGUCAUCGAGUCGAGGUAUGGGAUGCCUAUGCCAUAUGUGUCACACCCCAAAAUUUUUAUUUUGGGACGUGAAUGCAAAAAAUAAAUAAAAUAAAUGAUUUUAAUAUUUCAGUAAAAUUUGCCAACAAUAGUUUAGAUUUCAAUAUUUUGUUAUUAAAGAACAUAGUGCUUUCUAAAUAUUUUGGAAUUAGAUUGAUGGGCUUUAGUUGAUGUAGUGCUUGUCUAUUGCUUGAGUUUGGUGUUUUUCUAUGUGCUAAGUUGUAAAAACACAUUUAGACGUUGCUCGAUCUUCAACCUAGAAAUUUCUAGACUUUUCUAGGACUUUUUCAUGUUUUUUCUAGAGAAAAAUCUUUUUUUAGAUGCUCUAAAAUUUUUUUCAUGGCCUCCAAAAACUUUAUUUGAAUUCACUAUCUUCCAAUUUAUCUCUAUGAGUGUUCCUUUAAAUUUUUUAAUUUUAGAAAACAAAACUCAGAAAUUUUAAACUAUUUCAGCUUUUUCUAGAAUUGUUUUUGAAGUAAAAAUGAUUUUAUAAAAUCCCCAAAUCAAGAAAUUUUGAAAAGUUUUGAAACCUUAUAUAUAUACAUGCCAAUUUUCUCCUCAACGCACUAGUUCCAGAAAUACAACCUAUUUUGCAAGCCGCCACUCAUUUCAUCCUUGAUCUAAAGCCGAAGUUUUAAAACCUAGCUUCAACGAACUUUCGGCGAAGGUGUGCCGAGCGUUUUCGGUCAUAUCCGAUAUUCCCUACAGAAACCGUUACUACCUCGAUUCAGCUCGUCGUUCUCUAUAUGGGUACACUUUUAUUUUUUUACGUAACUGUGCCCAUUGGUCAUUCCCCUAACCUCUCUUCCUUUCCGACGAGGUGCUUAUGCUAUCUUCUUCGUUUCUCCGACCACCCCGUUGUUCAAUGUCUCCCUUUAGCCCUCUCCGCAACCUAGGCCCCACGCUGUGGCCACGUGCCACCUAUGUCGUGCCCCGUCAGUCUGUCACGUUCCCACGCAGCUCCAUUUGGAGCCGCCAGUACUGCCAAGUGCGCCAUGGCUAGGGAUGAAAACGGUACGGGUAUUUUUCGACCGUAUUCGAGACCAAAUUCGUUUAGAGGGAUUCAGAUCAGUUCGUAUCCGAGUCCGAAUGUUCAACAUCCGAUACCAUAUCCGUAUCCGAGUACUUAAAUCGUAUAUUUAUGAUGUCGACAUCCAAUCGUAUCUUAUCCGACAUAGUUGAUAUUAUUCGUAUUCGAAUCUGAAUUCGACCAAAAAUACGAAAACAAAUAUGAUAUCGAUGAUAUCCGAUCCGUUUUCAUCUCUAGCCAUGGCCAUGGGCUCUGCUGUCCUCGCCGUGGGCCCUAAACGCCUACCUGCGGACUAGCGCCGCUGCGCCGUCGCUGGCCAGCUCCCAGCGCCCCUCUGCCCAUGUCAUGAAUAAAUCUAGCGUUCCAAAGUGGGGCCUGCUAAGGUCCGGGCGGACGGACGUAAUCCGUGCGCCGAUGGCGCAACAAUUUUUCCCGCCCACGUUUUUCCCACCCAUGUUUCACUCCCGUCGCGCGCGCAUGCAGGAAUUCUUGUAGUGGACAGCACGCGCCAACAAUUCCCAGCAGAGGCAUGAAAGAAAGCCAAAAUAGCUGACAUAAGCAAAUAUCUCAUGUUUCGUCAAGUAGAAAAAAUUAUAGUGGCUAAACCAGGUAUUCUAAUUAAAAUCCGAUUACACCAUCGUAUUCCUUGCAAUAAACUAUUCAAACAAGACCCACAUGAAUAUAUUUUAAUAUUUUUUGACAAAUAUUUUAUUUCACAAAAAUAAAAUAUUUUUUGUUAACUAUAACAAUGUUCUACGUAUAUAAAAUGUUCCAUCUUCAUAAAACAAAUGUUUCGUCUUCAUAAAACAAAUAUUAUAAACCAAAGAAAAUAAUUUUAAAAUUUUAAGAUAAAAAUCUAGAUUCAUAUGAAUGACAUUAUAAUAUUUAUGAAAAAUAAAGAGAACAAUGAUUUAUAAAAUCUAUAAAAUAUAUAGAAAUAGAUAAAUAUAAAAAAUAGAAAAAAUAAGACAUAGAAGAAACACAAAAAUAAUAGAAAUAAAAUAUCCGGAAAAUAAAGAGAACAUCAUGUCAAUGUUACUUGAACAUUAUAAAAUAUAUCAUAAAACAUCUCAAGGAUAUUUAUGAGUAUUUAAAGAUAAUCAUCAAAUAUAAUAUUGAUACUAUUUGAACAUCUCAAAAUACAAUAGAGAACAUCAUAUAUAGACUCCCAGCACAUCACAUACAUAAUCAAGAACACAAGGACCAAGAAAGCAAAAACAUAAAACUAAAAGAAAAUGAAUUAUAGUAAACUAAAGAAGGAAACAAAUGAAUAAAUUAAAUAUAUUGUGUAUACUACAUUAACAUCUAAAACAAUGGAAAACAUCACAUGUAUAAUACAUGAACAUCACUAAAUAUGUUAUAGAACAUCGUAUGUAUACUACGUGAACACCACGUAGAUAUUGCAUGAACGUCACAAAAAUGUAUCACGGAACAUCACAUGUGUACCACAUGACAUAAAAAACAUAGAACAUCAUAUGUAUACUAAGUGAACAUUACAUGUAUACUGUACAAACAUCACAAAAUACAUCAUAGAACGUCACAUGUAUACCACGUGAACAUCACAAAAACAUCACAGAACAUCACAUGUAUACUACGUGAACAUCACAAAAAAUAGAACAUCAUGUGUAUAUUACAUGAACAUCACAAAAAAUAUUAUAGAACAUGACAUUAUAUACCACGUGAACAUCAAAAAUAUAUCAUAGAACAUUACAUUUAUACUAUAUAAAGAUAGCAUCACAUAAAAUAUAGAAAAUAAAGAAAUAAACAUGAAAAAUCAUUAACUAAGCUAAAAUGGAAAAAUAAAAAAAUCUACAGAAAAUAUAAAGACCAAAAAAACCAAAAAGAAUUAACACAAAAAAUUGAAAUAAAAUAAUUAACAUAAGAUAAAGAAAAUUGAAGCAUGAAAAUAAAAAGAAUAAGAAAAAAUAAAGAAAAGCAAAGAAAAUAAAAAGAAAAAAAUAAACAUGAAUCAAAGAAAAUUAAAAAAGAGACAAGAAAUAAACAAUAAAAAAAUAGAGAGAAAAACCACUUGUAAAAAUGAAAAAUGAGAAAAUAAAAAAACGAAAACAAAAAAGAAAAAGAAAAAGAAAAAAAUAUAACAAGAAAGGACGAAAAAACACGUAAAUAGUUACCUACUGCCGUCCGCACGUGGAUGUUUCAUCCGACCUGCGCGCUCUGUCGAGCUAGUAGCUUCGUGGGCCGUUCCAUCUUUAGCCCGUUUAGAACAGACACGGAACCAGCAGUAAAUUAGCGCGGGAAAUUAUCACACGGGAACUAUCGGCACGCUGCUUCUGUCCGAACGUUCGGAGCGGAAGCUUUCCCUUCCAAAGUUCGCCAUAGCUUUAUCAAUGAAAGCCGAAAACGGAUCUUUUAAAAAAAACACACAAAAUUUACCAUAGGUCAUUUUCUAUGCCACUACUUGCGGUUAGCAUAGUACGAAAACAGGAUACAACAUAGGGACGGGCGAACACGUACCAUGAUGAAUGGCAGAACAGCCGAUGGUCAGAUGCGCCCGGCAGCAAAUGGCGAGCAAGAGCUUACAGAGAAGGAAACUUGCCCCCAACACCUAUUAGUAGGCAUGAAAACGGUACGGAUAUUUUCUGACCGUAUUUGGGACCGAAUUCGUUUAGAGAGGUUCAGAUCUAUCCGUAUCCGAGUCCGAAUAUUCAACAUCUGAUACCGUAUCCGUAUCCGAAUACUUAAAUCGUAUAUUUAUGAUGUUGAUAUCCAAUCGUGUGUUAUCCAACAUGAUUGACAUUAUCCGUAUUCGAAUCCGAAUCGCACCAGAAAUAUAAAAACAAAUACGAUAUCAGUGAUAUCCGUCCGUAUCCGAUCCGUUUUCAUCCCUACCUAUUAGCCAAUAGCCACCACAUAACACUCGUGGCACUAUGGUAAAAUUGGUUUUUAUUUGAGGGGAUAACAUCAAUAUCAUAUACCUGGAGCUGUAGAAUACCAAAUCAAGGUCGCGUGGUAUGGGUUGGCUUGUGCUCACCAAGUAUUGAGACAAAAAAGUUAUACAAUUAAUGUCAUGUUUCUAUUUUUUUCCUUGCAUAUAUAGAAGCAAUAAUCUGAAUUCAGUUCCAGUAGGCUUCUUCAUGCUCAUAAGAACGCCAGAUCUUGGAUAAGUGUCUCAUUCUCUAUGACAGAAUAUUUCUGUUAACGAAGCAUUCAUUGGAUCAUGACGAUUCUUUGAUUUUAUCUUCACUCUGAGAUUGCAAUAAUUCAUCCUUGGGUUUUUCUUCAUUGUUGGGCACCUAUUUUUUUCUCUUUCCCCAGAGGAAAAGGUAGAGCCGGGCGAGAAUCAUUAACAUGCCAAGAAUACUACACAUGUAUGAAAUCAAAUUUGCAUUAGGUGUAUAGAUCAUAACAGCAAUCGUCCUCUUUAUUUUUUCAGAUCCCAAAUUUAAAAAGCAUUAUUGUUUUCCGUUCUCAAAGCCACUGUAAUCAAGAUGUACUUGCAUUAGUUUUUCAUAUUUCUCGUAUGCUUUUCAUGAUCAUGUUUGAUAAAAAGAAGAAACAUUAACUUCUUACCCAGAGUUUGAUAAUUAUAUUACUUUUUGACUUAUGCUUGUAAAUUUUAAGAAUUACUCCCCCCAUCGCUUAAAAGAGCCGCUAUAGGAUUGGUGUUUUUUUUGUUGUUAAGUUUAACUAGGUUUGCAACAAAUAUUAGAAUAUUGAUGUCUUCAUUCAAAUUUUAUUAAAAAAUACACUCAAUGGUAUAUCUAAUGAUAUUAAUCAUAAAUAUUAAUAUUUUCUUAUAUAUAUUUGGUCGAAGUCAAAAGUGUUUUAGUUCUGAGGAAAUAAGAACGAUACUUUUAUGAGACCAAUGGAGUAGGAAAAAAGUUAUAGUGAUACCUUCCAACAGACAAAUCGUGGCCCAGAAGCACUGAGUCAAGUACAGUGGUGAACAAGACGGAUACUGCACAAAACAUCGAUGGGUAGGUUGGGCCUCGUUGCGUGACGACCCACGAAAUCAUCACAAAUUUGGCAGCAGUGUUGAGUAUUGCCAGUACAAAAGAACAAGAGUAGAUGUAAGCACUAGCAAUGAAGCACUUGGCUAAAUACUUCUUUAUCCUCAAAUAUAAGUUGUAUAAAAGAUUAAUAAUAGUUAUGACAUUAAGUUAGUAUCGAUCAGUAAAUACAUUAUUAUGAAAUAAAUUUUUGUAGUUUAUGUAUUUGAUAUAUGAUAGAUGUUAAAUAUUUCUCUAUAAUUUUGUGUGAAACCUGUGAUAUUUACAUAAAUAUUUUUUUAAGCUUUGGUCAAUUCAUUACUCAUCAGAUGACAAAUCGUAAGAAACAAUUACAGAUACAUCAUCAAGGAUGGAACUAGUAAUUAGUGCAGGCACAACCUAAACACAACAAAACAUGAACAGCCCUAUUGCCAACUCUACCCAAAAAUUUACAAGUAAAAUUACUAAAAUUCGACGUAGACAAAGACUUAAGCUUGUGGAUCAAACCCCCUUCCGGUUGCACAUCAAAGAACCGGGACUGCAGAGCUUGCUGAACAUUUGAGCGCAUCCGUUUCAAGAAUGAGGUGACCGAUUCCCAAAUUGCUCGCUAUCACCUUGCAGGCAGGCAAUUAAUUCCGCAUGGAAAGCACUUAGCACACUGUUAACUCUCCCUCGGCCCGUCAUCACUACCUCACCAACAUGAUCACGGAUCAGAAAUCCCCAACUACCAGUCAUAGUCUCCUGAGUGAAAGAAGCAUCAUCUCACUCUUGGCCCUGAUCUCAGUAGCCUAGGUGCUGCUCUUGGCCCUUCCUCUCCUUCUCUCUGGUAAACGGGCCUCGCGUGUGGAGUCGCUGACGGGUGGGACCCACUAGUCAGCGACACCACCUCCUUUCCCUUUUCUUCUUCCGUGAACCGUGGCCGAUUGGGACUCCAUCUGGGAUGGAGAUCCUCUUCCCCCUCUGUUUUUCUCGGGAUAUGCUGGUUGAGAGGUGCCCAUAAGAACCCCUGGCACCCCUCGGUGCUUUCUCCUUUCUUCUUGAUCUCCGUGAGAAGCCCUAGCCACAGCUAGGGAUGAAAACGGAUCGGAUACGGACGGAUAUCACCAAUAUCAUAUUUGUUUUCAUAUUUGUGGUCGGAUUGAGAUUUGAAUAUGGAUAAUAUGAAUCAUGUCGCAUAAGAUAUGAUUGGAUGUCGACAUCAUAAAUAUACGAUUUAAAUAUUCGGAUACCGAUACGGUAUCGGAUGUUGAAUAUUCGAACUCAGAUACAGACAGAUCUAAACCUCUCUAAACGAAUUCGGUCUUGAAUAUGGUCGGAAAAUAUCUCUAGCGUUUUCAUCCCUAGCCACAGCGCCACCAGGUUCAAUCUCGCCAAGCCGCCCGCCAUCGUUGCCCUUGCCCCUGGUGCUCGAAGACCCUCCGCAAACUACUCACCGAGCUUCAGGUUGAGGUUUCGAACCUCCCUGUGCUUUCCUUCAUUUGUUUUUCUCUCUAUGUGAUGCUUAAUUGCUCGUCGAAUCUUGUAGGAGCGCCUUCGUCCGCCAUCUCUCGUCGCCGGUCCUCUCCAAGCUCUCUUCGCUUUCGUUUUUGCCCUAGGUGAGAUUCCCUUGAGCUCCUCUUGCUCCCCAUACUCUCGGUUUUGUGUUUGGUGCACCAUAGUGCUCAAUCCAUGAACUCCGGCGAGGUUCCGGCCUAUUCCGGCCAUGGCGCCACCGUCAGGCUCCUGUGCAUCGCCGGCCCUCCUCUCCCAUCUCUUCUAUUUAAUCCGCGCCACUCAACUCUAAUCCAACGGUUGUAGUUGAAUCAUACCCCUUCGAUUGAAUUUUGCUAAAGAGCUCCUCGAAGAUCCAAAGCUCAACCUGCGGUCCAAAGCGCCCCUGUUGAAUACGCCAACCACAUUUGGAAAAUAUGAUUUCAAAAUACGUUUUCAUAAUUUACAGUUUUGCCACUGAGAUGGUUUUGGCCAUAAAAUAUUCAUUUUAACUCCGAUUUGAUCCAUUCAAAUUGCGUUAGAUUCGUAAUCAUGAGCUCUACAUGUUAGUUGUAUUGUUUUGCCAGUUUGAAACUUUUUAAUUUUGUGACCUUAUUUAAUUAAUUACUUUUCUAUAGGAAAUAUUAGAAAAUUGAUAACUUCUUCGUUUUAGCUCCGAUUUUCAUGAUCUUUACGUCCGUGUGAUCGUAGCGCUGCGUAGAAUCAUUUUAUAAACUUUUCUUACUGUUUUUAUACUGUUGGUGUACUGUUCUAAUUAUAGCCUUGUUUGCUUCGUGUAUGUUUGGUUCUGAUUGUUUGUGUGUUGAUGAUUGGUGAUCGAAUAGAUAGUGAACAGUACUUCGGUGAUCAAGAUAAAAAUAUUUAAGCAACAAAUAAUAAAAAUGACAUUUUAGCCACUUGAUUUAUCUGUAAGUGAUAACCGGGAUAAUAGUGCAACCAUGAGGGCUAUAAUGGCUCUGGCUUUAGUCAAGUAUGAGUAACUUUUCUAGCUCGUUAGCGGUUACCCGUGUCGCGCAAUUGGGGGAUAGCAGACUGUGGAUCCCUAUGUGGUAGAUCACACGGACUGACUAAUGAAACCAAGCGGCCCUAACUUGUUAGACGAACCUUUGAAAGACAUCAUAGUGAUCCCUGUCGACCUCCCUAGGAAGGGGGUUAAGAGACUAGCUACCUUGGGUGAUAGGGUAAAUCAUGACUCAUGGGUAAAAAUGUGCGACCUCUGCAGAGUGUUUAAAACUAGUAUACUAGCCGUGUUCACGGUCACGAGCAGCUUUGGGGAUUCGUGCAUUAAGGGUGUGAUGAUUCUAGUUGUGUUAAAAUUUCUAUUAAUUAUUUAUUGUUCCAUGCUCUACAUUAUUUAUGUCAUAUUGAUCAUGAGAUAUGGGAUCUAUACAAUCUAGUUGCUAUACUUGUGGAGUUCGACAUGAACUCACUCUUGCUAUUUCUCCCAUACUUCAGGAGGAGUGUUAGGCUUGUGAUCAACCGGUCAGUUGGAUCCUGUAGAGCAAAGUUAAUAUCCAAAGUUUAGAGUUGUCUAUCCGUUGUUUGCUAUCAAAGGUUAUCUCUUUUAUACUAAGCACAUUAUAUAUUUAUACAUUGUCUUUUGAUAUUACCCCUUAUUUGUAGCUAUACGUGGGAUUUGACUUCUAAAACUCACAUAUAGUGCAUAUCUGAUUUUAUCCUUAAAAUCGGAUAUUACAAAGUGGUAUCAGAGCAAUACUGACUGUAGGACGCAAGCCCAGUUAAAACCGGACGUUUUAGCAUGCUUCUAUCUCUGCUUACUUCUUGCACACCUCUAUGGCACAUCUACAAACUUGGGUAUAUCUCUAGGUGGACUAUUAAUGGUAUUUUUUCUAUAGCUACCAUUUAUGAUUUGAUUUGUUUGGUUUGGCAUGUUGAAUGGCCGGCUAAUGUUCAAAUAGGAUUACUUGUGCAACAAACUCAUAAACACAACAACAACUUGUUAUAUAUUUUGCAAAGAGAUGUAGUGGAAUACAUCUCUUAAGUUAAGGUUAUGAGCCGUAUCUUUCUGUUAUACAUGUGUUGCAAUCUUGCUUUUAUAUUUCCUCUUCUGUUUUCAUCUUUCUCCAUUUACCUCUUUUCCAUGGAAAAAUCAGUUGCUUUCUAUUUUUCAAUCAACUACCUCUUUUCUAUGGAAAAAUUAACACCAAUUGCAAAACCAGACUUAAGCUGUCCAUGUCAUGAAUAGGACAGAACAAAAAUAAAAAAAACAAGAGGUACUGCACAGGGAAGUGUGGACAGGUGGAGGUAAAGAACUGAAGACCCAUUUUGCAUAGGGGCAAAUGAGAAAAAAAAGGAAAAAUAAACAACGGAUGGAAAAAGUCUUAAUUAAUGACUUGUAAUGUUGAGGAUUGCUAGAUUUACCGAGUAAACGAUUGUAAGCAAGCUCAUGUUCCAUUUCAGCUGCCAAGUCGCCUUUUCUCUGUUCAUUGCGACCCCCACAACAGCCAUUUGGAUGCAACCCACGAAGCAUGUGGCAACCGUGGACCAGUACUUGUACGGGAACACUUUCAGCAUCUGGGCCUGCAGCAAUUACAGGACUACAUGACGUAAGUUUUCCUAAGGCCUUGUUUAGUUCCGAAAACUGAAAAGUUUUCGGAACUGUAGCACUUUCGUUUGUUUGUGCUAAAUAUUAUCCAAUUAUAGACUAACUAGGCCUAAAAGAUUUGUCUCGUGAUUUACAGUCAAACUGUGUGAUUAGUUUUUAUUUUCGUCUAUAUUUAAUGCUUCAUGCAUGAGCCGCAAGAUUCGAUGUGAUAGGGAAUCUUGAAAACUUUUUGGAUUUCGGGGUGAACUAAAUAAGACCUAAAAUGUUUCUCCUGUUCAAUAAAUGAUGAUCAGCGGAGAGUUCACAUCAAAGCAUCGCUUUAAUUCUUCACAAUUUAAUAUCCAUGUACCAUUCUGUCUGACAGCAGGAACAUGAAAAGAGCAGACAGAAAGAGACCGCAUGCGUGGGCUACACACACCCCUAUGGAUUUCUGCGCAAUAAAUCUAUGGGUGUUUGCAUUAUAUACAUGGUACCUGCACUGUGUACCAGACGGCCAGGCUCAAGCAGCUGACGAUGAGCAAGACGGUUCCACGCAUAUGGUGUUGCCCAAACGCUGAUCCAGAUUGCUUGGGAUGGUAGCUAUAACAUCCCGAAAUUUCUAUUUCGGGUUGUUAUUAGAAAAUACUAAAUAAAAUGAAUGGUUUCAAUAUAUGGAUAAAAUUUGUCAACAAUAGUAUAGAUUUCUAUAUAUUUUUAUCAAAGAAAAAUGGUGUUUUUCAAAUGCUUUGGAAUUAAUUAGACGAGCUUUAGUUGAUGUGAUGCUUGUUUGUUACUUGAGUUAUGUGUUUUUGAGUGUGCUAGAUUUUAAAAACACGUCUAGACACCAUCUGUUCCUUUGCGAGAAUUUUUCAGACUUUUCCGGAUCUUUUUCUUAUUUUUCCUUGAGCAAAAAUCUAAUUAUCGGACGCUCUAAAAUAUUUUUUUAUGAACUCGAAAAACUAUCUCCGUUCAUAAUCUCCUAAUCUAUCUCUACUAGAUUUUAUUGAAUUUUCGGAAUUUUGAAAAUAUUUUUUUUACAGAUUCAAAAUGAUUUCAGCUUUUUCUAGAAUUAUUUUGGAACUAAAAAUAAUUUAUUUAAAAUCCCGAAAUUAAUAAUUUUCGAAGCUUCUCCAAACCCUAGACCUAUAUAUAUGCCGGCGUAGCCCUCGACGCGCUGAUUCCAGAAGUACGAUCGCUUUUUCGAGCCGCCUCUCGUAGCCCCGCAGAUCGGACGCUGAAGUUUCGGAUCUCACUUCCGGCGAACUUCUCCGAUGAAAGUUCGGCGAGCUUUUCCGGCCGUCUCAGUCGUCCCCUGCGAAAACCGUCACCAUACCGAGGUUCGUAUCGAUCUCCUCUACACCGGCACGCUAUUUGUUUGACUAAUCCAUUCUCGUUCAUCGUAUCCUAAUAUUUGUUUGUCUAACUCCGGCGAACCUCCAUGGACGUCAUCUUAUCCUUCGUUCCAGCCACUGCGAUCAUGUACGACGACAUCGCCGACCCUGCGCCCCACGCCACAGCCCCGCAGCACCCCGGCUCGCGCCCUUUGGCAUGCCGCUGCGAGCAGGCAGCAGUAGCCGCCUCCCUGCUCCGUGCAGUGCGUGCGGGCAGGCCACCCUGCACGGCCCGAGCAGGCUGGCCUAGCACCGCCGUAGCCGGGAGCCGCCGUGCUGGCCGGCUGGCCCCACGGCUGAGGCUGAGCCCCUCCCUCCCCUCGCUCGAGCUUGAGCAGCAGGAAGCCCCAACCAUGGUUGCGUACGUGAGGAUGGUGGAUAGAGGUUGAAGACAAAGUAAUUACAGAAUCGCCAUUCAUUCUUUUAAUCUGCACUGAUUAAUCGUUUUAGCUCCGUUUCAAGUCAUUUAAGUUGCGUUAGAUUUAUAUCAUCGUGUUCUAUGCAGUAGCGCAAACAAUUAUUAUGUGACUCGUCUAUGAAUUCAUAAAUUUAAAUAUAUUUUUGUUUAAUAUUUAUUUAAGAACUUUCUAAUUAAAAGCCACUUAGGGUUGUAAUUCGGUUCUCGUUGCAUAGCGACCGUGUCUGCGCGAACUAUGUGUUUCCAACAAUGUUUACCAUGCCACAUGUUUAUCAAAUUAAUCUUAUUAAUUUGAUUAAUAAUUACACAAAUUUUUUUCUAAAUAAAAAUAAUAUAGGACAAUAUCAAUUUUCUUUUAAUAAUUGCUUGUCAACAUAAAUAUGUAUUAUUAAUUAUAAUUUGCUAGUUUAAGCAUGAUUUAUAUGAAGUCGGUCUAGAUGCAAUUUAAUUAAUACUUAUGCAAUGUCUUUCUUUUUCAUUAAAAAGCAACUUAGGUCUAUAAUCUUGGCCAUUUGUAAAUAAUUGUUAGCUUGAUUAAUAUUAACUUAAAUAUUUCUUAAUUAUAAUUGGUUUAGUUAAAUAUGAAGCAUGUGAUUAAUUUAUUUAAUAUCUAUCUAAUGGCUUUUGGAUUAAAAGCGAGUUAGUUAUAUAGUUUAGUCUUUAAAUAAAGAAUGUUAAUAUAAUUAAUAUCAACCUAAAUGAAUUUUCAAUUAUGACUUGCUCAGAUUAACUUUAAAAAUAAAUAGUGAUUCUAAUUAAGUUGCUCUCACUCGUUUUAUAUUCUCUAAGAUAUAAAUGCUAAAAUAGUUUAAAUAAUUUCUAUAAUUAUUUAUAAAUAGAGUAUUACUAGAACUAUACUUCGUCUUUUAUAAUUAUAAUUUGUUUAAUUCCACUUUUUGAGUUAUUUCUCUAAAAAGUCUAUCACCUCUUUUCAUCAAAUAAAAUAGAUCAAGCGGAUAGUUGAUCUUCUUCGUUGCACUUCGAACCUCGAAAGUCGUGUCCAUUUAACUAUAGCUCCGUUCUCAAUCGUUCUGAGCAGAUAUACACUGGGAAUCAAGGCAAGUGCAGACACCCUUUGAUCAUAUUGUACCUAUGAACUUUAAAUACAUUUACUUUCCACUGCAUGUGUCUUAAUACUGCAAACCCUAAGGACAUGACUAGCCCUCUACUAUAUUCCUUAUACUCCUAGGUUUAUACAUGGAUAGAAUAGUGAACAGUAGUUAUGCUUAGCUGCUCCACUCAUCUAAUCUAUAUAAUAAUAAAAGUAAUAAUCUUGAUCAAUGAAUUCUUCAAUGAUGAAUAAUGUUUAAAUGAUGAACAAUGGUUACUUCGGUGAUGGAGAUGUUGCGGUGCUUGCGAGCAUCGUGGUUUGGUUGAGAAAAGGGGGAGCGGGUACUGUUGGUGGUCCGGUUUGGCGGGCGUAUCCGCCUCUGCUCUCCGUAAGGACUUAGUCAGGGAGCGGCCCCCUGGGACUUACAGUGCAGCUCCAAGCUAUGUGGCUCUGGCUUGACUAAUUAGCAGGACCUCCGCUGGUAGGGUGUUACUUUCCGGGUAGGCGUGAGGAAGUAGCUUGGGUAAUGAAUAUUAAGUUAGCGGCUGCUCGGUACGCCAUGGCUAUGGGUAUCGACUGUCGAGCGCCCCGGCGAAAACUUGCGAGUGGCAUCCUAUUAGUUGGACCCUGUGAAAGGUCUCGUAGUGAAACCCUACAUGCUCACCUCGGUAGUGUUUUGGGGAGUCGCGACCCCGGGCGAAUGGGAAUUACGACUUGGAGUGAAAGUGCACACCUCUGCAGAGUGUAAAACUGAUAUAUCAGCCGUGCUCACGGUCACGAGCGGCCCAGACCCUCACUUGAUGAGCAAAUUGGAUUCACUGGUUACUUGGAGAUGGAACUUGGCGAGGUUGCUACCUCGUGUUUUGGCGGAAUGGCUAUUCCGUGUUGGCAGGAUUGCUAUCCUGUGUUAAUAAUUGGGGUUAAUCCCUGGACUACUAUAAUUAUUAGGAUAGUUAUUUAAAAGAUGCUAAUUACUACUUACACUAAUUAAGGGUUGGGUUUAUGCUACUCAUAAUUAGUAGUAGGUUGUUCUAAUAAUAUUCAUAAUUAAAAAUGAUCAACUAAAAUGCUACCGCAGUCAAACCAAGUCAGCUUUACCUUGUUUUAAGCCUUGCAUGUCACUACUUUCCGUCUGUGCUUGCUGAGUUCGACAUGAACUCACCCUUGUUAUUUCCCCCACACCCCCAGUGUGUAGUAAAGUGCUGCUCAGAAGAAGGAUUAAGAUAUCGUGAAGUUUUCUCGAGGCUUAUCAGAAGUGCUUGGCGUACGAAGCCCCCAGUCAACCGUCCCUGAGAAGAAUGGAGCCUAAGAAGUUUAGCUACUCUUUCCGCGUACUCUGAUGUUUGUAAGUGCUAAUAUAAAUAUGAUUUCCGCUAUAUAUAACAUUGUUUUCUGAUAUUUCUAUUCUUUGUUGUAUGUGUGGACUUCCUGGGCACACUGUUGAUGCAAAACUAAUCUGCAAACACAAAGGGCUAAUACCCGAUCCAAACGUUAAGGCGUGCCAGCCGAUUUGACCUUACUAUCGGCAAAGGUGAUAACUCGAAUACUUUAGUCCUGACAACAGCGAUGCGCCCGGAUGUCACGGCUAAGAGGUACUCACGCGGAACUUGAGGAUACGCCGAGCUUGAGUCGACGAAUUCCUAAGAACUCGUAACAAAAAGAAAACGUAUGACGAAGUCGUCGAAAAGUAAAUGCUGGAAUAUGAGUAAAAACGUGUGUUUGAUUGAUUGAUUGAUUAUUACAAGGUCCUAGGGCUUAUAUUUAUACCCUGCUCAAAGAGCUAAGACCAGACACGAUUAGAAUUCGAAUUCCAAUUUACACGGAACCCGUAUACAAAACGAUGCGAAUAACUAAGAAAAUAAUAAAACCACCCUUCGUAACAAACCAAAACUCCUCCACAUGACAACUAGCAGCUUCCGGACUCCUCCUUCGCGUCAUCGGCAAUCCCCUUGCCACAGUCAUCGGCAGACCUUCUUACUUGGUCAUCGGCACCGUAUUACUGCUUGAGGACUUAGUCACAUUCAACCUUUCCCUCAUCGGCAACCAUCCUUAUCAGCAACCCGCAUCGUACUGCCACCUUAUCCUGCUAUCCUGGACACGUGUCCAAAAAUGGUGUCAACACAUGCCCCCCAGUUUCGGAGUAUAAAACUAUUAAUGCUCCGAAAUUCUCUGCAGUAAUGAUGUCUUCUCCGCAAUUAAUGCUCCUAAUCUGGUAACCGACAACCUCAAUCUGGACAACUCUGAUCCUAAUCCUCCGCAGAUCCCUCGAAAUCCCCAACUUCCUAAACGGGCAUCUCUCUUAGUCGUACAUCGGCAACAAUACCGUUACAAAGUUCUGCCGAUGCUCUGCCCAGAAGAUUCGCAAAAACGGUUACCUCCCCUCUAUCCGCCCAUCGGCAGGAUGACCGUUAUAGAAUAUCACCGAUGGACCGACCAGGAGAUCGCGCACAGCAGAAUAUCUUUAGAUAAUGACCGCUUCCUGUCAAAUCACCUGCACAAUCCCUGGAUUAUCGUGCGAACAGUUACCAUAUCCACUUGAGUACCCUCGGGCUUCUCGGAUGCGGCAAAGAAAUAAGUCAGAUUUGCCCUUGUCCAUCUUGUCCUAUAAAUAGUUCCUUCUUGGGUACUCCUCCCCCAUUGCAUCAUUCUGCCAUCCAACUUCACUUUUCCAGCGGCGGCGCCAUUCUCAAUCCCCAAGAUCUCCGACAAGCAUUCUUCUUCAUCAACUCCGCGCCCUCUAGCGUCCUCUUCACGACAAGAUGGCCGUUGGCUUCGUCGUCCCUGAGGUCAGACUUCCAUCCCAUCUGCUGUACUUUUUCCUUGCAUUCCCGUUCAUCUGCGAUUCAUUCUUACCGAAUAUUUUCCUUUUCCCUUUUCUUUGUAUUUUUAUUCCUCAAAACACUAGGAGUUAUCCAACAAAAUUGUCAUCCCUACCGAUCAACCACAUCUUCAAUGCCUCGGCCCUCUAGGGGAUCCAGAUCCAACCGACCUUAUCAAUGCAGAAACCAACAGGAUUCCCUUUAGAGUUGAAAACUUUGCUUUAGAUCUAUGGAAAGACACCUUUCGCUCUUGGCCCAGCCCUACCGUAGGGUGGAAAGACUGGUUCUUGAGGGUCAGCAACUCUUAUGAAGUUCAAUGGGGUGAGAGGAAAUUAGCUCAAUGCAUUAGGCUGUCCAUUGCCGAUAUGCACAGGAACGAGUCAUUGCUGAUAGCUGCAUCUUACUUUUGGUCAGACACUCUCAACGCUUUUGUUUUUGGCCAUGGCCCUGCUUCUCCUACCCUUGCCGAUGUAGCCAUGCUUACUGGGUUAGAUAUAUCUUCUGCCGAUAGCACCCAUUUUUUUGAUACCGCCCCCAGUGCUAAAGUGGAGACUCGCGCUAUCGGCGGUUGGUCAGGGUACAUCCAGAAGUACCGCGGGAGAGGGCCUGUCACCAUAAAGGAGCAAACCACCUUUCUGAACAUGUGGCUAGACAAGUUUGUAUUCUGUGGUCGAUCGGCAGGACCGACUUCUGUCUAUCUAUCGGCAGCAGAAAGACUGGCUAGCGGCGGCCAAUUUCCUCUCGGCCGUUAUUUGCUCGGUGCCGUUUAUCACCUUCUUCAUCAGGUAGUCCAGAAACUCCUGCUUGGCCAACCUAUCGGCAACUUGGGAGGUCCUUGGUGGUUUAUUAAUAUGUGGCUCAAUCUGCACCUGCACAAGCGCCUUGAUCUCAACUUGUUCUCACAGCACUUCCCAAGAGAUAUAGCCGAGAAUCAUGUGUUGGGUGAAGAGGAAUCGGCAACACGUGCCCCCCUGAACUUUGGCGAAGCUGUUAUAGUCUUACCCGAUUCAGGGAACACUCCGGAUCAGAUCGGCCGAUUCUUCGAGACGCUGUAUGAAGGUCUGGCCAGAGAUGAACGACCAUGGUUGGCUUAUGACGACCCAGACAGCAUGCUCCCUCUGACCUUCAAUCCAUUUGAUGAAGCUCUUGACAGGGACAAUGAGGUGAUGAUGGCAAUCGUGAGCCCCAGAGCCAUACCAGUGAAUUUCUUCGGCAGCACGAAAACCUCUCCCCAAACCUAUGAAUUUUAUAAUCCAUCGGCAUUAGCUCGCCAGCUAGCUUUCGGCCAAUUGCCGAUUGCACUUCCUUAUGCCGAUGUAAUAAAGCCCAGAGAGCCCAUCGCCAACCUCCUCGAGUGGACUCGAGUAGCCCAGCUACCACCAAAUGCCGAUACGGAUGUAGAUCUGUCAGAAUGGGUUCCAGCCGCCUUCAUCACUCAGGCAUACAAGCUAUGGUGGGCAGAAUGGAAGGAGAAUCUGUUCUGCAGAUCAGCCCUCUCAUACCGCGGCAUGAUCGACCCCGAAUAUGAAGUCCCUGACGACACUGUAAGUAUUUUAAACCGAUGUCUCAUUUUCCAAUAUCACUCCCAUCGGUAACUUACCCCUGUAUUCCUUUUGCAGAUUGACAACACCCCCCCAUCAGUUAGUAGGAGUGGCAAGCCGAUCGACUUAUUCCCAUCAGGCCCUAUCUCCUCAAUCGGCCAUAAUGCUCCCACUCUGGCUUCCAUCGUGCACCGGGGUGCGCGCCUCAAGAAAGUUACCACCAGGAAAACUCAGACAUCACCACCGGUAACUGCUUCCACUCUGGCACAAGCUUUCAAGGCAAUCUGUUAAAACUCUUUUUUCAUUUACGCUGACUUAUCUUUGUAUCGGCUAUCUGUACUCAUAACCUCCUUUUUGUUGUUGCAGCAAACUGGUGCAUCGGCAAAAGUCAAACGCCAAGGCGCCGAUGCCCCCCAGUCUAGCCAGCCAAAGAGGAAGGGCAUCCACGGUGCUAAGGCUGGAACAAAGCGCCAGAAAGUGGCAACUCCUCCUCCUCCUCCGGUGUUUCCAAUCCCGGUGGAAUCUUCCCCUUCUUCCCCAGACGUCCAGGCACAGCAAGUACUAUCUUCACAACCAACACAGGAAGCACCACAGAUGGAAGAACCCCAGCAGGAAGAACCUCAAAUGGCAGGUAUAUCAGCUGAUGUAGGUGAACAAACAACUGGCCCGGCAGGUACAGUUACAUCAUCGGCGGUUUCCUCGAUUCAGGCAACUGUUGUUUCUCCUCCGGGUAACAGAUCUCAACAAUACUCCUACCGAUAAACUUAUCCUCAUUUAUUCUUAUAAUCUUUCCUGUCUUCUUUCAGGCGAUAUCGCUCUAUCGGCAACAUUUGCCGAUCAACCUGCAGCUCCAUCGGCCCCUCUGAGUCAAAGGCAAGAAAUCGCCUUGAAGCAAGUAAGUCAUCCACUUUUCCAUCAGUAUCGUCUGCCGAAGUUUUGACCAUAAAAUUGACCUACUUCAUUUUUAUUUUCAGGAACAAGAUUCUCCCAACAGCUUGUUCUCCUUUGCUGUUGAUAUCUUCGAAGAAGAAGGCGAGGAAGCAAGCUCCUCUCGGGCAGUUGGAAUUGUAUCGGCAAAAGCUAGAGCUAAGCUGGAGGAGCUAUCGGCCAUACUCCAUCAAGACACAACUCAACUGGUCAACGAUUCUGACCCAGCCAAGGCCCUGUUCAAGACCCUUAGAGGCCAAAUUCCUGCCGAUGCUGAAGAAACACUCUUCCAUGCUGCACAUCUAGAAAGCCGCCAGUUACAGUACCAGAGAGCUACUCGACGCCUUACCGAUAGAGCUGCUCAAAUCCAGCUUUCUGAGGAGAUGAUGAAAGAAAAACUCUUAGCCGAUGAGAAACAUAAGAACAUCGGCACCUUAAAGUCCUCAGGUGAUGCACUGAAGCAAAAAGUGUCUGAUCUAUCGGCGAAAAGAGAAGCUCUACUGGCUGAACUCAAGCAAGUAGAAGACGCUCUGUCCCAAGCCCAGCAAGAAGAGAGUCAACUGCCGGAGACCAUCAAGCAUCUUGAACAAGAACGAAACGUCCAUGGUCGCAAAGCGCUGCAACUGAAGAGGAAGCUGAAGCCGAUCGAAGGUUCUGCCGAUGAUGAUAUCAAAGAGAUAGAGACAGCCAACCAGAUUCGGCUGCGCGCCAUAUCAGCAAUCCAAGCACUGUUGAGCAUCUGAAGCUUUCAUCGGCGACACACCUUUGUUUUUCUGCCUUCAGCUUUUAGUCUAGCCGAUAAGACUGUUAUCGGCAUCUUUUGAAACAUUAAGUCUGCCCUCGAACAUUUAAAUCCAGCCGAUAGGAGUGUUAUCGGCACUUAAACUUUUAUGCGUCGAUCCAUAUGCUGGGGUAGUACUUCUUCAAAUAUUUGCCAUUUAAUGCUCUGGGAAAUUCAACUCCUUCGAGAGUUUCUAGAAUAUAGGCAUUACCAGGAGCUGAGUGUCUUAUCCGAUAAGGACCUUCCCAAUUAGGAGACCACUUCCCAAACUUCGAACUUUUAGUCCCGACUGGCAAAAUCAACUUCCAUACCAAAUCCCCAUCGGCAAACUCCUUAGUCUUUACUUUUUUAUCAUACCAUCUAGCAACUCUCUUCUUAUUUUCUUCUAUACUCAUUAAGGCCUUUAACCGAUGUCCUGCUAAAUCAUCUAACUCAUCGGUCAUCAAAGUGGCAUAAUCAUCGGCAGUCAAUUGAUCUUGAAAAGAUAAUCGCCUAGAUCCAGCCUUAAUCUCCCAAGGCAAUACUGCAUCAUGUCCAUACACCAAUUGAUAAGGUGACACCUUGGUUGAUCCAUGGCAAGCCAUCCGAUAGGACCACAGUGCUUCAUUUAACACUGUAUGCCACCGCCUAGGGUUUUCUUCAAUCUUCCGUUUAAUAAGCUUGAUAAUUCCUUUGUUAGACGCUUCGGCCUGCCCGUUGGCUUGAGCAUAGUAAGGAGAGGAAUUCAACACUUUAAUUCCCAUACCGAUUGCGAAUUCAUCGAACUCCCCUGACGUGAACAUGGUGCCCUGAUCGGUAGUAAUCGUUUGGGGAAUCCCAAAUCGGUAAAUAAUAUGCUCCUUCACAAAAUCAAUCAUAUUGGCCGAUGUGACUUUCUUCAAGGGAAUAGCUUCGACCCACUUAGUGAAAUAGUCAGUGGCAACUAGAAUGAACUUAUGCCCUUUGCUAGAUGGUGGAUAAAUCUGGCCGAUCAGAUCGAUGGCCCACCCCCGGAACGGCCAAGGUUUUAUUAUAGGAUUCAUAGCCGAUGCGGGUGCUCUCUGGAUAUUACCGAACUUUUGACAACCUUGACAACCCUUGAAAUAUUUAAAACAAUCUUCAAGUAUGGUUGGCCAAAAAUAUCCAUUCCUUCGAAUCAUCCACUUCAUCUUGAAAGCUGACUGAUGCGCUCCACAUACUCCUUCAUGGAUUUCCCCCAUUAAACUUUUGGCUUCAUCAUCACCCAAGCAUCAGAGAAGAAUUCCGUCGAUAGUUCGAUAAUACAAUUCAUUUUCAAGAAGCACAUAUUUGGUCGCUUGAAAUCGAACCCGUCUUCCAACUUUCUUAGAUGGAUCUUCUAGAUAGUCGACAAUCUCUUUCCUCCAGUCACCGGCACUGACUGCCGAUGUUGCACUAAUCAUUGGCUGAUAUCCUGAGGCAUGCUGGGCUAACCGAUUAGCGUCCUCAUUAUGCAAUCGGGGAACAUGCUCCAAUCGGAAGUUUUUGAAUUCCUUUAACAGUUGCAUACUUUUCUCGAAAUAGGUUAUGAGAACUUUACUUCGGCAUUCAUAGCUUCCGGCUAAUUGAUUUAUAACCAACAUGGAAUCCCUGAAUACUUCAACAGCAUCAGCACGAACUUUUCUUAACAACUCCAAUCCCUUGAUCAGAGCUUGAUACUCAGCCUGAUUAUUUGUUGAUGUAGCAACAAUCGGUAAGGAAAAUUCAUACUUCCUCCCCUUAGGAGAAACUAACACAAUACCGAUUCCUGCUCCCCGAUCACAGGUAGAUCCAUCAAAGAAGAGCGUCCAGGGUGCAAUUUCCAAGGUUUCCACUAGGCCGCAAUGUUGAGUCACAAAAUCGGCCAUAACCUGCCCUUUGACCGCCUUAGCCGAUUCGUAACGCAAAUCGAAUUCCGACAGCGCUAAAAUCCAUUUACCGAUCCUUCCACUCAUAAUUGGCAUAGAUAGCAUGUAUCGGACUACGUCAUCUUUGCAAAUAACAGCACAUUCGGCCGACAAUAGGUAAUGUCUUAGCUUGAUACAUGAAAAAUAUAAGCAUAAGCACAGCUUCUCGAUGGCCGAAUACCUGGUUUCAGCAUCAAUCAACCUCCUACUCAAAUAAUAAAUUACUCUCUCUUUCCCUUCAAACUCCUGAACCAAAGCUGAGCCGAUAACCGAUCCAUCGGUAGAUAAGUAUAAUUUGAAGGGUUUCCCUUGUUGAGGUGGAACUAAAACUGGAGGGUUUACUAGAUACUUUUUGAUUUCAUCUAGAGCCAACUGCUGUUCUUCUCCCCAAACAAACUCCUGAUCGGCUCUCAAUUUUAGAAGAGGACUGAAAGCACGAAUUCUCCCAGAUAAAUUCGAUAUAAAUCUUCUGAUAAAAUUCACUUUGCCGAUCAAAGAUUGGAGCUCGGUUUUAUUGGUAGGGGCCACUAUUUUAUUGAUGGCAUCAAUAGAUCUCCGACUAAUUUCAAUACCCCUCUGAUGUACCAUGAAACCAAGAAACUGCCCUGCCGAUACACCAAAUGCACACUUGUUGGGAUUCAUCUUCAAUCCAUGCUUCCUUGUGCACUCCAACACUCUUCGUAAAUCGGCAAGAUGCUUUGAGAAAUCUCCAGACUUGACCACCACAUCAUCAAUAUAAAUUUCUACGAUCUUGCCGAUGAACUCAUGAAAUAUAAAAUUCAUAGCCCUUUGAUAAGUAGCACCGGCAUUCCUUAACCCAAAAGUCAUGACUAUCCAUUCAAAUAGUCCAACAUGACCAGGACACCUGAAUGCGGUUUUUGGAAUAUCCUCUUCCGCCAUGAAUAUUUGAUUGUAACCCGCAUUACCAUCCAUGAAGCUGAUGACCCGAUGGCCAGCCGCAGCAUCAACCAGUAGAUCGGCGACAGGCAUUGGGUAUCCAUCCAUCGGCGUAGCUUUAUUGAGAUUCCUGAAAUCAAUGCACACCCGAAGCUUCCCGUUCUUCUUGUAAACCGGGACGACAUUGGAAAUCCAUUCGGCAUACCGACACUGCCGAAUAAACUUAGCUUCAAUAAGUUUAGUGAUUUCGGCCUUAAUAUCAGGUAGAAUGUUAGGAUUACAUCGGCGGGCUGGUUGCUGAUGUGGCCGAAAUCCAGACUUAAUGGGUAACCGAUGUUCAACAAUUGAUCGGUCUAAACCAGGCAUCUCUGUAUAAUCCCAAGCAAAGCAAUCUUUAUAUUCCUUUAACAAACUAGUUAAUUGCUGUUUACACUCAGGAUCUAGUUUAGCACUAAUAAAAGUAGGCCUAGGCUUAUCACCACUACCUAUAUCUACUUCUACCAAAUCAUCGGCCGAUGUGAAUCCCUGGCCUAAUUUUCCAUCAUCGGCGAAUCUAUCCAUUAAAAACCGUCGUCAGAACCGACUGCUUGGAUCGGUGGAAUCUCAUAAUCGGCAACUUUGAGAAAAUCUUUCUCCCAAACUUCUCCUGAAAUGCACCUAGUCUUUUCAUAAGUAUCCGCUUCUGCCGACGCGAUAACAUAAGAAGAAUCCCCUGGGACGAUCUCAAUCUUGUCACCUACCCACUGAACCAAGCACUGAUGCAUUGUAGAUGGGACACAACAAUUGGCAUGAAUCCAAUCUCUCCCCAAUAAUAAAUUGUAGGCACCUUUUCCGCUGAUCACAAAAAAGGUUGUCGGCAAGGUUUUGCUGCCGAUGGUCAACUCCGCACAUAUUGCCCCCUUGACCGGAGACACGUUUCCCUCGAAGUCUUUGAGCAUCAUAUCGGUCUUGGUCAAAUCUUGAUCCCCUUUCCCAAGCUUCCGAUAUACUGCAUACGGCAUAAUAUUAAUAGCAGCUCCACCAUCAACUAGGAUCUUAGUCAUUGGCUGCCCAUCAACCCUUCCUUUGAGGAACAAAGCUUUAAGAUGCUGCCUCUCGUUAUCGGCAGGUUUCUCAAAGAUAGCCGUCAUCGGAUCCAGAGCCAACUGAGCUAUCUGAUCAGAAAGUCCCAACUCAUCGUCACUGGCUGGUGCAAGAAACUCCAUCGGCAACAUGAAUACCAUGUUGACGCCUGCCGAUGGACCUUCCUUCUUAGUGUCUGCCGACUGCCGACUUUCAGAACUCUCUCCUUUAUUUAACUCCUCUUGCCUUUCUCGUUGCAACCUCCUUUUCUGUGUCUUGGUUAAUCCUUGAGGGCACCAUGGAGGAAGUGGCCUUUGCCUUACUGCCGGGCGUCGGUUCUCCCUUGACUCCAUACGAUGUGUGUUAGCAUCUCUGCAAAAUAUGAACUCAUCGGGAACCCGUGCAUUAGCCAUUUCCUCAAGCUCUUCCUGGUUCCUGGGAAAAUACUGGACACGGUCACCGAGCCGAUCGCGAACACUAAGCCUGCCCCCCAGCCGAUCAUGAACUGACGCCCUUCCUCUGAUUGGCCCAUUAAAUCGCCGUUCAUCAUCAUGAUAACGCCGAUCGUUCCUAUCAUACCGAUCAUAACCGUUGCAUUCAGGGCAGUCUCUAACAGUAGGAAGCUUGAUAUUUUCCUCCCAACAAUGGAUGAAGAACGGGCAAUUCCAAUGAUCCCUGUGCCGAUUCCACUCCUGUCGGCGUCUUUCUUCUUCCCGUUGAUAAUCUUCCUGCUGGCGCCGAUAUCGAUCUUCCCGUUGUUGCCAUCUCUCUCGAGGCCUUCUAUGAGUUAUGACAAUACCAGACCGAGGAGGUCUUCCUGAGCUAGCUCCUUCCUGGACCAAGCCCUUACUUCUUGCAUCGGCGGUAGUAACUUGAUGCUGAGGAUCUACCGAUGCACUCUUCUCAGCUGUCUCCAACGUUAAGACCUUAGCCUUCCCCUUAGCGUCCAACAUGUUUGUCGGGAAAGGAUGUUGGUCUAUCUUCAUCGGCUUCUGGGCUUUAGAACUGUCAAACUUGAUUCUCCCCGACUCUAUAGCCGAUUGCAGCUGUUGUCUGAAUACUUUGCACUCGUUGGUGUCAUGUGAAGUUGCAUUAUGCCACUUGCAAUAUCUCAUCCUCUUCAACUCUUCUGCCGACGGGAUCACAUGGUUAGGUGACAGUUUGAUUUGACCUUCCUGAAGUAGAAAGUCAAAUAUCCUAUCGGCCUUGGCGGUGUCAAAGGCAAACUUCUCUGGUUCUUUCUGCCCAAAAGGACAGGACAUCGGCUUCUUGUUUUUUACCCACUCUGCCAAACCGAUUACUGGUUCCUCGUCGGAAUCUGAGCUUGUUGCUUCGUCAACAAAUGACACUUUCUUAUUCCAUGCCCUCUUAGGUUCGAAAGGCUUGAUGUCUUGAUCAGAUAUCCUCUGCACCAAAUGACUUAAACUCUCGAACUCUUGAGAUGCAUACUUAUCCCUGAUAUGUGGCAACAAACCCUGGAAAGCCAAAUCGGCUAGCUGCCGAUCAUCUAGAACCAGGCUAUAGCAUUUAUUCUUGACCUCUCGUAUCCUCUGCACAAAUCCCUCAACCGACUCGUCAUUACGUUGCCUCAACUUAACCAAGUCGGUGAUCUUCUUCUCAUGAACCCCCGAGAAGAAGUAUCUGUGGAAUUGCUUCUCUAGAUCGGCCCAAGUAAUUACUGAGUUGGGAGGUAACGAUAUGAACCAAGUAAAGGCCGAUCCAGACAGUGAUGACGAAAAUAGACGAACCCUUAAUUCGUCCCUGUUACCAGCCUCUCCACAUUGAAUAAUGAACCUGUUGACAUGCUCCAUGGUUGACGUGUCGUCUUGUCCGGAAAACUUUGUAAAAUCUGGUACCUUGUACCGAUGUGGAAGCGGGAUCAAAUCAUACGCUGGAGGAUACGGUGUCCGAUAAGAAUAAGUGUUGACUUUGGGUUUUAUCCCAAAUUGUUCCCUCAUUACUUCAGCAAUCUUAUCGGCCCAAUAAGCAUCGGCAUCUUGCCGAUGAGGCGGCUGCGGAUCCGGCACUUGGUGGCGAACCUCCACGUGUCUGUUUGGGACGUGACCUGUAUGGAACAUCGUAUUGGUCACCUGUCCUCCAAUCUGCGGACUACCAAACUGCUGUCCACCGACUGGCUGUCCUCCAAGUUGCUGUCCAAAAUUUAUUGGCUGGUUGGGAAUUCCCUGACCUUGGAACCCGGGAUAAACCUGCCCUUGCUGGAACCCCGUAGUCUGAUAACCCUGCUGGGGCGACUGUGGAAAGGCUUGCUGUCCAAGCCAUCCAUUAUUAGCGUUCAUCGGCAUAGGUGCUGCCGAUGAUUGGUAAUUGGGUAUCGUCGUUGAAUUGACAUACCCCGACUGGGCCAUAGGCCUCUGUUGCAUCAGCAUUGACUCUGCCGAUGCGUUGGGCAUCUGGAACAUUGAAUCUUGAGGAUUUCCAGUGUGAGGCCUUGCAGUAGUAGUUGUGGUAUACCGAGGACUCUGGUUCACCGGCACAUUGGAAGGUACCGAUGUCAUAGGAGUUUUGCCCCUCAUGUCAGUUAUCUGUGAUGUUCCUGGCGUCAACUCUGGAGGCAUACCAUAACCCCACCAGUUGGGAGGAAGAGUUAACCCCGACAUUGCCGAUGCCAACAUAUCUGUUGUCAGUUUAUGCUGCCCAACUGAAAUUUGUGGGUUGGUUGCCAUCGGCAUAGAUAGUGCACCAGUAGUCCCCAAUGUACUUGGAGGGACGGCAGACUGUGCACUUGCACUCGUCAAGGCAGCCGAUGGAGCCGUAACCUCUGGUGCCGUGGGUUGAUGAUGGGAAGGGCCCACAUAAUCCGGCGGGAUUUGUCCUUCCUUGAAGGUUCUUGCUACGGCGUUAAAAACCGUAUUAGACAGUACACCAGCUUGGUUGAUCAGCGCUCGAUUGAUGGCAUUGUCGACCAUGUCUUGAAGCUUGCCAGGAUUGGCGUCAAAGGUGACCUGCCGUGGUGCCGGCAGUGCAUCUUUCUGGACCACUUCGCCGCUCCUGUUCAUGCUGAAAGACUUCAGGCAUUGCUGCUUGAACUCUUCCAUGGCUUGGGCAAUAGCUUGCUUCUGCUCAUCCUUGAGGUUGGCUUCCGUCACGGGGAUGACGUUGUCUUGAUCGAGGUCAGAGAUCGACAUGCUGAUCUUGAUCUUAAAUCGGUCCCACCGGGCGUGCCAAAAGAUAUGUUGAUGCAAAACUAAUCUGCAAACACAAAGGGCUAAUACCCGAUCCAAACGUUAAGGCGUGCCAGCCGAUUUGACCUUACUAUCGGCAAAGGUGAUAACUCGAAUACUUUAGUCCUGACAACAGCGAUGCGCCCGGAUGUCACGGCUAAGAGGUACUCACGCGGAACUUGAGGAUACGCCGAGCUUGAGUCGACGAAUUCCUAAGAACUCGUAACAAAAAGAAAACGUAUGACGAAGUCGUCGAAAAGUAAAUGCUGGAAUAUGAGUAAAAACGUGUGUUUGAUUGAUUGAUUGAUUAUUACAAGGUCCUAGGGCUUAUAUUUAUACCCUGCUCAAAGAGCUAAGACCAGACACGAUUAGAAUUCGAAUUCCAAUUUACACGAAACCCGUAUACAAAACGAUGCGAAUAACUAAGGAAAUAAUAAAACCACCCUUCGUAACAAACCAAAACUCCUCCACAUGACAACUGGCAGCUUCCGGACUCCUCCUUCGCGUCAUCGGCAAUCCCCUUGCCACAGUCAUCGGCAGACCUUCUUACUUGGUCAUCGGCACCGUAUUACUGCUUGAGGACUUAGUCACAUUCAACCUUUCCCUCAUCGGCAACCAUCCUUAUCAGCAACCCGCAUCGUACUGCCACCUUAUCCUGCUAUCCUGGACACGUGUCCAAAAAUGGUGUCAACACACACAUAUGACAACUCUGGUCUUAUUUUUAAAGCUAGGGUGUGACAGUAGCCGAUGAUGUUGGUAGGCCAGAGAUGAAGCACUUUGCCUUUGUAGAGGCUGAUCACCAGUGUGCCCCCAACACAAACUAGGGUCCCUGUCACCUUGAUGUUUCCUACCAGGCUCUUCAAGUUCAAAGGCUCCUUCCUGAAACAGGCUAAUAUUUAUGUAGGUGCAUGUAUCCUUUUAGGAACAAACGACUGUGACAUUCUUUAUUUUGGUCUUAUUUACUAUCGUGUCCUUUCCAAAUUAUAAGACGUUUUGUUAUUUCUAAAUACAUUAUUAUUAUUAUUAUUAUUAUUAUAUAUCUAGACAUGGUGUAUAUAUAAGUGCAUAGUAAAAGUUAUAUCCCUUCUCAUAAUUUGGAAUAGAUGGAGUGUACCUAAAAAGAACGUGCACAUAUAUGCCACCACUUUGUUGAUUAUAUUUUUUUGGAUUAAAUCAAACAUUAAAAUACCUACAUUUCUAAUAGUUUAAGUCUGAAAUAUUCAAAACAAGAAGGAGAUUUAAAAAAACUCAAGUGAGUUCUAGUGAACCUUAUCCAGCCAUAACGUUAUGUUGAAACUUUUCCGUUUUACAUGUUCAAUAUAAACAUGGUAAAAAAAACUCAUGUGAUGAAUAUGGCCAGGAGAAUUACCUAGGUCUUCAUCCUUUCAGCUAUUCCUAUUUACGUCUUGAUAUGGAUAAAGAUGCCUAAAUGGUUUUAGGCGCCAUUGUUGAUAAGAUAAGGAGAGGCUUUGUAUGGAAAGGGAGGGAGCAAUUGAAUGGUGGAGCUUGCUUGGUUGCAUGGGAUAAAAUCCAGUGACCCUUGAUUUGGGCGGACUAGAGAUACUGAACCUUGAGCUCAUGAGUUGGGCGCUUCAAAUCCGUUGGCUAUGGUUCAAGAUAACAGACCCUAACCGAGCAUGGGCUGGCCCUUGAUGACAUUCAUAUUCAUCUAAAUGUUGUAGCUCUUUUCAACAUUGCAUUGGAAUCAAAGGUCGGUAAUGGAAGAAGUUAUCUAUUUUGGGAGGAUUAGUGGCGCAUGGACUGCUGUUUGGAGGACUUGUCACCAGAGAUGGUUGCUGCAAUCCCAUCUCGCACUUGCAAACAGCGCACGGUGGCUACGCCUUACAUGAUCAUGCUUGGCCUACUGAGAUCAGUCGGGGUCUCUUAUUGGUGGGUCUCUUUGAGUAUUUUAAUUAUGGGAUAUAUAGCACGAGGCAAUCCUCUCUUAGGACGACAAUGUCCAUGUUUUGAGAUACGAAGGGUUAGGACGGUUUUCCUCAAAAUCUGCAUAUCGAGCAUUCUUUAAUGACUCCAUCACCUUUGCGCCUUGUCGACAUUUACGGAAAUCUUGGGCACCAGCAAAGUACAAAUUAUUUUUAUGGCUAGCAAUCCAAAAACAGGUGCUGUACGGAGGACCAAUUGGCCAAGAGAGGAUUACCUCACCUGACCCACUAACCCUUGUGUGAUCAAGAAGAUGAGACGGUCCAGCAUCUGCUUACUACAUGUGUCCUCGCUUGAGAAUUUUGGUCACACAUCCUGACUCCUUUGGGACUGCAAGAUUGGACUCCCACAAGGGGAGAGAAUUCAUUCGCUAAUGGUGGCAAAAAAGCAACCAAGAGAAUUCCAAGGAGAAGAAAAAGGGGCUGAACACAAUGAUCAUUCUAGGUUCCUGAAUCCUUGGAAGCACAGAAAUGCUUGCGUUUUUUAAGGGUCUCGCUCACCCCUGCAUCACCAGGAUGCUUGAAGAGUUCAGAGAUGAAUAUCACCUUUGGUGCUUCGCAGGAGCGCAUGGCCUGUGCACUUUAGGUCUGGGUCACGGUGUUGGGCUAGGAUAGAUUUCAUUGGUUUAGUUGGUUGGUGUUGUCUGUGGUCAAGUCUCACCUCUUUCCUAGUUCUUUUAGUUUAAGUGAUUUGAUGUAAUUGAAACAAACCCCCACAGCCCGGCCAUGAGUGAAGUGGUUUUGCUUGUAAUAUAAGGGGCCGAUCAUUUUUUCUCUUUAAUGCAAUGAUACAUAAAUUUCUUGCGUAUUUGAGAAAGAAGUCAUAGUGAACCUUAUGUAGCCAUAACAUUAUGUUCCGCUGGUAUUUUAUUUUUAAGCUGCUACCAUAUUUUAAAUAAAUAUACAUGGAAAUAUAUCCAAACCAUCCCCUUUCAUUUACUGCAGUAGAAAGGAAGGACAAAUAUAUUUGGAGGUUCUCUUCCAGAUAUAUUUGGAAGUUCUCUUCCAAUGGACAAUAUUUAGCCAAGUAGGGCUUUUCUUUAGGUGCUACCCUCUUUGCACUAUGGGAAAACAUUUUGAAGUCUUGUACGCCACCUAAAUGUUGGUUCUUCAUGUGGUUAGUUGCAGAAAACAAAUGUUAGAUAACAAAGCGCCUUGCAUGACGUGGACUGCCGCACCUGGAACGUUGUCCACCAUGUGAUUAUGAUGAGGAACCAUCAACCAUCUCCUCAUCUGCGUCUUUGCUAGGUAAUUUUUGUUCCAACUACUAAGAUAGUUUGGUCUUCAGGCCUUAUCACCACAACCUACUGAAAAAUACUUUCUUGAUUGGUGGGAGAUAGCUAGUACUGCUACUUCUAAGUUGGUGCGGCAAGGUAUUAAUUCCCUAAUCAUUCUGGUGUUUAGAUUCAUUGGAACCAUCAUUAUCGUUGUGUUUUUUAUGGAUCGGUGCCAAGUAUUGCUGGGGAUUUAGUCAUGGCUAGUGAGGAACACCAGUUGUGGUCCAUGGCAGGGGCUCAAGGACUAUCCCUCUUGUCCCCCCUCCCUCGUAGGUGAUUAGUAUUUUGGUGUAUGUGUGUCAAACUUCAUAUAUCAAAGGGGCAUUUGUGUUUAAUGAUGUUGUAGUCAUUGUGUUGUCUGAGUGCAUCAUGUUGUCCAUGUGUGGUGUGAGUGUUGUUGGGUUCUUACACCUAGACUCUUCUUAAUACACUGAUGCACUUGUGUUUUUUGAGAAAAUUGUGCAUCUCUUAUAGUGAUAUCUCCAUAUUGUCCAUACUACAAACCUCGGUGGAAAUGGCACGACGUAUGUAUAUGCAUAAAAGUAACUAGGUUACCAUUUAUGAUUUGAUUUGUUUAGUUUGGCAGGUUGCACGCCAGCUAAUGCUUAAAUAGGAUUGCUUGUGCAACAAACUCAUAAACAUAACAACAACUCUAGAUUCAUAAUUUUUAUAUAAACUCGAUCUAAGGAAUGUGAAUCAAUGAAAUCCUUUCUUUAUAAAAAAAAUCUAAGGCUAUGAGUAUGAUUCCUUAUCUUUUCAUUAUAUAUUUUGUAAUUUUGUUUUACAUUUCAUCCUCUGCUUCUAGUUUUCUCCAUUUUACAUCUUUUCCAUAGAAAAAAUCGGUUGCUUUCUUUUUUCUCGAUCGACCUCGUUUCUAUGGAAAACAAAACAGUUGCAAAACUAGACUUUAGCUUGUGCGCAACAUGAAUGAGACGGACGAAAAAGAAAAAAGAGAACCAGAGGAACUGCACGAUCGAGUAAGUGUGGACACAUGCCCAUGGCUGAAAGUACCGUUUGCGGAUUUGUUAUGAGAGAAAAAUAUUGCUGAAUGACUGACAGAUUCAACAGAAAAGCUCAAACGAACAGGUUCUAAAAACCCAGAUUGCAUUGGGGAGAACGAAAAAAAGGAAAAAUAGAUAACUUAUGAAGAAAUCUUAAUUGAUGUUAAUAUUGAGGAUUGCUAGAUUUACCGAGUAAACGAUUGUGAGCAGACUCAUGUUCCAUUUCAGCUGCCAAGUCGCCUUUUCUCUGUUCAUUGCGACCCCUACAACAGCCAUUUGGAUGCAGCCCACGAAGCAUGUGGCAACCGUGGACCAGUACUUGUAAGGGAACACUUUCAGCAUCUGUGCCUGUAAAUACAAAACUACAUGUAAGUUUUCCUAAAACUCUAUGUAUGUUUCUCAUGUUGGAUUAAUGGUGAUCAGCAGAGAGUUAACAUCAAAGCACCAGAACAUUCUGAAAUUGAACAACAGAUAGAAAGAUACUGCAUGCAUGGGCAACAAGUGUUUCUGGUAGCUCUAUGAGUGUGUGCAUUAAUCAUUUGCGUGCUUAUAUAUAUAUAUAUAUAUAUAGUACUCUAUCCAUCCCAAAUUGUAAGUCAUUCCAAGAAUCUUGAAGAGUCAAAUUUUUCUAAGUUUGACCAAAUUUAUAUUAUAAAAUAAUAAUUAUUAUGGUACUAACUAAGUAUCAUUAGAUUCUUUCUUAAUUAUAUUUUUAUAGUAUACUCACUUUAUGUUACAAAUCUUAGUAUUUUUCUCUAUAACUUUGGUCAAACGUGAAAAUGCUUUGACUCUCCAAGAUUUUUGGAAUGACUUACAAUUUGAGAUGGAGGGAGUAGUAUAUACCUGCACUGUGUACCAGACGGCCAGGCUCAAACAGCUCACGAUGAGCAAGACGGUUCCACGCAUAUGGUGGUGCCCAAACGCUGAUCCAGAUUGCUUGGGGUGGUAGCCGAUGAUGUUGGUAGGCCAGAGAUGAAGUACUUUGCCUUUGUAGAGGCUGAUCACCAGUGUCCCCCCAACACAAACCAGGGUUCCUAUCACCUUAAUGUUUCCUACCAGGCUCUUCAAGUUCAAAGGCUCCUUCCUGAUGAAAUGAAAUAGGAGAAUUAUAUAUACAUUUAGACCUUGUUUGGAUAUAGUCUGAUUUGUCAUCAAUCCACAUGUGUUGGAGUAAAAUUAGACUGGAAGUUGAACUAAAUUCCACCUCAAUUCACCCCAACACGUGUGGAUCGAGGUGAAUCCAACAAUAUCCAAACAAUGCCUUAGGAAGAUGUAUGUAUCUUUUCAUCAGGAAAAAACAACUCUGGCAGACUUUAUUUACUACACGUACCUGAAAAGAACCGCAAGGAUGAAUGUGGCUAUUGGGAUGAUGUUGAAAAAAUUGAUGGCAUAUCCGGGCGACGUAUCUCCCAGGCCAAUGUAGUAAAGACCAGGAAUUGUGAAUCUGUAGGUAACAAAAAGGUAGAAUUUUAUUUUGUAUUGUAAACAAAGAAAUAAUCGUUUAUGUGCAUGGGUCUUACGAGAGGACAACUACUGACCCUACAAGUGCACUUGUAAAAAUCCAUAUGAAUGCUUUCGGUUUAAUCUCCUUCCAAUUCCCUCUGCACCAAUACAAUCAGAAUGAACACCAUUGCAUAAGAAAUCUUAAAUAAUUCAGUAUAUAUUCAGGAUAACACAGUUGUAUAUCUUCCUUUGUUGACAAUAUAUAAGGCCUCGUUUAGUUUCAAAAAAAUUUGUAAAAUGGACAAUGUAGCACUUUUGUUUGAAUUUGACACAUAUUGUCCAAUCAUAGACUAACUAGACUCAAAAUAUUUGUCUCACAAAUUAUAGAUAAUCCAUGUAAUUAGUUAUUUUUUUAUCCAUAUUUAAUGCUCGGUGCAUGUGCCGCAAGAUUCGAUGUGACGAGAAAUCUGAAAAAUUUUGCAAAUUUUUUUAGAACUAAACAAGGCCUAAAUAAAGGACUUGCAAUGUUCAUAUUAGAAAAGGUGCUACUACAGUAUUAUUAUUGUAUGCAAAACAAUUUUUUCUACUACCAAAGAUAAUAUAUUAGAGCAUCUUCAAGAGUACUAAAGAGUCUCUCAGUUUAGGAAUUUUGGUGAGAUUGAAGAAAAACUCAUCUCCAACAACUCCCAGACCCACCUCCCAAUCUUCUGGCACUUGGAAGAAACCACGCCACACGCUACAGUUACACGUGCGUAUCGUGGCCCCAAUCAAAGGUGGAAGGACGCGGGAAAGAAAAAAACGUAGGAUAAGGUUUCUAAUGCAAAUAUAUAAGAGAGAAAUAAAGUAUAAAAUAAAAUGGUUGGUGUGAUUUAGAAAUAGUUUAGGAUUCCUGAUGUAAAAUUAUCUUCUAUAUUUAGGUGCUUGAUUUUAGAAACUAUUGGAAUUGUAUCUUUUUUUAUGUCUUCCAGUAUAUUUUGCAAAGGUUGGAAAACUUUUUUUGGAGUAUUUUUUGUAGAUAUCGUUGGAGAUGAUGACAACAUGGAUCAAAAAAACGUAACCACAAUAUACAUGGAGGUAACAAUUUUCAAAGAUAGCAGCUGAGGGGAUGACCAAGAUGGCCACCAUGGUGAGCAGCAACUGCCUGGUAUAGUGAAAACUUGGAUAAAAAAAAAGAGAAAAAGAAAACUUGGAUCAGUGCUCCGUGAAUGAUGCUGGCCACAAUUAUAUUCCUUAUCGCUUCUGCCGGCCACCUUAUUGUCUCUCUCAUGCAGGUCUCACUCAGCAGGACAGUAGUGGAGUAGCACAGUUCUAUCUCGAUCAAGAAGGCCGAUAAUCAUAAAAAGCAUGCAUGCAAUACUUUGUGGCGUGUGUUAAGGGGCCCGGGGGAACGCAAGAUCCACAAGAUGCAUGGUACUCGCGUGCUUCUAGCUCUUAGCCCAGCAGCACUUUAUGGAGGGGGUCACUCUAUAAUGUGAACAAUGAUGACGUGUGCAUGAAGGUGUGGAGUCUAAUAUUUCAGGUAAUUCACACUACCCAGUUAUGAUUUGUAGAGGUGGCUCCCAACCUCUAUAAGGAUGGUCAUCAUCAGCCGCCCCUCCGGGGGGCUUUUACAAAUCAAGGAUUUGUAGGCGUGGCUGGGUGGCUCAAUAUUGAGCUGCCCUUAUAAAUCAUUUUUUAAAAUCCGAAAUAAAAUCCUUAGGAAAAAGAAAAAAUAUAUUUCAAUCCAGAGAAGCCUCCACCAGCCAGCCACAACACCCAUCUACUACAAUAAUGUUUUUCCACAAUUUUUCGCACAUUGCUACCCCUAGUAUUUGAACUAGGGCGGUCAUCAUCAGCCACCCCUCCGGAAGGACUUUUACCAAUCAAGGAUUUGUAGAGGCUGCUAGGCGGCUUUGAGUUGCCUCUACAAAUCAUUUUUCGAAAAUCAUGAAAAAAAUCUCUAAAAAAUAGCAAGCCAUUUUAUUUUUAUCCAAAGAAGACCCCACCAGUCAGGCACACCACCCAUCGACUACAAUGAUUUUUUUCCAUAAUUUUUUGCUGCCCUUAGGAUUCAAACCUCUCUUCUCUCUCACACGCACGACCUCCACUACCACUACACCCCUUUGUCAUUUGUGCCUAUAUUCUAUUUUGGUUUCUCACAUAUUAUACUAAACCGUGUAUAAAUUGAUUAUUGAAGAUUAUAAAUGAAUUCAAAUCAAAAAGUUGUCAACUAUAAAGUUUUAUAAUUUUUUUGAGAUCUAUAAUUUUUAUUUAUAGAGUUUCUUCAUUCGAAGCCAUUUAUAAAAUUUAAAUUUUAAAUUUGAGAAAUUAAAAUAUAGUUUUACAUGACAAGAUGAUUUCAAGUGAAAAAGUUACCAACUAGAAAGUUUCAUAACUUUUUAAGAGCUACCCUUUUUGUUUAGGAAGUUUUCCAUCCGAGGUUAUUUGAAAAAUUUGAAUUUUAAAUUUUUUAAAUUCAAACGUAGUCUUGCAUGACAAGAUGACUUCAAAUAAAAAAAUUAUCAACUACAAUAUUAAUUUCAUAACUUCUCGAUAUCUACAAAGUUUAUUUUGAUCAUUUCUCCAUCCGAGGUUGUUUGAAAAAUUCAAAUUUCAAAUUGGAUAAAUUGAAACGUAGUUUUCCUUCACAAAAUGAAUUCAAAUGAAAAAAGUUGUCAACUACAAAAUUCUAUAGCUUCUCAAGAUCUAUAAAGUUUAUUUUGGUCAUUUUUUCAUCUAAAAUUAUUUACAAAAAUUCAAAUCUCAGUACUUUAUUUUAAAUAUUCGGUGCCCGUUUUUAGAGACAGCUCAAUAUCUAGCCACCCUUAUAAAUUGAUUUGUAGGGACGCUAGAUAUUGAGCCGCCCCUACAUAUAGACGUUCAUUUGUAGGAGCAGUUGGAUAUUGAGCCACCCCUAAAAUUCGAUUUGUAGAGGCGGCUGGAUAUUGAGUCGUCCCUACAAAUAGAGAGUCAUUUAUAGAGGUAGCUCAGUAUCCAGCCGCCCCUACAAGAAAAGACACUUGGCACUUACAAAUGAUUUUUCAGGUAGUGUCAACUUUAGGAUACCAGUUAUUUAUGUUUGUUUAAUUAGCACCAGCUAGCACUUUGUUUAAUUGGCCUACUCUAUUAUAGGGUAUGAGUUUCCCAUCAGGAUGGGGAUGAACCUACUCAUGCAAUCUCUCAAAACUGAGAUGCACACUCCUAGCUAGCUCUUGUAAAUUUGAAAAGAACAAGGCCCCUUUAUAGGAUGUUCCUUCCUAGCUAUAUAUGUACACGCCAUGCCGUCACUGGACUGCACCGUUCAUCAGGAGCGAACCCGGUGGCAACUUGCAUCAGGAAACAAGACAGAAAAGCUAAACAAAGACAUACAUGAGUUCGAAUGAAAAAAAAAUGGUACUCUAAACAAAGAUCAUCCUCUCUCAACUCGACUCAAAGAUGAUGCGAAACGUAAUUUGUGCAGAACAUGCAUGCAUAUGCACAUCACUUCUGAGAAAUUAGUGAUGAUUAAUAAAAGAGGAAAUUAGACUUGCUCUACUAACUGAACUUGGUAGCAACCAACAACCUGUGCGCGUCUGCGUACGUGUACGGACCUCUCGAAGAUGAUGGCGAGCGGGACGACGAGCAGGGUGCCGAGCAACGGAGCAAGAAGCGGUAGGUGAGGAGGGCGAAGACGAAGAGCACCGCAUUACAGGGAAGGGCUUUAGCCCCGGGCCGUAAGCGCCUUUAUUUCCGGCUACGGAACCGGGGCUAAGGUUUCGGGACUAAAUGUCCCACCUUUAGUCCCGGUUCCGUGGACCGGGACUAAAGGUCCACCUUUAGUCCCGGUUGGUAACAGCAACCGGGACUAAAAGGUGCAUCAGGGUGUGCCACCUGGCCUCCACUUUUAGUCCCGGUUGUUGCUACCAACCGGGACUAAAGACUUUUUUCUUUUUUCUUUUUCUUUUCAUUUGGUUUCCAUUUAGGGUUUACAAUUAUGUUAUUGUUAUUUUCGAAUGCGUAUUGUUUGCUGGUAGUUUAUGGAACGCGCACCUAUAAUUUAUAUAAUUUAAAGGAUUACAUAUAAAUAUACUAUAAAACACUAUAUAUAUAUAUAAAUAAUUGGAGCGGCGAUCGGCAUUGUACAUCCAAUGACGUGUUAUUGUCGGCAUUGCCAUGUAAAGUAUUAUAAGUUUCUAAUUUUUUAUAAAGAAAUUAAAGUAACAAAUAACCUAAAAUUCUCUAUUUCUGGUUUUUCUAACUAAUCAUGAAAUGUGGCAUGCAUACUAGUUAUAAUUAACUAAUUAACCUUGUCAUAAAGUGCAAAUUAAAGUAUUAUAAGUUUCUAAUUUUUAAUAGAGAAAUUAAAGUAACAAAAAACCUAAAAUUCUCUAUUUCUAAUUUUUCUAAACAAGCUAAAUUAAAAAAGCACAAAAAUUCUCUAGUUUCCUAAAUAAUCAUGAAAUGUGGUAUGUAUACUAGUUAUAAUUAACUAACUAAAUCGGUCAAAAAUUGCAAAUUAAAGUAUUAUAUGUUUUCAUUUUUAAUAGAGAAAUUAAAGUAACAAAAAACCUAAAAUUCUAUAUUUCUAAUUUUUCUAAACAAGCUAAAUUAAAAAAGCACAAAAAUUCUCUAUUUUCUUAAAUAAUCAUGAAAUGUGGUAUGUAUACUAGUUAUAAUUAACUAACUAAAUCGGUCAAAAAUUGCAAAUUAAAGUAUUACAUGUUUUUAUUUUUUUCUAAACUAAUUAAAAUAAAAAACAUAUUACCACUAUUUCUCUAAAAAAACGCUUCGCUUUUGAAAUGGCGAUGAAGCUAAUAACCUCUUAAAAAACCAUAAAAUAAAAAAUAAUAUACAUAACACUAGGAAAUGACAUACGCCGCUUCUAAAUGUUGAGAAGAUGAAGCUAGUGAACUCUUAACCAGUCGAUGACGGUGUAGAAACGAUGAAAUGAAUCAAUAGCCGGAGAUGAGAGCAAGCUAGAACAAACAACUCCAAAUGAAGAACACAGCAAAAGAGUGAAGAUCGAUGGGCUCGGCCACGAGAAGAAGAGUUCAAAUAUGGAGAGAGACAUUUAGUCCCGGUUCAUUUUAAAAACCGGGACUAAAUUCCAAAACUAGUCCCGGCCGGUGGGACGGACCGGGACAAAAACUUUUAAUCCCGGUUGGUGGUACCAACCGGGACUAAAGGCUAGGCUUUUGUCCCGGUUGGUGAGACCAACCGGAAAGUCCCCUCUGCCGAUGUCUGACAUAAUAGCCGUUGGGUAGGGGACUUUUAGUCCCGGUUGGUCUCACCAACCAGGACUAAAUAUGUUUUUGUCCCGGACUCUGUUUUGGUCGAAAUUAUUGUUUAUUUUGGACAAGUGACCAAAGCCGUAGUGCCACCUUCGUGAGCAGCAUCUGCCCCGUCGUGAACACCUCGAUCAGCACCAUGCACAUGGCCGGACCCCACUCCGCCUUAAGCAGCUUCAACGACAACAACGACGGACUUCCCAUCUCUCAUCUCUCUAUGGAAAUGGAACUCACUCUCACUCUCCCUCUCCCUCCACGACCACGAGAGAGUAUAUAUACGAGACGGAUUGAUGAUGAGCAAAGUGAACAAGAGGGGCCCUGCAAAAACUGACCGUAAAAGUAAGACUAAUAAUAUAGCUGACUGCAACAUUGUUUUAGCCUUUCUGUAGCCCACCUAUAUAGUGAAUAGCUUAUUAUUAUUACGGUUAAUACAUGGUCUACGUACUUAUGUCUCUUAUAAAGUUCUUUAAUUUUUGUAGCUGAGCCAGCUGUAAGCUUUUUUUUUCGAAAUCGUGCAUUGGCACGUGUUGCUUUAAGGGAAAAAAGGAGUCUGAGUACAAGCACGUAAAGACCCAUGGCGAGAUGCCAUAGGCUAACGGGCAAACACACUAACACAGAGCACUGGUUUUAACGGUGGAGCUUGACCGGUGUACUACGGGAUAGAACUAAGCUUACAGUCUACUUCUACUUUUUCCUCUUCUUUUCUAUACCUCACCAUUUAGCGGGCUUACAGCCUGCUAUAUUAUUCUUCCUCUAACCAAAUCCAAGGGAAGAUAUGGGGAUGGGGUCGCCUGCCACUAGUACAGACAAGGGCUUUAGCCCCGGGCCGUAAGAGCCUUUAGUCCCGGCUACGGAACCGGGGCUAAGGUUUCGGGACUAAAUGUCCCACCUUUAGUCCCGGUUGGUAACAGCAACCGGGACUAAAAGGCGCGCCAGGUUGUGCCACCUGGCCUCCACUUUUAGUCCCGGUUGUUGCUACCAACCGGGACUAAAGACUUUUUUUCUUUUUCUUUUCAUUUGGUUCUCCAUUUAGGGUUUACAAUUAUGUUAUUGUUAUUUUCGAAUGCGUAUUGUUUGCUGGUAGUUUAUGGAACGUGCACCUAUAAUUUAUAUAAUUUAAAGCAUUACAUAGAAAUAUACUAUAAAACACUAUAUAUAUAUAUAAAUAAUAUGUAUCUAUAGGUCUAUAAUAUAAUAUUUACACAUAUGCUUCACAGACAAAGUAUUUACAACACAAUUUAUCUCCGCCACUCAAGCAUCGUACAAAUGAUCAUCGUUAUUUGGUUUCAUUGGCUCCUGAUGGUUGAAGUAGCACUCGCCGCCGGGAUUCAGGACUUGGUCGUUAAGAAAUCCUGCGAUUGUCUCCUGAAUUCCUUUUAGGCGCACCGCAUCCAACACCUGCUCCUUCAGCCACAUCUCCUUUAAUAGACAUUAAAGAAAAAAGUUAGAGGUAUGAAUAGGAUUUAUUAAAUAGCAACAAAUAAAUAAAAUAAACUUAUUAUAUAUACAUGUUACAUACUUUUAGGUGCUCAAGAUUAGUUCUUUUGGCAUACACCGUCAUAAACUCGCACACAUAGUAGCCACACAAAUUGUUGCCCGGUGUCUGCCGUAGAACCCACUGAAGUAAGAUGGGCUUUGAAAGUGCUGCAUUCAACUUUGGACGGUGUUUCUGCACGAACCCAGCUCAAACCCUAGCAAUAAAACGAUUAUUAUUAAUUAUCCAUUACCAAGUUAAAAGAGCAUAAUUUAAUAUAUAGAGAUCCGAGUUACCCUUGGAUAAUAUCUAUCAUUUCUUGGUAAUCGUCCUGUGGUUUUCUCAAUGAGUCAUAGAUUACCAAUUGACAUUGCCAGAGAUCAAUGACAAUUAGUAUCCAAUGAAAGCUGCAUUUGUGUGCAUAUGUAGGCAAAAUUAGUAUAUAUCUUCAUAUUGAUCUGAUUAAUUAGUUAAAUAGAAUGUACACACGAUAACGACACUUACUUAAAGUUGUAGGGAAAGAGUAUAUAUCUUUUAUCUUUUUGGUUGAUCAAGAACCUCCGUAGAUUUCUCUCCGUUUUAGUUCUCCAUAAGACAUACGGGGUCUUGUGGUCUUUGAAUACAACAUUUGGAUCCACAAAUCCAAUCUCCUUGUCAUUUCUAACUCUGAGGUCUCUCAUCAUGUUUCUGCAUAUGUAUAGCGGGUUUCUGUAAUUAGUUAUAUAUAUACAUGAUAAGUUACAAAGACAUUGUUGAAAGGAAGAAUCACUUACACACAGAAGCAACUCAUUAGAGAUUUGUCAAGAGUGUCCAUGUGGCAUAGUUGGUGUAGCUUAUUAAAUUGAACAUAAAUAAUAUCAUCACCACAGAAGUAAUGAUAGUUUCUAAUUCGGACACAAAGAUAGUCAUCUGCUUUUCUGACACACGCUUCCAUGUAUGAUAGGUUACCGAUAUGGAAUCGGUACGAGGGUGGCCCGAUCUUCACGACCGUAGAUCAAAAGAACAAGGAUAACUUGCUGUGAACAGCGGGUAACUAGCUUUAUACCUGACAAAGGUUGGAUGCGACCAAGCGACGGGGAGAGAGGCACCGAAACCACGAAGACUUCGACUCGAUCUCCGAACGACCGCAGAACCACAAUCCGGAACUAAUCCACACAAUACGGCGCAGCCGAACGGAAGCCGUAGGGCACGAAGUAGGGGAACCCAGAGGAUUCACUUCACAAGUCCAUGAAGAAUAAGGAAGAACAAAGGUUGAGUAAGGCACAGCAGUGCGGCUGCAAUAUCAUGUAGUUUAUCAAAUGAUCAAAGGUUACUGAUAGCUUAGAGGUAGGGGAUAUUUAUACUAGGAACAACCCUCCUAGAUAGGUAUGAAAACGAAAUAGAGUUUCUGGAUGAAGGCAAUGUGAAAGGACCUCUCGGAAUGGAUUCCCGAACUGGCUUCGCGUGACUAUUGGCCUCCAGAGCAGUUUCAAAUAAACUGACCAUAACUUUUUAUUGGGAAGUCCAAAUGACGAACCGUUUCUUGGGUGUGAAACUAGACUCGAAGAGCUUUCUAGCAAUGUAUGCCAUGUACCUCGAAACAUUGUAGAUUGGUACAGUUUUGCAUGGCAAGUUGUACCAACAUUCUGUCACGGCAGACUGUUGACCUUCUGAGCAGUCUGUACUAAUUCUGGUCUGCAGGCAAUAUGGAGUAUCAAAACUGGUCGCCACUAGAUGCAUUGGAAAGUAGACUCGACAAGCUUUCCAACAAGUCCUCAUGGGCCUUCAUAGCUUUUGUGACUAAAAAGUUAUGAAGAUUUCUUUGCACUGGUCCGUUUUUAACUUCCACUGGUCCGUUUUUUACUUCCACUGGUCCGUUUUUGACGUGUCUUCUAGGACUUGCACUGGUUUGUUCUUCAGGGUCCGAUUCAUCAUUCUCUUCUUCUAUAUACCUGAGUACAAUUAAGGUAGAACACUUAGGUAGUAUAUAAUUCUCAUUAAUGUUAAAAUGAAUCUCACAAAGUAGCGCGUGGACCUCUUGUUGUAGCUUCUUUGCACGACUACGUGUAACCGGUCCAUCAAUGACUUGGGCUGGUGUCGGUGUAGGUAAAACUUGAGUGGUUGUAGCUUGACUUAGAGCUUGUGACAUCUUGCUUGCUGGCAUGGUCAUAUCAAUGUACCAUUUGUUUAGCAUGUACAUUUGCGUUCCAAGCUUGCUGAGGGCCGCAGGGUUGUAUAAACUCUUGCCAUAUGUAUAUUCCUUCUGUCAAUGAUCAAUUUGUGGAGCACUUUCAAUUGGUGCCCCCGCUAUCAUUUGGGCUAAGCUAAGACCAGUUUCCGCAAAAAAAAUUUCAAGCUCAUCAAAUUUUAAAUCUGCCGCCGGUAUCUGCUGGUCUAGCACGUCAAUGUUUGAACCAUAUUCAUUUCCAAUGACUAGCGGGGGCACUGAUUGCUUUGAUUGUUCCCUGAGCUGUGCUACACCCUUGCGUGCUCUUUUCUCUUUCUUCUUCUCUUCUUCUAUGGAUUUCCUUAAAGUGCGAUCAUAGUCCGAUAAAGAUGAUGAUUCUUUCUGAGCUUCACGCCUCUUUUUUUGUUCAGCCUCAACCCUUUGUCGUAGAUCUUCUGGCCGUAGUAAGAGGUACGGCUUCUCAGGCUUUCGCUUGGCUUCUCUUUCAGUCUUAAGUUUCUUGAAAAAACUAUCCACGUCUGAUUUUAGUGAAGCAUUUAGUUCUGCAUCAGUCUUCUCAUAGGACAGCUUCUUAGGAAUGAUAGCUUGUUUCUUUUCGGAGGCUUUCUUUUUUGGCGGCGGGGCGGCCGACACAUUUGAUUGUGUGGCCGGCCUCUUCUUUCAUGCUGGAGCCACGUGUGGAGGCGAUGAGGCGGCCGGUGGCGGUGUUGGAGCCCGAGGAGGCGGCGUUGGAGCCCUAGGUGGUGUUGGAGCCUGAGGUGGCGGUGUUGGAGCCCUAGGUGGUGGCGUUGGAGACCGAGGCGAUGCAGCCGUGUCUUGCACUCCCUCGUCAUCACCCGCAACACUAUGACAUGUCGGUGACCACCUGUGAAACAAAAGGUAUAUGAGUAGACUGCUAACUAAGAGAAUGCAAAAUAAAUUUAGUGAACAAAUGUAUAGUCAAUUUUCAUCCGCACCUAGGAUUAGAUUCAUGAUGAGGAGGUGGUGGUAGACUACUAGGUGAUGCCCCAGAAAUAAUGAUGUAGCGCUUGCGCCAACAAAUAAAAGUCUUCUCUGCUUCUCCUAGAGUCUUCUCUCCAUCACCUCCUUCUAUAUCAAGCUGCACAUUACUGAAGCCUUUGACAACUGUAUCCACUGAGACACUAGCAUAUCCAGGUGGAACUAUCGCCCCAUGGAUUCUUGGUGUCCUCGUAGGGUCGACAAGAGUUGCAACACCGACAGCAACCAUGACUGUGGCAGUCCCCUGUGGCAUGUGCAACUCACAUGUUGUCAGAGGUUCAGUGAUAUCAUCCACCGGAAAGUGUAGCCCCACGUCGUCUUGAAUAGUUGGCAUCUCCGUGGAAGCGCAACUACUUUUCAACUGACCGGGGGGGCUAAUGUUGACUCUAGGCUCUGAUGCAGUUUGCCCUUGUAUAGUACUUACUGCAAUCUGCACUUGUCUUUUGAUCUCCUCGUUCAUUCUCUCUUCAAGCGCUUUCUCUCGCACUAUCGCUUCACAAGCCGCUUCGCGUGACUCAAUCACCAUUGCCUCCAACCUAUGCAACCGCUCUGCUUUCUCUUCCUUCUUUCGUUGGCGGCUUCUAUAAGUCGGUCUAUCUUUAGGGAAGCCAUGCUCCCAUGAUACCUCCCCAUAGCCUCUGGUUUGCCCACCGUGUUCAGCAGUCUCCAGGGCAUAUGUCAGCUCAUCCUUUUCUCUAUUUGGCUGCCAGGUGCCGCUUUCAACUAAUCCUCUAGCAUAGGCCAUUCUCUGCCCUACUCUCUCGAGCUUUUCGCCGUACACUAUCUUUCCGGUCUCUAGGUCUAUGGUUCUCCCGUGACCAAAGAACCAAUACUUGGCGCGCUCGGGCCAGUGCAUUGAUUCUGGUUCGAUCCCUCUCCCAAGAAUCUCCUGUUCCAGCUUUUGCCACUUAGGAAUAGCAGUCCUGUAGCCACCUGAACCCAAGUGAUGGUGGUAUUGCUUUUGUUUAGCAUUUUCUUGAUUCUUGAUCAUCCGUGCCUGACCCUCUUCUAAGUUCUUAAACUCUACGAACUCAUCCCAAAAAGGCCUCAACUUGACGUAGGCCUUGUUGGUGAAAUCUGGUAUCCGGCCUUGUGCAACCAAAGUCUUGUAUAAUGUCUUCUUCCAAGCCUGAAAUUGUUUGGCCAUCUUCUGCAUAACCCAGAUUUUAACCUUCUCCUUCAAAACUUCAUCCUGUGUAUCGAGCGUGAAAUGUUGAAGAAUAUCUUGCCAAAUCAAUUCCUUGUCACGAUCUGAGACAAAACAAAUAUUAGGGUUAUCUUUCUGUUGCCUCCAUUCACGAGCACUGACCGGGAGCCUGUCCCUUACAAGGUAGCCACAGUGCGCAAUAAAUUUUUUAGAAUUAGCCCCAAGUACUUGUCCUGUACCCUCAUCGAAUUCCGACAGAAUGUACCGACCCUCCAACGGCUUCUUCGGGCCGCGCACUUUUCUACUCUUCUCAGAAGUUGUCGCCAAUUUAGAGGGCUACACAAACAAGUAUAAAUAUAUUAGUAUAAAUGUUAUUUAUUUUAAUUUCAUAUAUAUACAUAUAUACUAGAUUGUAGAUAGACCUGAUCAGUAUUAUCUCCCACAAGUUCUUCAUAAUCAGCAAAGUACUGACUCCCAUCAUCUUCGCCUUGAGGAUCUGGAUUGGCGCCGCUGUUGAUUAGGUCCAUCAUUGCAUCAUCCAUGUUGUCAUUCGGAUUGGCCAUUUCUGCAAAUUUAAUCAAGUGUUAAAAGUUAUUUGUCAAAUCUCGUACUUAGACAAUAUUUGGAUACAAUAUUUGUCCACACAUUUUGGAAUUUUUAUCAUAAAAUAUUUGUCUACACUUUAUCUAAUGAAUAUUUUAAUACAUAUAAAUAUUUAUCAACAAGUAAAUCUAGAUGUGUAACUUUUUUAUAAAUAUCUAAAAAAAUGAAAGCACUUCCAUUUUUUGUCCAUUAACUCUUGCAUAGAUAGAUAAAAAUGUAUGGAUAAAUAAAAACGCCACUGCAGGAUGUAAUUAAUUUACGAGACAAAUUUGCGAGACAAGUUUUUUGCAAGUAAACAAGGCCCUCCAUAUAUAUGUUAACAACAUGUAAUUAAUUUGCGAGAAAAUUUUGUGAGGCAAUUUUUUUGCAAGCAAACAAAGCCCUUCAUAUAUAUGUUUACAACAUGUAAUUAAUUUGCGAGAAAAAUUUGCGAGACAAAUAUGAUAAACAAAACACUUCCAUAUAUAUAUAUAUAUGUAUACAUGCCUUAGCUAAAAAUUAGAUAAAAUUAGCUAAGAGUAUUAAAUAUAGAGAAAAAAUAACUAAUUACACAGUACAUAGGGACACCGCGAGACAAACCUUUUAAACUUAAUUAGUUUAUGUUAGUCAUAAUUGUUAUAAUAACACAAAUAUGCAAAUAACGGAUUAAUUAGAUAUAAUAAAUUUGUCUCGCAUUUUUAGAGAAAUUAUGUAAUUAAUUUUUUAAUUAAUAUCCAAACUGCUCUUUUGAUAUUUCAUAAAAUAUUCGAUACAACAACUAAGGACUUGUUUAGUUUUGAAUUUUUUUUUGGUUUUUGGUACUGUAACACUUUUGUUUUUAUUGACAAAUAUAUCAUAUAAAUUACACUGUAAUUAUGGCUACUAUAAACUAAUUAAGCUUCUACACGAGAUAAAUAACAAUAACUAAUUACAACUAAGGCCUUAGAAACAUACUGUAAAAAUAAAUUACAAAUUUCAAGUUUUUACACAGGAUACAUUAUAUCAUAUAAAUUAUAUCAUACAAAGGAUAAAUUAUAUCAUCUCAUCUCAAUAUAUAUACAACAGAGCGCUCAAAACAGUUUCGCCGGAGAAGAAAGCGGGGCCGGGUCGCCGGAGAAGAAAGCGGGGCCGGUAGAACGGUGGCAGUUUUCCUCUCGGCUCGUCCCGAGGACGACGGGGUGGCUGCGGCGGCGGCGGCGCUCCUUGGCUUGUCCCGAGGACAAGGGGUGGCGCUCCUCGGCUCUCGGCUGGGGACGAGGGCGCGAGGCGACGGCGGGGGACGAGGGCGCGAGCCGCCACCCGGGGACGAAAGAACAAACAUACAUAAAGCAUUGUACACUUUUCCAAAUAUUUUGCAAAAUAUUUUAAAUUCCAUGUCACAUCCAUACAUAAAACAUUGUACACUGUUCAUAUUUUGCAUAUGGAAAAAAACAAAUAGCAUGUAUAUAUAUGUAUAUAGGUAAUUAAACUUGGUGUCAGAGAUCGAUAACUCUGCAGUCGUCAGUGGCGGUGGCGGCCACGGCAGUGGCAGCGCUCGGGCCGCAGACGAGGGCUGGCGGAGCUCGGCGUGUGGUGGCGGUGUCGUACGUCUUCGGCUCGGCGCGCGGCGGCGGCGCGCGGUGGUGCCGGCGCCGUACGUCUACGGGGACGAGUGGUGGACUAGUGGUGGUGGCGGCGGUGGCGGCGGCGCUCCUGGACUCGAGACGACGGCGGUCGGAGACGAGACGAGGGCUCACGGCGGGAGCGGCACGCGACGGGCUAGGGCUAGGGCUCGGGAUCGAUUUGGAUCGGUGAGGAAGACGACUGUUAGCUUAAAUAUACGCGGGGACCUUUAGUCCCGGUGCGUAUCACCAACCGGGACUAAAGACCUUUUAGGCCUUGUUUAGUUCCCCAAAAAUUUUGCAAAAUUUUUCAGAUUCCCCGUCACAUCGAAUCUUUAGACGUAUGCAUGGAAUAUUAAAUGUAGAUAAAAAUAAAAACUAAUUUUACAGUUUAGUCGAAAUUGACGAGACCAAUCUUUUGAGCCUAGUUAGUCCAUGAUUGGGCAAUAUUUGUCAAAUACAAACGAAAUUGCUACAGUGCUCAUUUUGCUAAAAAUUUUGGAACUAAACAAGGCCUUAGUCCCGGUUGGUGAUACGCACCGGGACUAAAGGUCCACCCUUUAGUCCCGGUUCCUGGCUAGAACCGCGACUAAAGGCAACCUUUUGUCCCGAUUCUAGCCAGGAACCGGGACUAAAUGUAUUUUUUGCUGAUGCUUACAAUAAUUAGAUUAAUGUUGUUAAUUGUAUAGUAAAUAGAAUCAUAUGUAUUAAUUUGUUAAAAAAUAAUAGUUCCAUUUCUUUUGGUCUAAUUGCUUACAUAAUAAAUUUGGAAACAUAAAAUCUUUUCAUCACUUAUAUUAGCAAACUUAAAUAUGAAAAAUAAUUAGUAUUUUGUUAAAGCAAAAAUGAAUGAUUUAAUUUUAAUAUCUUAAAAUAGAUGUUUUUGAUAGAAAAUUUGUUUGUGCAUUAUUUAAACGUAAAUUUUGUUUAUUUAUCAUCAUUUAUCUCCAAAAUCAUGAUAUACGUGAUAUUCACCAUUACAUUGGAUUAUUUUUUCAAGCUUUUUCUCUAUUUCUUAUUUAUUUAUGCUUACAACAAUAUUCACCAUUACAUCGGAUUAUCUCUAACAACUUUGUAUUCAAUUUUUUUUCAUUUCAAGUCAUCAAAUGGGUCAUUUGACCAAGUUUGACCAAAGUCAAAGCAUUGGUUUUUAGAAACACACACUUUAACCGAACCCUAUAUGCUCCCAAAUGGAAAAGUAAUGAAUACAAAGUUUGUUGCACUCAUCAAGUUCUACAUUUUGUCUAAUGGUCAACUUUUCUUUUGGAAAAGUUUGAACCACUCAAUUUUGAAUUUUGAUAGAAUUCAUAGCCACGCAUCGGUUUUCGGAACCCUAGAUGGUCUCGAAUAUUGUUCCACUCAUCAAAAUCUACAUUAAAUAUAUAGACCAUUUUUGCAUUUGACAAAGUGUUGGGAAGGUGUAGUUCAAAAUCCACAAUUGACACAUGUAGUUUCAUAUAGUUUGUGUGAGAUUCAAGAAUUGGUGGGUAUUAUGAACUUAAACUUUCUCAAAUGGAAAAAUUGUCUAUAUAAAAAGUUUAGAUCUUGAUGAUAUCUAACAACUUGGUAUUCAAAAGUUUUUCAUUUUAAGUAAUUUUUUUGUCAUUUGACCAAGUUUGACCAAAAUCCGUCUUGGAUUUUGAACAAAUGUGCUUAGGAUUGGCUCAAAUUUAUCCAAAUGGAAAAAUGGACAAUAUAUCAAAUGUAGAUCUUGAUGAUCUCUACGAACUUUGUAUUCAAAUUUUUUUCAUUUCAAGUCAUCAAAUGGGUCAUUUGACCAAGUUUGACCAAAGUCAAAGCAUUGGUUCUUAGAAACACACACUUUGACCGAACCCUAUAUGCUCCCAAAUGGAAAAGUAAUGAAUACAAAGUUUAGAUUGUCUCGAACGGAAAAGUCAUGAAUAACAAUAUUGUUCCACUCAUCAAAAUCUACAUUUAAUAUAUAGACCAUUUUUGCAUUUGACAAAGUGUUGGGAAGGUGUAGUUCAAAAUCCACAAUUGACACAUGUAGUUUCAUAUAGUUUGUGUGAGAUUCAAGAAUUGGUAGGUAUUGUGAACUUAAACUUUCUCAAAUGGAAAAAUUGUCUAUAUAAAAAGUUUAGAUCUUGAUGAUAUCUAACAACUUGGUAUUCAAAAGUUUUUCAUUUUAAGUAAUUUAGUUUGUCAUUUGAACAAGUUUGACCAAAACCCGUCUUAGAUUUUGAACAAAUGUGCUUAGGAUUGGCUCAAAUUUAUCCAAAUGGAAAAAUGGACAAUAUAUCAAAUGUAGAUCUUGAUGAUCUCUACGAACUUUGUAUUCAAAAUUUUUUCAUUUCAAGUCAUCAAAUGGGUCAUUUGACCAAGUUUGACCAAAGUCAAAGUAUUGGUUUUUAGAAACACACACUUUGACCGAACCCUAUAUGCUCCCAAAUUGAAAAGUAAUGAAUACAAAGUUUGUUGCACUCAGCAAGUUCUACAUUUUGUCUAAUGGUCAACUUUUCUUUUGGAAAAGUUUGACCACUCAAUUUUGAAUUUUGAUAGAAUUCAUAGCCACGCAUCGGUUUUCGAAACCCUAGAUGGUCUCGAACGGAAAAGUCAUGAAUACCAAUAUUGUUCCACUCAUCGAAAUCUACAUUUAAUAUAUAGACCAUUUUUGCAUUUGACAAAGUGUUGGGAAGGUGUAGUUCAAAAUCCACAAUUGACAAAUGUAGUUUCAUAUAGUUUGUGUGAGAAUGAAGAAUUGAUGGGUAUUGUGAACUUAAACUUUCUCAAAUGGAAAAAUUGUCUAUAUAAAAAGUUUAGAUCUUGAUGAUAUCUAACAACUUGGUAUUCAAAAUUUUUUCAUUUUAAGUAAUUUAGUAUGUCAUUUGACCAAGUUUGACCAAGUUCGACUAUUUUUGCAUUUGACAAAUAAUUGACACAUCUCUUAUAAUAGCAAACUUAAAUGCCAUUUCAUUAUUUGAAAUGAUAUAAAAUAAGAAAAACUAAUAUAAACAUCUUAAGUUACAAUUAUCACAUACGCAUACUCUAUUGCAAUCUAUUUAUUAGGCGGGCACAAUAGUGAUCUUCUUUUUGACGUAUGUUCCUUGGUCAUGAUCUUGACGUAACCAUGGAGUGUCCUUAGUAUUUAUCAGUAUGCUCGGAUCUUUGGUCACAUUGAAAGGCGUGAUUCGGUCAUCCCUUUCAUAAUCUUUUGAAAUAUCUGACUUGUCCUCAAUUCCCACAAUGUUUCUUUUCCCUGAGAGAACUAUAUGACGUUUUGGCUCAUUUGUUGAUUUGUUGUCAUUUUUCCCUCUCUUCUGUUUUGUAGACAUGACUUUCACAUAGAACACCUGAUUCACAUCAGCAGCAAGGACGAAUGGUUCAUCUUUGUAACCAACAUUGUUGAGGUCCACUGUUGUCAUUCCAUAGUCUUUGUCAACUGUCACCCCGCCUCCGGUAACCUUCACCCAUUGGCACCGGAACAAAGGGAUUUUAAAAUUAGGUGCGUAGUCUAGUUCCCAAAUCUCCUCUAUACGGCCAGAAUAUGUUUGUCUGUUUCUAUUCGGGUCUAUGGCGUCUACGCGAACUCCACUAUUUUGGUUUGUGCUUCUUUUAUCUUGGUCUAGGGUGUAAAAUGUAUUUCCAUUUAUCUCGUACCCUUUGUACGUGAGGAUAUGCCAUGAUGGUUGCCUAGCCAACAAAUACAGUUGCUCAUCAAUCUGGUCAUUACCCUGACAUUCUUUUCGUAACCAAUCACUGAAAGUGUCUAUGUGCUGACGCAUAAACCAAGCUUCAUUCUUCUUUGGGAAUUGGAAUCGUAGGAAGUCCUUGUGUUUCGUGACAUACGGCUCCACCACGGAUGAGUUUUGAAGAACUGUGUAGUGUGCUUUAUUGAAAGAAUCGUCCCCCGCACUGAUGUAUGUUUUCUUUCCUAGUGUUCCCUUUCCACUGAGUCUCCUCUCAUGGCGCGAUUCAGGAACACCAAUUGGGUCAAGUUCAGGAAUGAAUUCAACAUAGAACUUAAUGACCUCCUCUGUCCCAUAGCCCUCAGCGAUGCUUCCUUCUGGCCGAGCACGUUGGUGAACAUAUUUCUUCAGAACUCCCAUAAACCUCUCAAAGGGAAACAUAUUAUGUAGGAACACAUGACCCAGAAUAUAGAUCUCCUUGACCAGAUGAACUAGGAGGUGUGUCAUGAUAUCAAAGAAGGAUGGAGGGAACACUAACUCAAAGCUGACAAGACAUUGAACCACAUCAUUCUGUAGAGCAGCUAGUUCCAGUGGAUUGAUUGCCUUCUGAGAAAUUGCAUUGAGGAAUGCACAUAGCUUUACGGUGGCCAGACAUACAUGUGGAGGUAGAAUUCCUCUUAAUGCAACUGGAAGUAAUUGCGUCAUAAGCACAUGGCAGUCAUGUGACUUUAAGUUCAGAAAUUUCUUCUCAGGCACAUUAAUUAUACCUUUUAUAUUAGAGGAGAAUCCAGAUGGGACCUUGAUGCUGCUUAAGCAUUCAAACAUGAUUUCUUUCUCUUCAUUGCUAAGAGUGUAGCUAGCAGGUCUUAAAUAUUGGCGUCCAUCAUCUGUCUUCUCUGGAUGCAGGUUGUCUCGUUCUUCCAUGCGUUGCAAGUCUUGUCGUGCUUCAAGUGAAUCCUUAGGCUUACCAUAUACACCCAUGAAUCCUAGAAGGUUCACACAAAGAUUCUUUGUUAGGUACAUGACGUCGAUCGCAUUCCGGACCUCUAGGACAUGCCAAUAGGGUAGCUCCCAAAAUAUUGACUUCUUCUUCCACAUGGGUGCAUGACCCGCUGCAUCUUUUGGAACUGGUUGGCUGCCUUGUCCCUUACCAAAAACUACUUUCACAUCCUUAACCAUCUCAAAUACAUCUUCUCCAGUUCUGUUGCGAGGCUUGCAUCGGUGGUCUGCCUUACCUUUAAAAUGCUUUCCUUUCUUUCUAACUGGGUGAUUCAUAGAAAGAAAUCGACGAUACCCAAGGUACACGACCUUUCUUCAUUUUUUCAAAUAUAUACUAUCAAGGUCAUCAAAACAAUAUGUGCAUGCAUUAUAUCCCUUGUUUGUCUGCCCUGAAAGAUUACUUAGAGCAGGCCAAUCAAUGAUUGUCACAAACAACAGUGCUCGUAGGUCGAAGUGUUCCUGUUUGUACUCAUCCCACACACGAACACCUGUUUCACUACAUAAAAGAAGGAGUUCUUAAAUUAAUGGCCUUAGAUAGACAUCAAUGUCAUUGCCCGGUUGCUUCGGGCCUUGGAUGAGCAUCGGCAUCAUAAUGAACUUUUGCUUCAUGCAUAACCAUGGAGGAAGGUUGUAGAUACAUAGUGUAAUAGGCCAAGUGCCAUGACUACUGCUUUGCUCACCAAAAGGAUUCAUACCGUCCGUACUUAAAGCGAACCUUAAGUUUCUUGCGUCUUUUGCAAACUCCGGAAAUUCCCUCUCUAUUGCUCUCCACUGGGACCCAUCCGCAUGGUGUCUCAACAUGUUGUCUACUUUACGGUCUUCUUUGUGCCACCGCAACAAUUUUGCAUGGUCCUUAUUUCUAAAAAGACGUUUCAGACGUGGUAUUAUAGGAGCAUACCACAUAACCUUUGCAGAGAUUUUUUUCUGGGACAUUCUUCCCCCUCAACAUCGCCAGGGUCUUCUCGCCUGAUCUUAUACCGUGAUGCUUUACAUACGGGACAUUCAUCUAAAUUCUCGUAGUCCUUGCCACGGUAUAGGAUGGAGUCGUUAGGACAUGCAUGUAUCUUCUUGAUUUCUAAUCCCAAAGGACAGACGAUCUGUUUUGCUUCGUACGUAGUAGUGGGCAGUUCAUUAGGCUUCGGCAGAAUUUUUUUUGGAUCUUCAGUAAUUGCCCAAAUGCCUUAUCGAAUACACCAUUCUGUGCCUUCUAUUUUAACAAUUCUAGUGUUGUACCCAGUUUUUUUCCCCAUCCUGGGCAGAUGGGUAUAGUAAUUUCUUGUGAUCUUCUAACAUGUGGUCAAACUUUGUCAUCUCUUCUUCACUUUCGCAAUCUUUCUGUGCAUCACGAAUGACAUCACCAAGAGCAUCAUCUUCAACAGGUGCGCCUUCUGCACCUGCCUCAUCUUCAGCUUCUCCCAUUGCUGUAUCACCGAAGUCACCGUAUUGAGCAAUAAUGUCGUCAGCCUCCAACUGUUCUUUUUCACCUUCUUCCAUCAUUAUCUCGUUUUCUCCAUGCUUGGUCCAACAAAUAUAGUUUGGCAUAAAACCCGACUUCAACAAAUGUGAGUGAAUAUUUCUAGAGCUAGAAUAUUCCUUCAAAUUCUGACACAAGGCACAUGGGCAACAUAUGAAUCCAUCCAAUGACGUGUCAAUGAAUUCUUUGGAGCGGCGAUCGACAUUGUACAUCCAAUGACGUGUCAUUGUCUGCAGUGCAGCGUAAAGUAUUAUAAGUUUCUAAUUUUUUAUAAAGAAAUUAAAGUGACAAAUAACCUAAAAUUCUCUAUUUCUGGUUUUUCUAAACCAACAAAAUUAAAAAGACAUAAAAGUUCUCUAUUUUCUAACUAAUCAUGAAAUGUGGCAUGCAUCCUAGUUAUAAUUAACUAAUUAACCAUGUCAUAAAGUGCAAAAUAAAGAAAUAUAAGUUUCUAAUUUUUAAUAGAAAAAUUAAAGUAACAAAAAACCUAAAAUUCUCUAUUUCUAAUUUUUCUAAACAACCAAAAUUAAAAAAGCACAAAAGUUAUCUAUGUUUCUAACUAAUCAUGAAAUAUGGUAUGCAUACUAGUUAUAAUUAACUAAUUAACCUUGUCAUAAAUUGCAAAUUAAAGUAUUAUAAGUUUCUAAUUUUUAAUAGAGAAAUUAAAGCAACAAAAAAUCUAAAAUUCUCUAUUUCUAAUUUUUCUAAACAAGCAAAAUUAAAAAAGCACAAAAAUUCUCUAUUUUCCUAAAUAAUCAUGAAAUGUGGUAUGCAUACUAGUUAUAAUUAACUAACUAAAUCGGUCAAAAAUUGCAAAUUAAAGUAUUAUAUGUUUUAAAUUUUUUUCUAAACUAAUUAAAAUAAAAAACAUAUUAUCACUAUUUCUCUAAAAAAACGCGUCGCUUUUGAAAUGGCGAUGAAGCUAAUAACCUCUUAAAAAAAUCAUAAAAUAAAAAACAAUAUACAUAACACUAGGAAAUGACAUAUGCCGCUUCUAAAUGUUGAGAAGAUGAAGCUAGUGACCACUUAACAAGUCGAUGACGGUGUAGAAACAAUGAAAUGAAUCAAUAGCCGGAGAUGAGAGCAAGAACAAGCAACUCCAAAUGAAGAACACAGCAAAAGAGUGAAGAUCGAUGAGCUCGGCCAGGGGAAGAAGAGUUCAAAUAUGGGGAGCGACAUUUAGUCCUGGUUCCUUUUAAAAACCGUGUCUAAAUUCCAACACUAGUCCCGGCCGGUGGGACGGACCGGGACAACAGCUUUUAAUCCCGGUUGGUGGUACCAACCGGGACUAAAGGCUAGGCUUUUGUCCCGAUUGGUGAGCCCAACCGGGAUCUCUGCAAUAGCCGUUGGGCAGGGGACUUUUAGUCCGGGUUGGUCUCACCAACCGGGACUAAAUAUGUUUUUGUCCCGGACGCUGUUUGGGCCGAGAUUAUUGUUCAUUUUGGGCAAGUGACCAAAGGCUAGUAGUGUGAUGAUCCUCUGUCAGCAUAAAUUCGGGUAGUGAUAGGGUUCUAAUAGUCAUCCACGGAUUUCGCAUAGUGCAGCAGCUAUUCAUGUCACUGUAUAUAUCAGUCUGCACCAGCACCUUGAUAAACAUAAAGAAUACUAACCGGGCACGGGUUAGGAUCCAUUAGAAAAUACUAACGGGUGUGUACUUAUUAUUGGAUUCAUUAUGUUAACACUGCCACACGUUCAGGCAUUAGCACCGGUCGGAAAGGGCCUAUUGCCUCGGUUCCUGAGCUGGUGCUGCCCUUCCGGGAGGCCCACCCUUUAGUCCCGGUUCGGGUAACCGGGGCUAAAGCCCCCCUUUAACACCGGUUGGUAAUACCACACCGGUUGGUAAUACCAACCGGUGUUAAAGGGUCCUGCCAGGGCUACCACGUUGCAGGACCCUUUAACACCGGUUGGUAUUACCAACCGAUGUUGAAGUUAAAGGGUUUCUCUUUUUUUUUGGUUCACUUCUUCGGUUCUGUUUAUUGUUUUUAUAUAAUAUAUAAUAGUAGGUUUUUUAAUACAUGUUUUUGCUGAUACAAUAAUAUAUUUAUAUUACACGCAUAUUAAGCAUAUAUAAAUGAAAAUUAUAGGCUUAGCUUAAUAAUUAAGCUUUGCCUAUAAUAAAAUGAAUAGGCCACAUCAAAAAUUAAAUAGAUAUGUAAAAAGCUUUAUAUAUAUAUAGUUUUAUAUGUAUAAAAUUCGUAACACAUAUAUACAUAGAGUUUUUUCUCCCAAUGUCUACAAACGAUACAAAUGAUCAUCGUUGUUUGGAAUAAGAGUUUCGUUGCCGUUAAGUGAAACUCGCCGUUUGGAUUGAUCACUUGGUCGCGGAGAAAUCCUGCUAUCGUCUCUUGGAUAGCUUUGAUUCGGUCUUGUUGUAGGACCUUUUCCCUCAACUAUUCCGUCUUUAAUUUGAAAUAAAUAAAAAAGGUAUUAGUUAUCUAAGUUAUUCAAUAUAAUUCAGGAGAUAAUGAAAAGAGACAUGUAACGUACUCUGAGCGUCUCUGUGGGUGUUUGAUUGACUUGUGCCAUCAUGAAUUUGCACACGUAAUAUGCACAUAUAUUGUUCCCCCCUUCUUGUCUUAAACACCACUGUACGAUAUAUAUAUAAAAAUAUUCACGACCACGACAAUAAGAAGGCUAAAAGUUAGCGAAAGUUUGUUAGCUAGUAGAACUUACUUGUGGAUGUAUUAUGUUAAGCGGCGCUUUACAUCCACUGAGAUGUUCACGGUCAAUGAAUCUUUCCCAAACCCUAUACACAGCCAUUGUGGAUCGUGAACUAAUAAUUACAGAGUCAUAUUAUGAUAUUUUUUAAGCUGAGAUCGACAUUACGUACCUUUGAAUAAUGUUUACCAUUUGUUGAUAAUUUUCUUGUGGUUUUCUCAUUGAGUCAAAGAUUAUUAACCGGUUCUUGGGAAUUUCAAUGACCAUGAGUAUCCAGUGAAAGCUGUUUACACAUAUAUAUAUAGUCAGUCCUAUAAUGUAAAAUAAAAUAUGCAUGCACUUAAUAACUAUAUAACUCACUCGAAGUUGAAGGGGAAGAGUAUUUUUUUGUUUUUCUUUUUGGUUCACAAAGAACCUCAUAAGAUUGGUGCAGACUUCUGUCUCAUGAGCUGCUGUCCACACUGCCUGCGGAGCCUUGAAAACAAUAUAAGGGUCAACGAACCCAAUACUAUUGUCAUUUCUCAUUCUGAGCUCUCUCAUUUGGUGCCUGCAUUUAUACAUACAAAUCCUAAGUGUGUAAGGAUUAUAUACAUGUAAUUAAAGAAGUUAGAAGUAUAAUAAAAAUAAAAAAAUACUUACAGACAAAAGCAGCUGACAAGAGAUUUGUCGAGGGCGUCGAGGUGACAUAAUUGGUGCAAUUCUUCGAACUGCACGUAUAUAAGGUCAUCUCCACGGAAGUAGUGAUGUUGUCUAAUACGAACAGAAAUCCAAUUCUCUCCCCUUUUAGACGCCUCAAUGCACCAUUUGUUUAUUGCAAACAUUUGUGUGCCGAGCUCGUGUAAACGCUUAGGGUCGAAUAGACUCCUGGCCGGUUCAUAUCUUGCCCUCCAUUAAUCAACUACCUCGGCUUUUUCAAAUGUUUGGCAUCCAAGAAUGGCGCCAAUUUCUUCCAUAUUUAAACCGCUCUGUCCAAAGUAAUGCUCAAGCGAGUCUAGCUCAGACAAUGCUAAGGAUUUCUUUGGCAUCAAGUCUUCAUUUGAGCCGUAUUGAUUUGGCACAAUCAAAGAGGGCACCGGUUUUGAUACUUCUCCGAGCUGUGGGACCCCCUUUCCUACUCUCUUCUUAGGCUGUGAAGACUUGACCAGAGACCGCUCAUAGUCCGAAAGUGCUGGCUUUUUCUGAGCUUCGCGUUGCUUCUUUUGAUGGUCCGCCACCUUCUGCCUUAGUUCCGAUGGCUUUACAUAAAAGUACGGCUUUUCUGGGUUAAGCCGUUUUUUUCCUAUCCUCCUUCAAUUUAUCAAAAAAUUGUUUGACCUCAGCUUUGGAUGCAGCAAUUACCUCCUCUUCACUCUUUUCGUAAGGUAAUUUUUCUAGCGUCUUAGCUCUCUUUGCUGAGGCAGCCUUCUUUGGAGGUGGGACCGAUGACUUCGGUCCUUCUUGGGUAGACCGCUUCUGACUACCUCGCUUUGGAGGCGAGGGGACCGACCGUGCACUCUUAGGAGAGGGCGGUGCAGGCGGUGGAGGUGGUGGGGCCGACCUUUUCGGCAUUGGAGAACACGGUGGAGGAGUUGGAGACCUCGGUGGAGGAGGUGGAGACCGUGGUGGAGGCGGUGGCGGGGUCGGUGUGGCCGCCGCAGGUGUUGGAGGAGAUCCAGCAUUGUCACCGCCCGCAGCACUAUGAUGCGCUGGGGAGAGAACUGGACUUAGGUUGGAGGAGUCCCUGCAAAGAAAAUAAUUACAAGUUUUGUGAGCAAACUUUUUUUAAUUUCAAUACAUAAUAAAUAAUAUAAGAAUUAAAAUCACACACAAACCUAUGUUGAGGAAUAAUUAUGAAGUGCUUGCGCCAACAAAUAAAUGUCUUCUCAGCUUCACCUAAGGUCUUCUCUCCGUCUCCCCCUUCUAUGUCAAGAGGCACAUUGCCACAACCUUUCUCAACCCUAUCAACCGAGACGCUAGCAUAUCCACCAGGUACUGGUCGAUUAUGGAUUCUUUGAGUUCUCGUUCGGUCGAUAGGGUUGACAACAGCGAUAGCCACCUUUUUUGUUGCAUUCCCAUCUGGUACAUGCAGCUCACAGGUAGUAAAAGCCUCUGUGACAUCAUCCAUGGGGAAGUGUAGCUUCGUGUCAUCCUGAAUGGUUGGUACUUCCGUGGAUGCGCAGCUGCUUUUCAACUGGCCUGGGGCGCUAACGUUGACCUCAGGCUGUGAUGUACCUUGCCCUUUCGUCAUUUGACUAAGUGCUGCUUGCACUUGCCUUUGAAUCUCCGCCUGCAUCCAUUCUUCACGAGCUUUCUCGCGCUCUUUUGACUGCAGAACAAAAGCUUCUAGGCAGCGGAUCCGCUCUGCCUCCUCAUCCUUCUUUCUCUGGCGGCUUCUGUAGGUAUCUUGAUCGGCUUGGAAUGAUUGCAGCCACGGAACUGCCCCAUAGCCUCUCGUACGCCCAACGUGCUCAGGAUUUUCAAGCGCAU
RNAcentral lists this long non-coding RNA (148993 nucleotides) under Sorghum bicolor (sorghum). Its description in RNAcentral is "long non-coding RNA (SBIC_LNC001212)". The stretch from base 64353 to 64459 matches the Rfam family "Plant small nucleolar RNA R71". The record is from RNAcentral. Lineage: Eukaryota; Viridiplantae; Streptophyta; Magnoliopsida; Poales; Poaceae.